UUUUUUUUUUAAACAAGAGUCCAAUAUUAAUAAUUUGAUGCUUGAUUCAAAAUAUUUUAGUCGGUGGUUAGUUUCUUGUAUUGAAAGUAAGAAGUCAAAAAAUUCAAAUUUAAGAAAAUACAUUUAGUUUAAUUUAAAUGAGGAGUGAUGAGAUACAGUAAAAAUUACUUCAAAAGAACUAUUUUAAGUAAAUUUACAUAAAAUGCUUGAAAUCAUAAAAAAUGAGAUAUGUUUUACUUACAACAAGACAAUGAUAUAAAACUCGUCAGCACUAUAUUUUUCUAAAGCAGCAAUAAGAACUUAAAAUGUUCACACAAUUAGAUAAAUAAAUUCUAACAAAAUAAAUGGCAUUUCAAAUCAUAGGAUGGGCAGCAGCUCAAUGAUGGGCUGGUUCUUUUAACAUUGUUCAAUUUAAUUUUUCAUGGGACUCUUUCUAAUUUCUUUAGAUAAAUAUUUAAUAGAUUGUUAAUAAAAGUGGAUUUCUAAUCUUGACCUCUAUAAAUUUCAAGACUGUACUAUAUCAUUCAACAUGAAAACGUAGGGUCGUUUCGUAAAAUACUUGGGUGGUUAUUUAACACAAAACCAAAUUCAGGUAGUUCACAAAUUAACAUCCCUUUGAAAUCCUUAUAACACUCCUUUUGCAUUUUAUUUUUAAAAUACGCUCAGUUUAAUUUAUGAAAAAAAACUCAUCUAUUAAAAUUCGCCUUCUUUCCAUAAAUUUUCACUCUAAGAAAAAAAAAAGUAGUUCUUUCAAAUUUUAUUUAUAAAAUAUGUACAAAUCUUAAAAUCAAAAAUUACUUUUUCUUAUUACAUAAUGUUUAUCUUCAUAACUCUAAACUCUUAUUUUUUAAAAAAAUUAGUUAACAUUCAAAAUAUAAAUAUAAAUUAUGAAAUGAAAUGAAAAUUUUUAUUAAAAGCAUAAUUUAUUUAAUUAUUGUACUCAUAAUAAGGAAUGAAUUAAUUUAUCUUUAGUUAUUUAAGUAAUUUUAAGUAUUUAAAAAAAAAAAGAGUUUUAAGAGAAUUUUUGAGGGGCGGCAAAAGGCUUCUCUUUUCAGAAAUCGGCAACCCGUCGGCCCAGCCCAACGAGCACAGCUUGCCAUUUAGCUAAGCUGUUUGUCUCCGCGUUAAUACCUAAAACGGAAAUUUCUUUCUUCCGCCGUCGGCCGUGCAGCGUCGCUGUUUUGAUCAGAAGAACAAGGGUACCAUCUCCAGUCUCUACUUCCUUAAUAAAAAAUGUGCUUUUGUAUUUUCAACUUUCACCAUCUGUCUCUCGUCAACACCGAAUGCACUUUCCAUUCUAGGGUUUCACCAAUUCUCCACAGAAAAGAACCCAACAGAAUAAUCAAACCUCAAUAUUAUUAUUAAGGGUUUUAUUUUAUUCUGUUUUAUUUUCACUUUCUUCUGUUAAAAAUCCCAUUUUUUCCCCUCUUUUUCUUUUCUCUUUGAAUUAAAUUGAUAAAAUGGGUGACUCUGAUACACGAAAAAACCGAAACAUAAGCAUACUGGCUCAUGUUGAUCACGGUAAGACAACACUUGCUGAUCAUCUGAUUGCCGCCACCGGCGGCGGUUUACUUCACCCUAAACUAGCUGGUAAACUUAGGUUUAUGGAUUAUCUUGAUGAGGAACAAAGGCGUGCUAUUACGAUGAAGAGCUCUUCGAUUGCUCUUCAUUAUAAAGAUUAUGCUAUUAACCUUAUAGACUCCCCUGGCCAUAUGGACUUUUGUAGUGAGGUUUCCACCGCUGCUCGUUUGAGUGAUGGUGCAUUGGUGUUGGUUGAUGCUGUUGAGGGUGUUCACAUUCAGACUCAUGCCGUUUUGCGGCAAUCUUGGAUUGAGAAGUUGACUCCGUGUUUGGUACUUAAUAAGAUUGAUAGGUUGAUUUCUGAGUUGAAGUUGACUCCGUUGGAAGCGUAUAACCGGUUGUUGAGGAUUGUUCAUGAAGUGAAUGGGAUUAUGAGUGCGUAUAAGUCGGAGAAGUAUUUGUCUGAUGUAGAUUCUUUACUUUCGGUGCCAUCAGAGAAGCUAGGCGAUGAGAAUCUUCAGUUUAUAGAGGAUGAUGAAGAAGAUACAUUUCAACCCCAGAAGGGUAAUGUAGCAUUUGUGUGCGGAUUGGAUGGAUGGGGUUUUAGCAUAAGUGAGUUUGCCGAAUUUUAUGCUACAAAACUUGGGGCAAGCACUGCUGCAUUGGAGAAGGCUUUGUGGGGUCCUCGGUAUUUCAAUCCGAAGACAAAGAUGAUUGUGGGGAAGAAGGGAAUAAGUACAGGGACUAAGGCUCGGCCCAUGUUUGUACAGUUUGUUCUAGAGCCAUUAUGGCAGGUUUACCAGGCUGCUUUAGAACCAGAUGGGGAUAAAGGGGUGCUUGAGAAAGUGAUUAAAUCAUUUAAUUUGUCUAUUCCGCGUCGUGAAUUGCAGAACAAGGAUCCAAAGGCUGUGCUUCAGGCUGUCCUGAGCCAUUGGCUCCCUCUAUCUGAUGCAAUCUUGUCGAUGGUAGUGAAAUGUAUACCUGACCCAAUUUCUGCUCAAUCCUAUCGGAUUUCCCGUUUGCUUCCUAAAAGAGAGAUUUUGGAUAAUGAUGUUGAUUGCAAUGUACUAACAGAGGCUGAUUUUGUGAGAAAGUCAGUUGAGGUUUGUAAUUCUAGCCCAGAAGCUCCAUGUGUUGCUUUCGUUUCGAAGAUGUUUGCUGUCCCUAUCAAAAUGCUGCCUCAAAGAGGUUCAAAUGGGGAGAUUUUGGACAAUUAUGCUGACAAAGGUGGAAAUGGUGAAUCAGAAGAGUGCUUCCUUGCAUUUGCAAGAAUCUUUAGUGGAGUUCUUUAUUCAGGACAAAGAGUUUUUGUGCUUUCAGCUUUGUAUGAUCCAUUAAAGGUGGAAUCAAUGCAGAAGCACAUACAAGAAGCAGAGUUGCAAUCCUUAUAUCUAAUGAUGGGUCAAGGCUUGAAACCAGUAGCAUCUGCCAAGGCAGGAAAUGUUGUGGCGAUCCGAGGUCUGGGUCAGCAAAUAUUGAAGAGUGCAACUCUUUCAUCUACAAGAAACUGUUGGCCUUUCUCGAGUAUGGUAUUCCAGGUUUCCCCCACUUUAAGAGUUGCAAUUGAACCAUCUGAUCCAGCAGAUAUGGGCGCUUUGAUGAAAGGUUUGAGGCUUCUGAAUCGAGCAGAUCCAUUUGUGGAGGUUUCUGUUUCAUCUCGUGGGGAAAAUGUACUUGCUGCUGCAGGAGAGGUUCAUCUGGAAAGAUGCAUAAAGGAUUUGAAGGAGAGGUUUGCUAAGGUAAGUUUGGAAGUCUCUCCGCCUCUUGUGUCCUAUAAAGAGACCAUUGAGGGCGAUACAUCUAAUCCAUUACAGAAUGUGAUAUUGUUGAGUGGGAGCUCAGAUUAUUUUGAGAAAACAACUCCAAAUGGGAGAUGUGUUGUUCGAGUGCAAGUCAUGAAACUUCCUUUUACGGUGACUAAGGUGCUUGAUGAGUGUGCUGAUUUGCUUGGAAUUAUUAUUGGAGGGCAAGCCAAUAAAAGUUUGGAAACCCAGAGAUCAAGCAGUGGUGAGGACGAUAACCCAAUUGAAGCUCUCAGAAAACGCAUAAUGGAUGCCGUGGAGGAUCAUAUUUCUGCUGGGAAUGAGAAUGACCAGUAUCGGAUGGAGAAAUGUAAAGUAAAGUGGCAGAAACUUCUUAGGAGGAUUUGGGCGCUUGGUCCAAGGCAGAUUGGUCCUAACAUCCUCUUCAAACCAGAUGAUAAACAAAUUGAUACUGAGUCCUCUGUUCUUGUAAGGGGUUCUGCUCAUGUAUCUGAGAGAUUAGGCUUUGUGGAUAACUCUGAUGAUGGUGAUGCAGCUGAGGAGAUACCUCCAGGAGUUAAUCGAGCUUCAUUUGUGGAAGCACAGUCUCUUGAGAGCAGCAUAGUGUCUGGAUUUCAGCUAGCUACAGCAUCUGGUCCUUUAUGUGAUGAACCAAUGUGGGGAUUGGCUUUUAUUGUUGAGGCUUACAUCUCUCCUGUGAUUGUUGAGGCUUACAUCUCUCCUGCUUCCCAACAAUCUGAGCAGCAUGGCAUCUUCUCUGGGCAAGUUAUGACAGCUGUUAAAGAUGCAUGUAGACAAGCUGUGCUCAAGAAGAAACCCCGACUUGUUGAAGCCAUGUAUUUUUGUGAGUUGAACACACCGGUUGAUUCUUUGAGUAAAAUGUAUGGAGUGGUUUCCCGAAGGCGGGCUCGGGUGCUGAAGGAGGAAAUGCUGGAAGGUUCUGCACUUUUCACGGUUCAUGCUUAUUUGCCUGUUUCUGAAAGUUUUGGUUUUGCUGAUGAGCUUAGGAAAGAAACUUCUGGUGCUGCAAGUGCUCUUCUUGCCCUUAGCCACUGGGAAGAACUUCCUGAGGAUCCUUUCUUUGUACCCGAAACAGCGGAGGAGAAGGAAGAGCAUGGAGAUGGUUCUAGUGUUCUUCACAAUACAGCAAGAAAACUCAUGGAUGCUGUGAGGGAACGGAAAGGCUUACCUGUCGAAAAAAAGGUAGUGGAGCAUGGAGCUAAACAGAGGACCUUAGCUCGCAAAGUUUGAAGGUGGUUAAACCUGGUUGUAUCUCUAGCUUUAAAAGAAAUUGUAAGACAAUACAUGUCAUCAGUUUUGAUGUGAAAAGUUAUAGGCCAUGCGAGCAAAUUUAUUUUUCAGCAUGAGUUAAUUUUCAGCCUUUUCUCAUUCUCAUUCCCGAAUUAAAUCCAAUGUGAUUCUUCUAUAUUACUUUGCUGGAUUUAAGCUCUAGGCACGAAAAACAAAUUUGUUUUCCCAUUAUUAAUUUUGACAUUCAUAUUUUCUUGGCAUUAUCUCAAACAUUUUUUAUCCCUUUGAACUUGAAGUCAUUUCUUUGGGGAUAGCUUUCGAUCAUUAUUAGGCCAGUUGCUUGAUAGUUGCGGCCAAGUGCAGUGACUAAUCUAAGCUUCUGACGUGGAAACUAUGUUGAUUUUGGUUGAUGCUGAUUUUGUUUCUUCUAUAUAAUAUCCCCUAGCCCCUAGGAAUUAGGUUCCGGAUAAACCAGCUGUUGCUGCUUUAUGGGUUAUGGGUUCUCAAAACUUCCAACAUAGAUGCCACAAAAGGACACCCCCCUCUUCAUAUGGGCGGCCUAAACUACUCAGUACUUGCUAAUAUAUAGGCUAUCUGGAACUCUUGUACUAGAAAGCACUGCCUUGUUCUGUUUUUGCCCCUCAACUUAGACUGUAGUUUCCAUGCUUGCUCUGGCUGAGGGUAUGGAUUUGGCUACGAUUUUAUUCAUAAUGAUUGCAAAUUAGAUUUGUAAUGUCCCAGGAAAUUCUUUUUUAAGUUGUCUGAGGUUCAAGUUUAUAGCCUAGCAAGCGGUUCCUGGAAAAGAAAAAAUAGAGAUAUGCCGCACCUUAAUUUCAAUAAAAGACAUGGGGUUUAUGCAAGUGGUGCUUUACAUUGGUUAGGGAGAUACAAUAAUGACUGCCGUAAUAAGGUUGUGGCAUUUGGUUUAGCCCUUGAGGACUACGAAGAGGUGCUUCUGCCACUGCCUCUGUUUCAUCAACUUGUGGGUACCAACGCAGCGGUAACCAUAAUUUUUAUAUGGAGUUGGAGUUGGGAGAAUUAGAAUGGUGUUUGUGCGUGGUUGCUAAUGAAGAAAAUGCCGUGAAGGAUUCUUAGACAAAAUUGUUUUCGUUUUCACCUGAAUCAAAUCAAAUUGAUUGUUCUCCACUACGAGCUGAUAAUCCGAUUCUCUAAGUCGUAGAAAUCCGGGACGCAUAAAGUCGGUAGGUUAUUUUAACGGGGGCAGCCAAGUUCUUUCUUGAACGAUUAUGUUGAUCUUCUAUUUUAUGAUCUGAAAAACAACAAAGUUAAUGAUGUUAUACCCCGGAAUAGCUUCCAGAAUCUUGAUAAUUUGAAUGUUUUGCAAACCCUUGUUUCCUGUGAUGAUUUGAACUAACAAACUGAUGGGGAGGUGCCAGAGGAAUCAAUCAACCGAAGACCUGAUCAAGAAGCCGUAUCAAGUCUCUAGCUCAUCCUUGCAAAGAUCACGAGUGUCGUGACGAGGAAGAUUCUGGUGCAAGAAAUAUUGAAACUCCUGUAUUUCAAAAUAAGUAGAAUAAAUAUCUAUGCAUUUAUUUUUUAAUAGAAUCAACCGUACAAACAAUAAAAAGUAUCACUCUUUACUUUGGAAAUCCAUAACAAGAAGACAAGCUUAUAUGGUGAACACAAUCAAAUACUCAGCAUUACUGCCUACAUUCCAAAUCAAAAUGACAAAUUGAGUAACACAGCAAUGGAAGUGCCUUUCUUGUCACAACAUGAAGCACGGCCCAUGCCUAAAUUAACAGCAACAGGCAAUAUAUAUUAUGAGAAAUAACUCGUGAACCUAAUGGACUAAAAUAACUCGGGAUGAUGGAUCUCUACGGCCAAUAACUAAAUUUCUGACAAACAUUUUCUUAAGCUUCAAAAAAUCUCUGAACUUUCUAUUAUAUUCUAUUCCCUACUAAAUGGAAAGGCUAAAAAAAAAAAAACAAACCUGCCCACCGAAUUCAUAUAUGAUCACUUCAGAAAUGGCAGAAGGAACUCGCCAGGCAUAUUCCUCAUAUCGUAAUCCAAAAAACUGUCUCAAGAAAUACUCUUCCAUGUGUUAUCAUAUCAGCAAAGGAGUGACAAACAACAAUUGCAGGUCCAAUUGUGGACAUGGGAUUACACAGCAUUGUCUGAGUACCAACUGACGGAAUGUGGAAGCCACAAUAGCUAGGAUGACUGGCGAAUCUAUGCACUCCAUGAGUAAUCAGUUCGUGAUGUUCCUCACGAGAGACCUUGAUGAGAUACGUGAAAGCCCAACCAGCUGUGAUAGAUCACCAUUUUGCGUAUGAUUUCCGCAACUAUAACCACACGGCAUCACCAGACCCGCAUUGUUUAUCCACCAGUAUUCCUUCUACACUGGAAAGAAAACAAAAUCGAUAACAUACUGCAUCAAGAAGAACGGCAUUUGUCAUAAUAAAACUUUUACUGAUAGUGAUCAGAAUUGACCUAAGAGUAAACUACUGACUCCCAUGAAAGGCAAUUGCUAAAAUGUAUUCGGGAACCUGAAAGAAGAAUGCUGUGAAGGACGUCUGAUAUAACUGUCUGCCAGCUGUGUGUAACCCAAUAUUUCUGUCAUUUCCAUCAAACGAACUCUCAGUUUUCUCUCGGUCGUCUAAAGAAGGGCAUCUCCUGCAUCUGAAAGAGAGCAUACGUUGCUUCCCCCUUUUUUUUUUUUUUUUGGCUUUUAAAAUUAGUAACAAAUACAUAUGACAAAUUGUACAUUUCUGUUUAAAUAACUAGAAAGUUUAUUUUUAUUUUGCAAUUGUAAAUUCAAAUUUGAUCAUGUAAAUAAAUAAAAUAAUAUAUGUUGUAUUUAAAUCAAAUUAAAUUGCACCACAUUUGUUACGGUUUGGAACUGUUACAUGCCUAAUACUAAUCUUUUAAAUUUCUAAUCUACUCAAUUGAACUGAACAACAAACAUAUUACAUAAUACAAAAUUUUUCGGCAUUACAACAUCUUCUCAGUCGUAGCCUAUGUGUUUCUACAUCCAGAGGGUUUCUUGAGACCUUAUGCAGUUGCUUUAGAGGCCUUGCAACAUCCUUUGCUUGCAGCUUCUCGACAUAGAAACAUUUCAAGCAAUCGGAAUUUUGGGUUCGCCUAAAUUCACGAAGGCCUCUGCACGAGCCAUUCGUGACAUUGCAGCAUUCCAAGACACAAGGUGGUUCAUAAACACGUUUGCAUAUGUCCCUUUGUCAUUCUGUUAGAACAAAUCACAGGAUUGUUAUGGAUGGCAUCUUAUGGAAGGUAAACAGAUGAGGUAAUGAAGGUUACAUACCUUGUAAUCCAGAUAAUAAGCAUGCUGCAAAAAGUAAAAGAGAAAUAAAUAACAUGUAGCAUAAAAGGGGGGGGGGGGGGGUGUGGAGCGCUUACCUCCCACAUAUCCAAACUGAUGAUGGGCUGCAUGAGGAAAGAUGUUUAAUGCAAUUGUUAAAAUGGAAACAGAGUAUUCACUCAAAGGGAUUAAGAUCGUACGAUGUCAUUCCACACAAGUGGAUUUAUGGCAUUUGAUGUUUUAACCACGGCGAGCCUUCUCUCUUCCCUCUUCACUGAAAAAUUUCAAAGUAGCACCAAGCAGGAAAAUGUUAUCAACAAAAUGAACUAAGAUUGACAAAUGAAUAUACUACUAGUAAGCUCAGCCAGCAGGCAAAACAGUAUUUCAUCUUCAAAUAUUUCUUUUACUAAAACAUAGAUCCAUAACUUUUCUGACAUCAAAUCCUCUGAUACAUCACAAUCAAAGAAGUGAACAAAAAUGCUUUGGGAGGGGAGGGAAAGCAGUGGUCAGAGAAGGGAAAUAUUCAUGACAGCCCUCAUGACCUAUCUAACUUAAAUGUAAAAACAGCGCAUGCUACACAGUAUGAUACUAAACAAAUUAUUAAGUAGUCAAGAAGGUAUAUUUCAGGUGUCAUUUAUUAUUCUUGUUUUGAUAAAAGUUACUUUACAUGACACUAAAGGUUGGUCUAAAAAUAGCCCAGAAAACAGUGUGUCCACAUACUAAAACAUAGAACUUUAAGUUGCACAUAAAAAAUUAAAAAACCAUACUAAAAAAAUUAAAAAACCAUACUAAAAAAUUAAAAAACCAUACUUGGUCACCUAGCCCUACCCAUUACAUUUGGAAACAAUAAGGAACUUUAAUGAAAGAGAUCUAAAAUCUGAAUCAAAAUGCAAUGCAAUGUAACACCAAUUAAAAGGAAAACCAACUUAACAAAGAGCUUACAAACAAGCCAAACAUAGCCAGAGCCAAACAAUGUGAGGGCAGCUCCUAUAAACUUCUCUUUGAAAUUUGUAAAGGAACCAAAGUCCUUUUCAAUCUGCUCAAGUACUCCAUAUUUGGGUAUGUCACCUCCUCCAGGCUGCAUGGACUCCCAAAAGAAGUCAUGGUUCCAGACCUGCAGUGGCAGGUUAAAACCAAAGAUUUCACAUUAGUGUUACCACUUCAAAUGGACAUUAAAAUUAUUUAAACAGGGUGAAAUGUAAACAAGUUCAUCCUUAAGAACUCUAGAAACAUACAAAGGAUAAAGCACUCCAAGACACCGACUAGGUUAACUGUUGUUGCCUGUAAGAAUUUCCCAUUCCAUAAAGGUUUGUUUACUUCUGAAGCUCUAUCUACAAUAUGGAAAACCAGUAACAUGCAUCAACCAAGGUCAAUAUUGUAAAGUACUAUAAAAUGGCAUAGAGAAGCUCUUUGGCUUCUUGAUCAAAAAAUUGGGUGGGUUUCAACUGAUCCUAAAUAUGACACUAUUGGACCAUAGAAGACCAAACCCAAAAUUUGGAAAAUAAGCCAAAUCUUAGAUAUAAGGCUUUUCUGUUUUUAAUUAUAUAAUGCAUAAAUGUAAACCAAGCCCCUUUCAUUCCUAAGUCCUAACGUGAAUGGAUUCAAAAACAGUAUUGAACUCUGAACUAAAUUCUUCCUCUUCUUUUCAAUAAUUAAAACUUCAAAUUUCAUUGAUAAUAACAAUCAACGAUUUCACUAAUCAUACAAUAAAGCAAGAGAAUGUGGUAUAACAUCAACAUUCACUUUAUUCUGAAGUUAAACUCCAAGCUUUAACAUUUGCUGAAAAGCUAUUAUAUAUAAACCCAAAAAUUUGUUUUAAAGUCAAACAAAUUAAUCAGACACACCAAUUUAUGAGCCACUUUUAGCAAACUUCACUCAAAACAAUUUUAACAUUAACAAGAAUAGACAUUAUAUCAUGAAGCCACCAAGCAGAGAGUUUCAACCGUACCUGUACAGCAUUGUUGAAUACGGGUAAAGGGUUUCCACUGUUAUAAGAAACUUUAACAAGUUCAUCCAAAGUGUAUCCAUACAACACAUCAUCUUUCGCAAGGUGUUUAUUCAAACCUUCCACAUAGCCACGAUGAAGCUCUCCCCAAUGCACUUCCAGCGUCCGCUUGCUCAUAUAAGGCUCUAAAGCAUCCUAAAAAAUAAAAUAAAAUUCAGCGAAGUAAAAUGUCAAUUUCCAUAGGCUUGUCCAGCCCAUUUACAGAAACAAACCAUUUCACUCACAAGUUUAUAAGGAGGUGUCUUUAAUCCAUAAUAAGCAAUGAUUUUGGAAGCUCUUUGUGACCCAUGAAGCUGUCUUCUCUGCAAAAACAGAUAAGAUAAAACAGAAAUGCUUUUCUGUUCAAAAAUUUGAGUAAACAAAGAAAGGGUUUUAAUUAAAGCAAAUAACGAACCGAAUGACAAAACUUGGGAAUCUUCGAGGGAUUGAGCAGAAGAUGAGUACUAGGUGGAGCCAAGGGAUUACAGGUAACUGAACCCAUUUCAGUUCUCUGUCGAAUUCUUUUUUCUUUUUCUUUUUUUUUCAAGAAAAGAUUAAUCUCUUUGUGUGCAAAGUGGGAACUGUGCCUUUGAAUUUUUAUUUUGCCCUAGAAUGCAAAUCCGUUAAUUUAUCAUCUACUGUAAAAUGUCUAUUAUUAUUUAGUUGUUCUUAGAAACUAUUAUAUUGUGUUCGUAUCGUAUACGCUUGUUUCCUCCAUUUAUUGGUGUUGAGUAAUAAAAAGUAUCAGUCAAGCAUCUCUUAAUUUCUCACCCACGGACAAGUCUCCUCGGCUAAAUAUUAUGAACAAAUUCUUUGGCAGUAUUCCAUUAUGGAGCAUGUACCAAUAAGAAAUGAAUACUGACCAGAGGUUCAUAUCGACCAAGUUCUUGUUAAUCAGAGAGAGGACACGAUCUCACACCCACGCGACAGUUUCGUUAUGACCCAAACUGCUGAAGAGAACACGAUUCUCCACAUUUAUCCACUUUCGGCGGUUGAAGGCCUCUUGAGGCCCUUGAUCACCCACGUUUAACGGGCAUGGGAAGGGCCUAGAAACAUGGAACAACUAUCUAUAAAAGCUAAGAAAAAAGAGAGAGAGGGAUACAAAAAAAUUGGAGAGAAGGGGAAACUCUGUCGAAUUGAUAGCGGACAUUACUACAUAAGAAUCCUAAAUACAUUCUACUUUAAGAACAUUGCAGUUAGUGUGCGUAACUUAAAUCAUAUAGUUUUUUCGUAAAUACCGUAUACUGACUUAAGCAUCGGAGGGUUUAUGCUGAAAAAACUAUCGGCGUCUCUGAUUGGUUUCUGUGAACGCAUGAUUGGAAAGAAGAAGAAGAAUUACUUAAGCCCCAGGAGCUCGGGCAAUUACUAAAGCUAAUGGAGUGCAACCUUUUUCAUCAUUGUCAUCACAAUCGUUGGUAAUCCAAUCAGGUCGGGCCAAGGGCGACCAGAUUUUAGCAUCAACAAUAGGAAAAGAAGUUUGUCUACUUAAAAUAUGCAUAGAAAAAAUACUAAAAAAAGAGAUGUAAACUCAUUAUUUUUUUUAAUAAUAUAUAUAAUAAGAUCCAAGUCCAAUAUUAACAUAUAUGUAUGAUUAAAGUCUCGUAUAAAAAAAAAUCCACAACCACACAGAGGUAUCAAUUAACCAAAGAGAAUGGUUGUUGAAUAAGUACAGAGCUAGAAAAGUUGAAUAAAGAAAGAAAGCUAGAACAUUUGAUUUUAAAUAAAUAAUCUCUUAUAAUAAAAUAACGGUGUGUUUACUUAUCAGUAAUGAGAAUAGAAAUUUUGAAAUCAGAAUUAAUGACAUGUUUACUUGCAAAAUUCAAAGUAGUGUUACCAUAAAUUUGGAAAUCAUUACCCGAUUCCUAAGGGGGUGCUUGGGAAUCAAAACUUCAUUUUCAGAAAUAACUUUUUUACUUCUAACUAAACUUCCCAAUACUCAUUUUAUCUUUGAUUUAAAUAAUAAUUAAAAAUUAAAAAUAAUAAAUUAAUAAAUUAUAACUAUAAAAAUAUUUUAAUAAAUAAUAAUAACUUAUUAUUAUAAUAAUAAUUCACUAGCCAUUGCUUAGAAGGUAUCAUUAAAAGAUCACAAUGCCUAAUGAAAUAGAUAUAAUUGUGGCUUGCUGGAACCCAGGGUCUUUACUUGAUCCAGGACGUGUGAUGUAUAUGCCAUUCCAAAGUGAUCUAUGAACAUAUUAAUAAGUCAUUUAAUGGUAGUUCCAUCUAUCAUUUUAUUGUGAAAGACCAGACUCACCCGUUCUACCAUAAGUACGUCCGUAUUCCGCUGAGUAGGAUUCGCCAAUGGAUUUUAGUCAAUAAGUGGAAAACUUCCUUUUCUCGAUCUUGAUUCGCGUAGAAAGGUCAGCAAUGGUGGUCAUAUUUUAAUUAUAUAAUAUUUUCGUAAAUAAUAAUAUAAUAAAAUAAUGAUAAUGAUAAAUAAGUAAAUUAUAAUAAUAUUUUCAUAAAUAAUGAUAAUAGUAAAAAAAUAAAAUCAAUAAUAAUGUUGAUGACGACGACGACGAUAUUAUUAUUAUUAUUAUUAUUACGACUACUACUACUACUACUACGACCAAUUGACAAUAAUUAAAAAGGGCAUUUUAGUAAAUUAUGAUAAUUUAUUCCGAUUUCAACACAAAGUAGACACAUCAAUGGAAAUGAAUCUCAUUCCGAUUUCGAUUCUUACAGCUCAAGUAAAUAAUUUAUUCUGAUUCUCAUUCCUGAUUCUGGUUCCAGCCCAUUCACAUUCCAGCUUAUUCUGAUUCCAGCCUAUUCGAGCUUAUUCUGAUUCCAGUCCAUUCCGAUUACUGAUUAGUAAACACAUCAUAAAUGCAUGAAUUACUUAAAUUUGUAAAGAGGACGUGAUUAAAACGAAUAAUUUAUUUGCCUACGAUUGGGUUAGCCCUGAUUGAGCCACAACAUCCGGAGAUGCUCUUGGAUAAAACUUAAAAUAAAAUGGUUCAAUUCACUACAAUUCCAAUCCCAAACUCUCUUAUCUAACUUAGUCUGACUUAGUGGAACAAAUUAAGACAAUACUUGGUUUUAGAUUGGAUUUCCCAAGUUGAAUUAAUAUUGAUUUGAAUAGGGUCAUACUUGAUCUAACAUUAGUGAAAAACUAGACAUAUGGAUUCACCUUGUAAGGUAAUUGGAACCUAGAACGCAUAAUGUUAUAUCUAAUGUUAGCAUAACAACUUAUCACUGUUAGGUUGCAUAUAGAUAUAAGAUAUCUAACAAGUGACAGCUAAGGAUGCAUGAGGGAUUUUGUCCAGCGCUGUAGUAAAUGUUGUAGCAACAAGUUCUUAAUUAGAAAAAUAAUCAAAACUAUUAAGUGAGUUUAAUCACUUAACUACUCAUUUCUUAUUGAUUGCAUUUUCGUGUUUGAUUUAAGAUUUCCUUUAUUGCAUUUUUAAUUUAGUUUGUUUAUUAGUUUGUUUAAUUAUUUUAUUUUAAUUUAAUCUAAACUGUAUUGUCAGAAUUACUGUAGCAAAUCCGAUAAUAUCAAUCCCUAUAGAGACGAUCUUGAAUACUCGUCAUUAAAUUACUUGUUGUGUACAUUUGUAUAUUGACACCCAUAGCAUUAGAAUUUACACCACCAAAUUUUUUAUAGUAAGUUUUUCAACAUGAUGAAGCUGCAUGAGAAGUUCCUUUAACAUGUAGCAAUGAGUUUUGUAACCAGCAUGCUUCAUUUUCAACUUGAAACUGAGAUUAGCUCCCUCUAGAGAUGAUAGAUCAUUAAUGAGCUUGAACUUCAUUUUGCCUAUAAACCCUAAUAAGCUCAAUGAAUAAACAUUAAAAGCUGAUAUUUCCAUCACAGUUCCAAUAUCUUCCUUAACAUUAUUGAUAACUCUAUGAAAUGAGAGUUAUAAUGACAAUUUUAGAUUUAAACCAAUAUUAUUUAGAGAGUAAAUUAUGUGUUUUUAUUGCAUUUUUAGUUAUAUUUUGUAUAAGCAUCUGUUUAAGUUUAUUUUUAAUAAAUCGAUGUUGUUUUAGAUCACUUUGUGCUCUGAUUAUGUGCGUGAUUGUAGAUGAUAACAAAUCUCAAGUUUUAAGGAUGGAAUGCUGCAACAGCAGACUUGCAGAGAUGAUAAAGGACUUGUUAGUAGAUGAAUUAAAACAAGACUGACUCAGAGAAGAUGUUAUGGCUAUUGCUGUAAUAAUCCGAGAGCACCAGCAGACAAGAUUACGCGCGUGUUAAUUGACAAAGUAGCAACACGCGGCACAAAAAGAUAUACGAUCCGAGGUUUCCAAAAAAGGAAACAUGUGGCCACAUGCUUUUGGUUGUCGUAAUUCCAAGAUAUAAAACGAGCACAAGUGAAAGAAAAAAAAAAGGGAGCUAUCACUCAUGAAAAAUAACAGAGAAAAAAAGAAUAAGAGAGAGUUGAGAGCUACAACAAGAGAUUUCAAAAGAAAAAGAAGGAGAUAUAACAAACACCUAGCGGAACUCAAUUCUUUAUCUUUAUUUCUUGUUUUCAUCACUCUAUGAGAAUUUAUUUGAUGGCAAAAACAAGUAUUGUUACUGUUUUAUUGCAUAUCAUGAACUAAACUUUGAUAUAAUUGGGUUUUAGACAAGCUUAAUGGUUAAUGACAUUUAUAUGUGUGUCGCUCAGAAUCUGCUAUAGAAUUUUAUCUUGAUUUUACUUAUUACAAAUCCUUACUUCGGUUGACCACCUAUUUAGUGGAUAUUAGCUUAGAAGGAGCCUAAAAAAUGUCUGACUUAAUGGAACAAAUUAAGACAAUACAUGAAUACAUGGUUUUAGAUUGAAUUUCCCAAGUUGAGUUAAUCUCGAUUUGAAUAGAGACAUACUUAAUCUAAAAUUAGUGAAGAACUAGAGAUAAUGAUUCACCUUGUAGGACAAUUGAAACGUAGAACGCAUACUGUUAUAUCUAAUAUUAGCAUAACAAUUGGUUAUUGUCAGGUUGCAUUUAGAUAUAAAAUAUCCAACAUGCGAUAGCUGAGAAUGCAUAAAGAAUUUUGCCCAGUGCUGUAGUAGAUGAUGUAGUAACAGAAUCAUAAUUGAAAAAAUAAUCAACAUCAUUAAGUGAGUUUAAUCACUUAACUUCUCUUUUCCUGUUGAGUUUAUUUUUGUGUUUGCCUUGAGAUUUUUCAUUAGUGCUUUCUAGUUAUUGCAUUUUUUUAUUUUAUUUUGUUAGGUCAUUAAUUUUGUUAACUAUUUUAUUUUAAUUAGAUUGAAAUUGUACUGUAACAAGUCCUAUAACAUCAAUUUUUGUAAAUAUAAUAUGAAUACUUAUCAUUAUAUUACUUGUUGUGUACACUUGUACACUAACACCUAUAACAAUAAACAUCAACAAUUAUCUGCUACAAACUCAAUCAAACUUGAAGAUCAAACAAUAAGCUUGAAAAUACAUUAUAAUGUUUCAACUUCAAGCAUUCAAGACUCGGAAUGCCUAAUAAAAUAGUUUCAAUCACAUCAUUAUACAAAAGCGUAGAAGCAAUGGAUAUAACCUUGAGUAAAGUCCAAGAAACUAAUCCACAACGCUUGGGAAUGUGACAAUUUAUAGUAUCCAAUAUUAUAAAUGACGAAUUGAAAAGAAUAGAUUCAAGCAACUCGUAUUCAUUACUAUUACUUAAUUCCACACCACCAUCAAAAUGUAGAAAGAGCUUUUCUACACUGCGUUCUAAGGCAAAACAGAACUAAUUAUCUACGUCAAAAUGGCAAGAGUACUUGUACUUGAAACUAAUAAUGAGCUUUUCAAAUUCAUAAUUAGGACUAGUACGAUAUUAAAAUAAUUUUUUAUAUAAUUACUUAAUUAGAUCUUUCUUCUCAUUUCAUUCUUAAUUCCUCAAUUCUCAUCAAUUCCUUCAUAUAUUUUCUUUUAACCAUAAAUAAAUAAUUUUAUUAUACGUUGUCAUAAAAUAAGAGGAGCAGAAUGCAUUGACAAAAUUUUACUAGCAAGUUAAUGAAUAUCAAGAAAUGAAUCUUUAUCGAUCACAAAAGUUAGUAAAUAUAACACACACACACACACACACACUAUAUAUAUAUAUAUAUAUAUAUAUAUAUAUAGUUUUCUGGUCAGAGAUUUUAAAGUGCAGGAAAGUCCGGGAAAGCUACGGCUUUAAAGGCUUACAGUUUUAAGCCUUUAAAACUAUACGGUUUUAAAGUUUUCCCGUACUUUUUCGCACUUUAAAAUUUCGAAUUGAAACAUUCUCUCUCUCUCUCUCCAUAUAUAUAUAUAUAAGGCAUAAAAUAGAGAUUAACGAUUUGCUAAAAAAAGGUUAAAAAAUUAUUCCAAAAGAAAAUGAAAUUAAUCAUUAAUUUGUAGAAUGCAAAAGUAGAGAGAGACUAUAUAAUCGUGAGUAGGGAGAGAAAAAUAUUAGUAAAGGGUAAUUUUGAGAUUUUUAAAUUUUAAAUUCUUAGUGAUAAAUUUAUUUUAUUAAAAUGGGCGUAGAGAUGAAUUUAGUAGGUUCAAUAGUCCCACCUAAUGAACAAAGAGGUAUUUAAAUAAUUUUCAAACUAUUAAAGGAUAUUUAAUUAAAACCUCUUUCAAAUGAGUAAAUAUUUGUUGUGUUUGAGAUAGUUUGGUUAUUUAAUUAUAUGUGAGGGCAUAAUUUUACUUUUUUAGUUUCUGUAUUAUAUCUACAUUGAUUUUAACUUUAUAUUAUUAUGUACAAUUCUUUAAAUACUAUACUAGAUUUUAUAUUAUUAUGAAUUAUAAGUAUUAUUUUUAUUUUUUUAAUUGAAAAUUAGUAAAAAUGAAGUAAAAUCAGACAACUCUAUCAAAACAAUCUUCUAAUAACAAAGAUAAUUUGUUAAACAACUCAAAAUAAAUAAAUAAAUAAGCUCGAAAUGAUCUCAAAUCCAAACAUGAUCCAAAUUCAUUUGAAAGGAUUUGAAUUUGUAUAACCUAAAUAUGUCCCAUUUAAUAUGAUUCGAACUCGAUCUAGUCUGAACUCAACCCAAAGUUUUGAUAUGAUCCGAAUAUAAUUUGAAUCAAAUCAAAUUACAAAUUGGGGUUGGUGAAGAUUACUUUUCUACCACCCAAUUAACCCAAAAUUCAAUUGACUUAUCUAAAUCUAAAAUUGGUCACCCAAUAAAAUAUGCACUAAGCAACCAAGUAGCAAUUGUUCUAUUUGAAAAAAAAAAGAGGAAGAACUAAUUGUCAAACCCUUAAACUGUCAUUUCAAUUCUUCAAUUUUCCUCUUUAUUUAAUAAAUAAAGCAAUGCCAGUAUAAUAAGACCAAGUAAAAGCCAUCAAUAGUAAUUACUUAAGUUAAUAGUCCAUGGUACAUUAAGAAUGUAGAUUUUUCUUUUCACCUCAAAUAUUUUUGUUUACCAAAUUAUAAAUUCUUCAUACUCAAAUUUUCGAAUCAAAUUUGUCAUAACUUGCUUGAAUUUUUUAUUUAUUUAUGAAGAAUAAAAAAGUGAUAGUGAUGAACUUUUGUUAAGAUUUUGUACAGAUGAAGCAAUAAUUUUAUGGUUCUAGAUGAAAUAUACGAAUAUUUAAAGAUAUAUCUUUUUGCCUUCUCACUAACUAUUUCUUCUACUAGCUGCUAUCCUCUUUAGUAGCCAUUCUAGGGGCACAUGGCUAUCAGCUCUUGAAAGAGUAGCUUGCAAGCAUAAGGAAUGUGGAUCCAUCAUUAGAAAGUAAACUCAGGAAAUUGACUCAAACAUCGAAACAAGGACUUUGAAGAGAAAUACUAAAAAAAAUCACCCGACUAAAGUCAGUUUAGUUUUUGCAUCCAUUGCAUUGGAAAAAAUUUCUAUAGAGAUUUAUAGUGGCUAUCAAGCCACACUCGUCACAAACAUGGACACUUUACAGAUCACUUACAACAAAUAAUCUUUCCUUGAGAAAGUGAGCAGUGCCAUGUUAUAUGAUGUAAUCAUUAUCUCUCUAACUCUAUGUCCACCAUGAGAAAUUCUAGAAUACAUCAAAUGUAAUACAACCAGCUAAUACAUUGUAUGUCAUAACAUGAUUUGUUUAUUGUGUAGCUGUCAUAGACCUCUGAUGUAUACCAAAAUUUCUCGUCCACCAUCGUGCGAUUUUCUUUAAGUCAGUUGCCUCGUAAGCAUCUCCAUUAGACCCCAUGCACGAGAAUAUAUUUUGUCCUCUACUAGCUAAUAUAAUUUUUGGUAAUAAGUUGGUCCAAUGAAGAUUUUUGUUUCUAAGAGUCGCUUCCCAAUAUGACCACUAUAUAUGGUCUCAAGCCCAUAUGCAUCAACCUACACUUGAGUAACACUUUACUGAUAUUUUCCACCUUAACAUAUCAAAUAAUAUUUAUAAUGAAAAAUUUUGAAUUGAUAAUAAACAAAUUAAAAUCAAAUCGAAGUUGUUUGUGGUCAUAUGUUAUGUAACUAACCAACCAAGCUUUCAAUAGAAGUAUAACUUUUGAAGAUUACUACUUAUUGUAACAUCAUCAAAAGUACUAACGUCUACUUAUUUGUCCAAGUGAACAAAAACCUUUCCCACGUAAUUUGUGGAGAACUUGUCACGAUCAUUAGCCUCAAAUUUGGAGGGGUGGGUACCUAAAAAAUACACCUCGACGCCCAAGUUAGUGUUUAAUUAAGAUUAAAGGAAAAGAAAGAUGGAGAAGAUGUGUUUUUAUCUCUAGUAUGAACAGUGGUUUUAGAGACCAAAUACCUCUUUUUCUCUUAUAGAGGGGUCUCUAUUUAUAGAUGAUGAGUGAUGUAGAUUUAGGGUUUUGCUUUGAAUCCUCAAUAUAAUGACAUGUGUCAUCCAUCGUUUAUGUACAUGCCCCCCCCCGUGUGUUUCCUUACUUGUUUAACAUUUGGGCGUGAAUUCCUUAGACUAAUGGAUUGCAAAACUAAUCCCCCCCUUGCCAUUUUUAUAAGCUCCUAGAGAAUUUUUUCCUUAGGUAUUAUUCCUCCGGAAUAACUUGGGUGUUAUUUACCCCGAAAUAGCUUCUGUUAUUUGAUAUGAUGGACAUGUGGCAUGGUUAGGUGCCUUUGGAAUAUGACACCUACAUAAGUGAAACCAAUCGUGACAAAAAAUAACUGGAAGAAAAAAAAGAAAUAAUAUAUGUGACAUAAUUUUAUUGGAUAAUUUUUUAUCAGAUAGAAAGGUUGAUACGUGCCAAAGUUAUAAUCAAGACUAGAAAUAAUUGUGGAUUACUGUUUGUAGAAGCUUUGCAUAGUUUCACACAGAAUGUAAUACUAAAAUUAAUUAUUAUAAUAAAAAGUUUAAAGUACUAUAACAACAAUAAUGCAGCCAGUGUAACUCAACACGAGAUCUGUGAUCUUUGCAUAUAAUGCAAAUGCAGCCAAUUGAAUUCAAAUACAAAUACAGUUUGCACAUAUAAUAUUUAAUAGAUGCAUGCAAACAAAAUUAUCAUUCAUCACAUGCGAUUAUAAUUUAAAAUGCGCUUAUACAAAUACAUAGCAUGAAUCUUAACUUGAAUACAACAUCAAUGUAAUAGUGUUGUAUAUCUUAUGAUCAUUUAAUAAUAAAGUGAUUUAAGGAAGCUUAUUACAUCAGUUAAAUUAAUUAUCAUAAUGAUUAUAUGCCAACUAAAUCAAUUGUACACUAACAACAGUUCUAAAAAUUCUUGAAAGCAAUCAAACUAUGAUUUGUGGAACUGGAUUUUACAUGAGCAUUGUAACUAACUGGUCUAAUUAGCAUUUAGAAGAAGUGAAUAACCCACCAAUUAUAAUUGUCUACAUAUAAACAACCACUAGAAAAUGACACUUCAAUUAGUUAAAGGAUCAUAUAAUCACAUAUUAUUGACUAGAAAACAGAGCAUAAGCAUGACGUACUACAUAUGGUCAGGAAAUGGAAUGAUCGAGGGGUGAGCACUCAGUAUCAAGGAGGGAUGAAUCUCGCAAUGUGUGGAAGUAUUAAUAUAAGUCUCAUUUUGAUGCCUUGCAUGUGCAAGAUACUGAAAGAAAUUUGCAUCUUUAAGUUCAUUUUAACGCUUUACGUAGGGGUGGGCAAAAUCGGGUUCGGGUCAAUCCGAUCGGGUUUCGGGUUGUUCGGAUUAAACAAGAAUUAAUCCGAAUGUAACCCGAAUUAUGGACCCGACCCGAACUUAGUUCGGGUCGGGUCAAUUGUUAAACUGAAUUGGAAUUCGUAUAUUUAAUCAAAAACUCCAAAUUAGAACCGUUAGAGAACCGAACUGAAAAAACCUGAAAAGAAUGAAUCUGGCUAUAUUUGUGAACCAGAAGCAAGCCAGCGUUAUGCUUACACCAUUUCAUUCUAAGAGGUGGGGUCCAAAAACUUGUUGUGAAAAUUUUAAUAUACUCGCAAGCGCACGAAUCUAGAAAUAGAGUAGUGGUAACGAGGUCGAUCCCACAGGGAUUGUUAUAAAUUGAAAAGUCUAAUUUAAAUCUAAAAUUAAUAUUAAUUCUAACCUAGUUGAGCAAAUUGAGUUUUUAAGAAAAUUAAACCAAUUAAACUAAGGAACCAAUUAAAAUAAAGGAGAAUUCAAUAAGAUAAGAAUUACCAAGGUUUCAGAAUCCACCACUAUUCAACUAGUAAUUAUCUAAUUAUUAAUUAAUCCCCAAUUUUAGAGUGACAACUCGAAAUCAAUCUAUGUCAUCUCAUGGAUAUAACAAUUAAGCCCAAGUAAUUAAAUCUAAUGUAGGUUCUUUUUCUGCUUAAUAAUAUGACAUCUAAGCAUCCUAUGUAAAUAUAUUGAAUAAUAAAGAGUCAAAGUUUUCCUAAGCACUCUAUGUAAACAAUUUAAUGAAAGACAUAAAAUCAAAGAUAAUCAUGUAUAAACUUUAUAAAUCCAAGCAUAGAUUUAAUCGAAUAUAAAUCCUAACAAUCAAUAAUGCAUGACAGAAUUGAUGAAAAGAUUUUAUUAACAUCCAAUUAAUCAUGUGAAAUAAAAACCAUAAUCAUCAAAAUCAAAGAACAUAUAUAGAAUUAAUUAAAUAAAAAGAUAUAAUUAUUUCAUUGAAUAGGGUUUCAUCCUUAACCUCAGUAUAAGAAAAUUAGCUAGACAUACUUGAAUUGGGAGCAACAAAAUAAAUAAAUUCAGCCAUGGGGAAGCCGAAUUGCUGCAGAUUUUCUUCUCUGUCUUGAAUCCUUACGUCUGCAGUUCUCCCUUCUGGUGGCUCUCUCUUCUUCUUUCCGUCCAGCCACUCCCUCCAAAAGCAAAAACUCUCUUUUAUAAUAUCUAAAAUGGACCCCACCUCUUAAAUCCUAAAGCCAAAAGGCUUGGCCUUUUACUUGAUUUGCUCUCACACGUGAUCACUCUUAGAAUUGCUUUAGGAUUCCUUUUGUAAUUAUGAAAGCCAAGUGUGGGUCCCUUUAAAUUGCUUCCAAAUAUUAGAAUGCCAUGCAUUUGCUUCCCACGUGCUGGCCACUUUAGCUUUAAAUUUCUUCUUUGUUUGCACUAGCAUGGAGAAUUCACUUUAUUGGCUUCAGCUUCUUCGGAUUGAAUUUCAUACACAUCUAUUUAAUUGCCUCCACAAAUUGACUUGAUCUUUAAUGCUAUCCAUUUACUAUUCUUUAUGUACUUUUCAUCCAUAAUCUCCAAUCAAUUCUCUAUUCAAUAAAAUAAUUCAAUUAAUUAAAAAUAAUAAAUAAAAUUAACUAGCAAUUAUAUAAUAAAGGGUAAAAUAUGUAUAUAAAUUAUGCUCAUCACCUAUCACCCAUAGACAAAAUGAAUCUGGAUGCAUUAUGGCUUUUCUCCUUAAACCUCAAGAGCAUUUUCGUCCUCUCAGUCAAGCGUGAAACUGCAUGUACGAACUGCUUCGCUUUCACGCACCGGUAGCUACAGCGGCAGACCCAGGCCAAGAUAAUUUAUUUCUUCCAACCACAAACUAUGUUUUGUUCACGAAUUACAAACUGUGCAGCUUGUGAUUUCUGUCGUUCUGCGUAUGUGUGCGCAACAGCGAUAUGUGCUGUGUGCAGUGUUAGGCUAUUAGCUUAGGUUUUUUUUUUUUUUGGAACUCGAUCGGGUAUUCGGAUCGGGUCGGGUUUGACCCGAACCGAUCACAACUCGAUCGAGUUUGUAAAUUUCAAUCUGAUCGGGUUUCAAUCCCGACCCGAUCCGACCCGACCCCGAAAUUUAUCGGGUCAGGUCGGAUCGGAUCGGUAAAAUGUCCAUCCCUAGCUUUACGGCAUCUUUAUGAGCUAAUUCAUCAUUACAUUACGACAUCUUUAUGAGCUAAUCCAUCAUUACAUUUCACUAAAAUGUAUUUCCAAUUAAUUAAUACUAUUUUGCUCACAUUAACUGUCGCACAAAUCAUUGUUGUUUCUUCUUCCUAUGGGUUACUGUAUUAUAUGAAUCCUUAUUCAUUAUCUUCUUUCAUCUUUAACUCUCAUCUAAAAUUCGUGUUUUUUAUAUAUGUUUUUAAUUUCCUCCACUAAUUUAAUAUAAUUGGUAUAUAUUUUUAAAUAAUAUCAAAUAUAGUUUAAGGUGAUAUGUGAUUAUGCUUGUUGAAGAAAGAGAAAAAUUGAAAAUGAAAUCAUUAAAAUAUAUUAUAUGUGUGAAAUUUAUAGGCAUCUUUCAUGCGUCAAACUGUGAAGGAAAUCUCGAAUAUUGUGUUUGAGAUUAUGAAAAUCAAUAACAUGUGCAUGUGAAUAAAUCUAAGAUAUUUAUGAGAAGGGAAAACAGUCCAUACUACUUUUGCUAAUGGAUGUCUACGAUUCAUGAGUGUCAACAAACUCAUGAAUAAUUGGCUUUGUUUCUUAGAGAUUAAUUGGUUUUAAAUUGCAAAUUUAAUUAUUUUUAAAAAUUUAGUUCAUUAAUUUGAUAUCUUAAAAUGACGUUUGAAUAAUGGCGUUUGAAUUCAUAAAGAUUUAAUCUCUCUCUGAAAAAUUUCACUCAAGGUGAAUAAAAUUUUCUCGUCCACCAUCUACGAUUUUCUUUAAGUCAGUUGCCUUGUAAGCAUCUUCAUUAGACCCCAUGCACCACGAGAAUAUAUUUUGUCCUCUACUAGCUAAUAUAGUUUUUGGUAAUAAGUGGGUCCAAUGAGGAUUUUUGUUUUUAAGAGCCGCUUCCCAAUAUGACCACUAUACAUGGUCUCAAGCCCAUAUGUUGAUACCCGCACUUGAUUAACACUUUACCAAUAUUUUUCACAAACAAAUUAAAAUAAAAUCGAAGUUGCUUGUGGUCAUAUGUUAUAACAAAUUAAAAUCAAAUCAAAGUUGCUUGUGGUCAUAUGUUAUGUAACUAACCAAGCUUUCAAUAGAAGUAUAACUUUUGAAUAUUACUACUUAUUGUGACAUCAUCAAAAGUACUAAUGUCUACUUAUUUGUCCAAGUGGACAAAAACAUUUCCCGCGUGAUUCCCUCUAUAGUCUAUUAUAGGUCUUCUUGUGUAUAGGUUAGGUCUCUAACUCCUUUCUAACCAUGCAGAAAGGUGAACAUAUCACCAAUUGUGGCGCCUUCAUUAGUCUAACCCUUACUUUCAUGAAAAUUGCCCUUCCUCAUUAUUUGCCAAUAAGACCUACGCAUGUAAGUAUACAUAAUUAGGCAAAAAGAAUGUAAAGCAUAUGUGAUUAGGCAAAAAGAACGUAAAGUAUACUUGAUUAGGCAAAAAGAAUGUAAAGUAUUUCCAAUAAUUUAAUAUAAUUGCUAUAUAUUUUUAAAUAAUAUCAAAUAUAUUUUAAGGUGAUAUGUGAUUAUGCUUGUUGAAGAAAGAGAAAAAUUGAAAAUGAAAUUAUUAAAAUAUAUUAUAUGUGUGAAAUUUAUAGUCAUCUUUCAUGCGUCAAACUGUGAAGGAAAUCUCUUGAAUAUUGUGUUUGAGAUUAUGAAAAUCAAUAACAUGUGCAUGUGAAUAAAUCUAAGAUAUUUAUGAGAAGGGAAAACAGUCCAUACUACUUUUGCUAAUGGAUGUCUGCGGUUCAUAAGUGUCAACAAACUCAUGAAUAAUUGGCUUUGUUUCUUAGAGAUUAAUUGGUUUUAAACUACAAAUUUAAUUAUUUUUAAAAGUUUAGUUCAUUAAUUUGAUAUCUUAAAAUGACGUUUGAAUAAUGGCGUUUGAGUUCAUAAAGAUUUAAUCUCUCUCUGAAAAAUUUCACUUACGGUGAGUAAAAACACAAAUAAUAAGUUCUAUGAGCUCUGUUGCUUAUUCAGUACGUAGUGAAGCACGUAGCAGAGGUGCUUCUUUCCCACGAAUCAGUAAUCACAAUGGAGUCUGCCAUACAGAGAGUAUGACUCUAUUUAUUAUUUAGAUUGCUCAAUUGUAAUUUAAUAAUUACAGUUCUAAUGAACUUAGUAAGCAUUAGUUAUUGUGAUUGGGAAACUAAGAACUUAUUUAUUAAAUGUCUUAUGACUGAAACUUUAUUAAUUUCGAACCUUUUUUAAAAGUUAUUUGUUUGCUUUUAAAUUUAUAUUUCAUUUUUAAACAUUUACAUCAGAAUAGAAAAAAUAAAUUUUUGAAUAUAUGAAUGAAUGAAAAAGUGAAUAUUAUAUUCCGAAAAUAUCUUUAUACAAAAUUUUUUUUCCUAAAUUAUAAAACUUAAUCCCUUUCUUUGUUUUGAUUUACAAUGAUGUAAAUGUCAAAUAAUCAUUUUAAAAAUAUUUUUUAUUUAUAAAAAUAAACAAAAACGCCACUUAUGUUCAUCUAUUAAAAAAAUAUCAUUUAAAAAUUAGUAUUCAAAUCUAUUUAAACUUUAGAAAAAUUCAAAUACAUUCAAAUUUCAAUUUAAAAUUUAAAUACUACCUAAAUUGAUUUGAUCACACGCUUUAUAUGAAAAAUUUGUAAUAUUUUUAUUAUUUUUGUUAGAAUUAUCAUUUGAAAGUCAUGUUUACUAUACACUAUCAACUUUUAUAAUUCAAAAACUACAAUACCUCAAUAUCUACCAAACAAAACCGAAAUGAUGUUCGGUCAAAGCACCGAGAAGGCCAGAAUCUGUCAAUGUUUAACUUAAGACCCAUUGACUGUGAUAACUAGUUAGCAAGCAUCAUCACUGUUUAUGCUCUCAAAUACCCGCUGUGUCGCAGCAAUAUGCCCCAACUUAGCAUGAAAAUUCAACACAGAAGUAGGAAUAACCCAGAAUAUUCUCAAUUCCAAUUUUCAAGGCAAAGCAAUGAAUAGUCAAACAUAUUUCGCUGGCUCACUUGCUAACACACACUUUCAUAGCACUUCCUACUACAAACUCAUUUGGCAUAAACCCAUUCAUAGUCAUAUCUAAAGAACAUACGUGUCAUUUGCAGUUUCAAUUACUUAAAGUUGGUUGAGUCUUCGUUUAGAAUAGGACUUUAAUCUUCUUUUAUAAUAGAACUCCUUUUUGAGUCAUCCUUCUUUUCCGAUACUUUUUGUUAUUCUUGUUGCAAAAGUUGUAUUAUAUAUUUGUUUUCUAUUUAGUCCACCAACUGGAAUGAGAAUCAUCAUAAUUCGGUCCAACUGCUUUUCUAUUUACUUUAUGGUAUCAGAGCAGCGCAUUCCUCUUCCCCGUUAGUUUUUUUUUCCCUUUCUUCCUCAAACAGUGACUAUGGCCACUACAGACGAAAUUCCAACCACUCCAGUACACUCCAUUGCUCUCAACCCCAACAACUUUCAUCUCAUUACAAUCAAUAUUUCUGCACAGGCUCCUCUCAAACUCACCUCCACCAACUACCUCUCAUGGAAGCUUCAAUUUGAAACUCUCUUCAUCGGCUAUGAUCUCCUUGGAUACAUUGAUGGCUCAAAACCUUGUCCGCCAAAAACACUCACUGCAAACAACUCUACAGUACCAAAUCCAGCCUACAAUGUCUGGGUUCGACAAGAUCAACUAAUCCUUAAUGCCCUCAUCGGUUCUCUGUCUCCUACAAUUAUCUCCUUUAUUGCCAGAGCCACCACAUCUCGUGAAGCAUGGACUAUUCUUUCCAAUACAUAUGCUAAACCUUCUCGAGGCCGCAUCAAGCAAGUAAAAAACCGUCUCAAAAAUCACACCAAAGGUACCAUGAAUAUCACAGAUUUUCUUCACUCUAUUAAAGCCUGUGCAGAUGAACUUGCCACACUGGGAUCCCCAAUGGAUGAGGAAGAUCUUACAGAAAGGAUUUUAGAUGGACUGGAAGAUGACUACAAAGAACUUAUUCAUGCUGUUCAAGCUCGUGACACAUCUAUUACCUUCGAUGAGCUUCAUGAGAAACUUCUAUCUUUUGAAGCAUCUCUUCAAGCAAACAAAAAGACUGAUGUCCAUCUUCCUAUCACUGCCAAUCUAACCAACCGAACAAAUACCACUUGGCGCCCACAAAAGUUCAAUCCCAACUGGCGACCGCAAUCUCAACAUCCUACUGGUAACACAGGCUGGCGCCCGUCGUCUACCAAUCCUGGCCGACCACUCAUGUCUACCCACUCAGGUACUCCACCACACAACAACCGUCCUCCAUCUCGUCUAUAUCUAGGCUUUUGUCAGAUCUGUCGCAUCCAAGGGCACUCAGCCAAGCGAUGUCCAUCAUUUCAGCUUGUACCAAUUCAGCAAUCGAACACAGGAUCUUCACUACCAAACACUUCGGCAAUACCCUGGCAGCCACAGGCGCAUUAUGCUGCUAACAAUGCCUUAAACAACUGGAGCGUCACACCAUAUCACAACAGACUUGAGCAACUUAUCCCUUCAUGCACCUUAUACUGGCUCUGACGAUGUUAUGAUUGGCGAUGGCACUGGUCUUUCCAUCACCCACACUGGUUCUGUCUCUCUUCCAACUUCCAUUACUACAUUUACUCUGAAUGAUGUCCUUUGUGUACCAACCAUGAAAAAGAAUUUAAUUUCUAUAUCUCAGUUUUGUUCUACUAAUAAUGCAUCAAUUGAAUUUUAUCCAUGUUUUUUUCAUGUGAAGGACCUUCGCACAGGGGCAAUCCUUCUGAAGGGCAGCACUAAGGAUGGAGUGUAUGAAUGGUCGACUAAUAACUCUAUGUCUUCUCCAAUUCUCGCAUUCUCCAAUGUCAAAACCACUUCUUCAAAUUGGCAUCAUCGAUUAGGUCAUCCUGCUUCUCCCAUUUUGAAACACAUUCUUUCUAGUUAUCACUUAGAUUUUUCUUCUCCUAUGUCAAAAGAAUUCUCAUGUAAUGCAUGUCUUUGCAAUAAAAGUCAUAAGUUGUCUUUUUCUACUUCAUCUCUUACAUCUACGCGACCUCUUGAAAUUGUUUUCUCUGAUGUAUGGACUUCACCUAUUUUAUCACAAGAUGGUUUCAAAUAUUAUGUCAUUUUUGUUGAUCACUUUACCAAAUACAUAUGGUUUACCCACUCAAGCGAAAAUCUGAAGUUCAUGAAAUUUUUAAGCGUUACAAAGUCAUUGUGGAAAAUUAUUUUCAACUCAAAAUAAUCACCCUAUAUUCAGAUAAUGGGGGAGAAACGGUACAGCAGCCAUGCCUUUGCUACUGCUGUUUAUUUAAUUAAUAGGAUGCCAACCACAACGCUCAAUCUAUCAUCUCUCUAUGAAUUAAUUUUCCACAAAAUGCCAAAUUAUACUAAACUAAAGAUUUUCGGAUGUUUAUGUUAUCCUUGGCUUCGUCCAUAUACAUCUCAUAAACUUGAUCAAAGGUCCAAACCCUGUGUUUUUAUUGGAUACUCAUUCUCUCAAAGUGCCUACUUGUGUUUUGAACCAUCUACUUCCAAAAUAUUUGUUUCUCGUCAUGUUAAGUUUGUAGAGUCAGUUUUCCCAUACACCUCUCUUCAUGAUCAUCUACCUCGCCCCACCUCCACUACUAUAGAUACUUGGCUUCCCCCAAUGCUCCUUGUCUCAUUACCUUCUCCAAUUCAGCCGCCUUCUACUACUCCACCUGAAGAGCGCCCACAAGAAUUGCCUGCUGUUAAAGACACUUCACUUUCCUCUGAGAUACCAACACAUCAAAUAGAAACAGAGCAACACCCACCACCCAUCCAACAAUCACCAAAUCCUACCCAUCAACCCACCGAAACACAAAAUACCACCCAACAUCACAUGUCUACUCGGUCCAAGAAUAAUAUUCGUAAACCAAUUCAAAAACUCAACCUUCACACCCACUUAUCAUCCCCACCUAGUCUUGCACCUACUUCCAUGACUCAUGCCCUCAAAGAUCAUAACUGGCGUCGAGCUAUGUCUGAAGAAUAUGAUGCUCUUGUUCGUAAUGGGACAUGGGAGCUAGUUCCUCCUGAUGGUAUCACUAAUCUUGUUGGUUGUAAAUGGAUCUUUCGCAUUAAAAGACACUCUGAUGGCUCUCUUGACCGGUUUAAAGCUUGUCUUGUGGCCAAAGGAUUUCAUCAACGACCCGGUGUGGAUUACCAUGAGACUUUUAGCCCGGUUGUUAAACCCACUAUAGUGAGACUUGUACUUAGUGUUGCAGUAAGCAAUGGUUGGUUUCUUCGCCAACUCGACAUCAACAACGCCUUUCUUCAAGAUCGGCUCUCAGAACAUGUAUACAUGGCUCAACCACCAGGAUUUGUUGAUUAUGAUCGUCCAACAUAUGUCUGUAAACUUCAUAAGGCUAUCUAUGGUCUCAAACAGGCUCCACGGGCUUGGUAUUAUGAACUACGCCAAUUUCUUGUGCAUUCAGGUUUCACAAAUUCUCACUCUGAUACUUCUCUUUUUGUUCUCAACACUGGCAGACAUGUUUUGUUUUUACUGGUGUACGUUGAUGAUAUCAUUGUUACUGGUAAUAGUGAUGACCUUGUUUCUCAAUUUGUUGGCUGCCUGGCUCAACGCUUCUCCCUGAAAGAUCUCGGCUCUCUUUCUUAUUUUCUUGGCGUUGAGGUUGUUCCACAUCGGCGAGGCAUAUUGCUCUCUCAAAGAAGAUAUAUCCAAGACUUGCUUAAAAGAACUCAUAUGGCAGAUGCUACGCCCGUACUUACCCCAUUACCAACAAAUUCUUCCUCACUCACCAUCACCUCAGGCACUCCUCUUUCAGAUCCUUCUCAAUUUCGUGCUGUAGUUGAGAGCUUGCAAUAUCUCUCUCUCACUCGUCCUGAUAUCUCUUUUGCUGUCAAUAAGAUGGCUCAAUUUAUACAUCAGCCUACUGAUGAGCAUUGGGUACUUGUUAAACGAAUUCUAUGGUAUUUAUAUGGCACAUUGGAUAAAGGUCUUCUUCUCCAUCGUGAGUCUCCUUUAUCUCUUCAUGGGUUCUCUGAUGCUCUUCAUGCGUUCUCGGAUGCUGACUGGGCCGGCAAUAAAGAUGAUUACUCUUCCACUAGUGCAUACCUUGUCUAUCUUGGGCGGAAUCUUAUUUCUUGGAGUUCUAAGAAGCAACAAACUGUUGCUCGUUCUUCUACAGAAGCGGAAUAUCGUUCAGUUGCUGCUACUGCUGCUGAACUUUGGUGGGUAUGUUCACUGCUUGCUGAACUUGGUGUGACUUUGCAAUCUUCUCCAGUUGUUUAUUGUGAUAAUAUUGGUGCUACUCAGUUAAGCUCCAAUCCUGUGUUUCACUCUCGAAUGAAACAUGUAGCAGUAGAUUACCAUUUUAUCCGUGAACAGGUUCAAUCUGGUUUACUUUGUGUGGUUCAUGUUUCUUUUUUUCAAGUAAGUCUUCAUUAAUUUUGUAUAACCAAAUGACUUUGUUAACCAUCUCUUCUACAUUUAUUCUUAAAAUUUUUUAAAGUUUUUACUAUAUUUUUAUAAAGAUCUAAAUAAUUAUCAUAUUCAUAAAUAUUUACAAAUUUUGAAUAUAUAUUUGCAUAUGCAUUUAUAAUUUCUUAUCUCUCCUAAGAAUUAACUAGAUUAUAUGUAUGUAUGUAUAUAAAAUUUAAAUUUAGCAUCUUGAAUUAUAAGAGAUAUUAUAUGUCAUAAAUAUGUUAUGACUCUAAUAAAUUACUAGAAAUAUGUUACAAUGAAUAAAUCAUUAGAACCUCUAAUAAUUUCACAAAAUAUAUAAAUUAAUGAGUUAUCACAUUCUAACUAUAUACAAAGAGGAUUUUCUCAUGAAAGAUUUUAAUCCUUUGAUCCGAUCAAUGAUUCGGAUAUGCAGGAAAAUAAUCAAUUAAAUUGAAUUUCGCUAUAUUUAUUAAAUAAAUUAGGAAACCCAAAUUUAUUUAUAAAUGAUAUAGAAAAAGCAAAUAAAAUAUUAUAAAUUAAUAAUUUUAAUGAAGAAAACAUAAAUCAAAUUAAAAAGUUAGGAGAUCAAAUGAGUAAAAAAUUUAAUAAAGUUAAACAAUUAAUAAAAGACUUCACAUUGAAGAUCAUGAUAUAUUAAAGUAAGAAAUUGUUAAUAUAAUAAAUAAAAACUUAAUAAAUAUAAGAUUAAAUAAGUUAGAGAUUCAAUUAGAUAAAAUAAAAACUUGGUACUGAACUUGCUAUAAAUAUAAAUAAAAAACAUGGUACUGAAUUUUCUAUAAAUAUAAAUAAAAAACUUUAAAAAAAUGAAGUGCUAUUGCAGUGUAGUUUGGGGUUCAAAAUAAAACUUUAAAACUUAUUGACUUUUUCAUAAUUAUUAACUUUUUUAAGGAUUCAAAAAUUUAUAGUUGUGACGUACAGCUGAUCUGUUGAUGUAACAUGAGCUCUGCCCAUUUUUAGCUGCCCACUUGCCAAGAGUUGUAUGGACCUUUUCCAUCGAACUCCAUGUCUAAACUUCAACAUCAAAGAAGAGUUAAAGACUCAGUCAGAUUCAGUUGGGGAGUUUGGUAUAAAAAUAAAUAAAUAAAUAAAAGUAAAGGACAGGAGAGGAAAUGAAAAGAAAGAAGAGGAAUAAAUAAAUUGAGAUUGAUUUUUUUUUUCUUCUCAUUUUCUCCCAUCUAUCUUUUUUAAUUCUCUCCUUUUUGUAUUUCGUCCAACCAAACACGCGCUACAAAUGUGUAUAAAAUGAUAUGCCCUAAUUCAUACAAGAGAAUUAUAGCCAUAACUAAGGUUGGUAAUGGGAUGGGGAUGGGACGAGGUUUAUCGACCUCAGUCCUGUCCCGUAUCUGCUGUACCGUACAUCCGCCCUGGCCGUACAGCAGCAGUUAAGCUCCAAUCCUGUGUUUCACUCUCGAAUGAAACAUGUAGCAGUAGAUUACCAUUUUAUCCGUGAACAGGUUCAAUCUGGUUUACUUUGUGUGGUUCAUGUUUCUUUUGCCGACCAACUUGCUGAUCUCCUCACCAAACCUUUGCCACGUUCUCAGUUCCUACUGCUAAGAGACAAGAUUGGCCUCUUUACCCGUGGCCUAUCUUGAGGGGGCAUAAAGAACAUACGUGUCAUUUGCAGUUUCAAUUACUUAAAGUUGGUUGAGUCUUCGUUUAGAAUAGAACUUUAAUCUUCUUUUAUAAUAGAACUCCUUUUUGAGUCAUCCUUCUUUUCUAAUACUUUUUGUUAUUCUUGUUGCAAAAGUUGUAUUAUAUAUUUGUUUUCUAUUUAGUCCAACAACUGGAAUGAGAAUCAUCAUAAUUCGGUCCAACUACUUUUCUAUUUACUUUAAUAUCAACAUAUAUUUUUAAACCCGUAUCGAACCACCCAUUUUGAAUUGCAGCAGAAACAAUCAAAGUCCAAGAAAGGUUUCUUCGAGCUAUUUCACUGUAACGACCAAAAACACCACAUUUCGAGCACAUUUUGAUCAAAUUAUUUUCCAAGAAAAUGUCAUUAGUGAAUCCCAACUUGACAAUAUGGCCAUGGAAAGGCACGAGAUUUUAAAUUCUCAGAUAGUGAAAGGGCUAGCAAGGAAAAUUUGGUCUUCCCCUAAAAAGGGAUCAGAAUAAAAUGGAUUGUUGCCACAUAGUUGGUGAAUUCGUUUCGUGGUAGCAUCUUGCAUGGAAGUGGCAUAAUGCUUGUUUGCAUAAAUAAAGACACAUUUCAAAAUUCUCAUUAGUCAAGAUUAUGGCCAUACAACACACAUACACACACACACAAGUAGCUUCAACUUUGUCAUUGACCGCAACAACCAUCAUCAACGGUGGAAUGCAGUUGACUUGGACUGAUGGAGGUUAAAUUCUAUAACGCGCGCGGAAGGUCUUUCAUGAAAUGUGAAUACUUGGGGCAGGCGGGCAAAAGAACCGUUGCCUCAAAAAUAUCAAAUUGAAUCCUCAAAAAAAAUCAAACCAUUCAGUUGGAUUUUUUUUUUAAAAAAAAAAUGGUCUGUUUAUAUAAGAAAAAAAUAAAAAUAAAAAUAAAAAAUACAAAAAAAUUACAGUUUAGAAUCAAAAAAUUAAAUUGAAUCAAGAAUUGAACAAUUCAAUUUAGUUCGGUUCGAAUUAUUAUUUCUAAACAAUCCAAUGAUUUAGUUCAAUUUAAAACCGAACCGAACUAUUGCCCAUUCAGUGAACAACUCUACGUUCAUGUUACUGAGGGCCACCUUUUAAAAGCGUUACGCCCUUCUUGGGGCUUUAGUGAGUUCUAGAAGAAAAGCCUUUCUUUAAUUGUUUUUGUAUUGGGUUACUUCAACUAUGCCUCAAGUCCAUUAUUGGCGCGUUUGGGACAACGGUACUACCAUAACGCAGCCGCUUCACCCCCUAUAUUCUAAGAGAAUAAUCAAUUUGCUAUGGAGUAAUGAUACAUCCACAAACUCUUAUAUAAAUUUAUUUUGUACAAACUUACGUGGCAUUAAUUCAUUGGUUGAAUGAAAAUAUAAAUUAAUAAAAACUAAUUAUGUGGGCCAAGUGAUAUUUAAUUCAACCAAUCUUAUCAUGCCACAUCAGUUUGUACAAAAUAAAUUUGUACAAGAGUUUGUGGCUGUAUCAUUACUCUUUGCUAUGACUGACUGGCAGGUUUUCCCAUCACUUAGGGCGUGUCUGACAAAGUUAAAGUGAAUUUUGUGCCCUUUUUUUUUUCUUUCUUUCCCCCUUAGAUUCUGUUCUUUCGUAUUUGGUGAUCAAGAUUUUGCAAUACAAUAUUGAUACAAGAUUGCUUAAAUUAGAGUGCAAUAUCCCGUUUGCUUUUUCUCUUACUUUAUUGGUAGCUUUUAAAAUAAUUAUUAAUUAGUUGUGUUGUAGAAAUAAUCAACUGUGAAGAGAAUUAGAGUUUGGUAAAGUUUAUUUUUAAAAACAUUGUGAAUUUUAAAAGUACUCGUAUGUGUUUGGUCAAUCUUAUUAUUAAAUUGCUAUAAGAAUACAAAUAAUUAAAAUGCACAAUGUUUAAUAAAAUUUAUUUACUCAUUUACAAACAAGUAUAUUUAUAAUAUACAAUAAUUGAUAAAUAAAAUAAAUAUUUUAUUUUAUUAACUUUAUUUUUUAUUUUGUUAUCUCAAUAUAAUUAGUAAUAAUAAUAAUCUCUUUAAAUUUAAUAAUUUUAUUUCCUAAUUAAGGAAAAUUUUAGAUUUUUAGAAUAUAUGUGAGGAUAUAUAUAAAAUUGUAAUAAAUAUAAAAUUAAUUCUCAAAAUCAAAAUUUGAAAAACUACUCAUUUCUUACUUUUUCAAAAUAAAAAUCUGUUUUAUGAUGAGGUGAUUUUAUCAAAGUUGAGUUUUAAAAAAUUUGCUAAACACUAAAAUUAGUUUUUCACUUUUAAAAAUUAAUUUUGAGCCUCUUAAAAGUAAUCCCAAACAAGUACUUAGUUUAGUUUCAAUAAAUUUUUAAUUAUAUAUAUUAGUAGACUUAUAUUAUUAUAAAGAUAUCAGUGUUAAAAAAAACAAUGGAAAAAAGCUAUUUUUAACUUUACAUCAAACACAAAUUAUCAUUAAUUAAUCUCAUGUUAAAUAUUCAACGGUUGUCAAAGUGGUGUUUAAGUAUGUAAUGUACCAUAAAAAUCUAUUGAAGUUAAAAAUGCAUGUUGCGGAUACAUCAGUUACGGUGAAAAAUGAAAAUCUUGAGGAACUGAAUAAUGUAAAUUAUGUAAUAUCAUUGCUAUAAAUCACCAAAAUAAGGUGACAAGAGAUUCGGUAGUGCCGCAUGAAUUAACAGAAAAAAAGAAUUCAUAAUAAGAGACGAAAAGAAAAAAUAAGAAUUAUCCAUCAACUUCUUCCUCGCAUUAAUUUUAUAAUUAUUAGCACAAAUAAGUUGCGAAGAACAUUACAAACUACUUUGUAGCAGGUUUUGUGGCUCUCAGCGGGUAUAUGUUUUUUUAUCGGCUUUAUAUGCACCCUGCCUAAUUUAUUUAUUAAUUCUCAGGUCUCAUCAGCUUAUUUUCUCCAUGCUGGUUAAUGCUGGACCAAAGAAAUUAAAAUUAAUAAGAACCAUAAGGAUUUCAAUAUUUGAGUCACAAUAUCAUUUAUUACUCAUUUAUUAAAUAAUGUAUUUCAUAUCUUAUAAAAUUACUUAAUCAUCAUCUAAUCAAUGCAAUUAAAACUUAAAUAUUGGAAUAUCUAGAAUUGCUCUAAAAUUAAACAGUCAGCAUGAAUUAGUAGUUAUCGUGACAUAUAAGAGUUUUCAAUACACGUAUCUAGUAACAUGCUGUCUAUAAUAUAAUAGAACAACGGAACAAAAUUAGUGUAAAAUAAUUUGGUUUCAUCGUUAUUGGUUUUCUCUGGUUCUGACGACCGCGAUGUUAGGAAAUUGGUGGGUGAAGCAGGACCGCAGCUAAAAUGAAAUUGAAAAUAAAAUAAAGAACAAGCACAAUAGAGGACACAAGAAAUUACGUGGUUCGACUUUUAGCCUACAUCCACGGGCGAAGACGGAAGAAAAUAUUUUACUAGUGAAAAUGAGUUACAAGUAUUGUAGUAUUUUAGCUCACUUCCUAAAACCCGAAUACACCCAAACUCUCUAACUCACUAGACACUCAAGAGUUUAUUAAACUCUUAAAACUCUCAACACUCAAGAAAGCAAUACUUCUCUCUCGAUGGAUUUGAAUGCAAAUGAAUUAGGGAGCUCUUCCUUUUAUAGCUAAAAAAAUGCUAUUAAAUUAAUAUAUAUAUGUAUAUAUUUCAAAUGUAGUUACCAACUUCUUCUUUUUCUCCAUUUGGAUGGCACCAUUUUCUUUGGCCGGCUGCACCAUUUUCUUCUUUCAAAUGUCAAACCCUUCUAGAUGCAGACAUUGGCUGUAACAAACAACCAGUAUAUUUGGGUGGUUGGAUUUUGAUAUUUUUUAAUCCAAUGGAUGAAAAUAACUUUAACCUAAAACAAGGUAUGGGUGUAAUAGCUUUUUACGAAAUUUUUUAUUUUGAAUCACAUAUUUGCUUUUUUUUUUUUCAAGUAAGUCUUCAUUAAUUUUGUAUAACCAAAUGACUUUGUUAACCAUCUCUUCUACAUUUAUUCUUAAAAUUUUUUAAAGUUUUUACUAUAUUUUUAUAAAGAUCUAAAUAAUUAUCAUAUUCAUAAAUAUUUACAAAUUUUGAAUAUAUAUUUGCAUAUGCAUUUAUAAUUUCUUAUCUCUCCUAAGAAUUAACUAGAUUAUAUGUAUGUAUGUAUAUAAAAUUUAAAUUUAGCAUCUUGAAUUAUAAGAGAUAUUAUAUGUCAUAAAUAUGUUAUGACUCUAAUAAAUUACUAGAAAUAUGUUACAAUGAAUAAAUCAUUAGAACCUCUAAUAAUUUCACAAAAUAUAUAAAUUAAUGAGUUAUCACAUUCUAACUAUAUACAAAGAGGAUUUUCUCAUGAAAGAUUUUAAUCCUUUGAUCCGAUCAAUGAUUCGGAUAUGCAGGAAAAUAAUCAAUUAAAUUGAAUUUCGCUAUAUUUAUUAAAUAAAUUAGGAAACCCAAAUUUAUUUAUAAAUGAUAUAGAAAAAGCAAAUAAAAUAUUAUAAAUUAAUAAUUUUAAUGAAGAAAACAUAAAUCAAAUUAAAAAGUUAGGAGAUCAAAUGAGUAAAAAAUUUAAUAAAGUUAAACAAUUAAUAAAAGACUUCACAUUGAAGAUCAUGAUAUAUUAAAGUAAGAAAUUGUUAAUAUAAUAAAUAAAAACUUAAUAAAUAUAAGAUUAAAUAAGUUAGAGAUUCAAUUAGAUAAAAUAAAAACUUGGUACUGAACUUGCUAUAAAUAUAAAUAAAAAACAUGGUACUGAAUUUUCUAUAAAUAUAAAUAAAAAACUUUAAAAAAAUGAAGUGCUAUUGCAGUGUAGUUUGGGGUUCAAAAUAAAACUUUAAAACUUAUUGACUUUUUCAUAAUUAUUAACUUUUUUAAGGAUUCAAAAAUUUAUAGUUGUGACGUACAGCUGAUCUGUUGAUGUAACAUGAGCUCUGCCCAUUUUUAGCUGCCCACUUGCCAAGAGUUGUAUGGACCUUUUCCAUCGAACUCCAUGUCUAAACUUCAACAUCAAAGAAGAGUUAAAGACUCAGUCAGAUUCAGUUGGGGAGUUUGGUAUAAAAAUAAAUAAAUAAAUAAAAGUAAAGGACAGGAGAGGAAAUGAAAAGAAAGAAGAGGAAUAAAUAAAUUGAGAUUGAUUUUUUUUUUCUUCUCAUUUUCUCCCAUCUAUCUUUUUUAAUUCUCUCCUUUUUGUAUUUCGUCCAACCAAACACGCGCUACAAAUGUGUAUAAAAUGAUAUGCCCUAAUUCAUACAAGAGAAUUAUAGCCAUAACUAAGGUUGGUAAUGGGAUGGGGAUGGGACGAGGUUUAUCGACCUCAGUCCUGUCCCGUAUCUGCUGUACCGUACAUCCGCCCUGGCCGUACAGCAGCAGUUAAGCUCCAAUCCUGUGUUUCACUCUCGAAUGAAACAUGUAGCAGUAGAUUACCAUUUUAUCCGUGAACAGGUUCAAUCUGGUUUACUUUGUGUGGUUCAUGUUUCUUUUGCCGACCAACUUGCUGAUCUCCUCACCAAACCUUUGCCACGUUCUCAGUUCCUACUGCUAAGAGACAAGAUUGGCCUCUUUACCCGUGGCCUAUCUUGAGGGGGCAUAAAGAACAUACGUGUCAUUUGCAGUUUCAAUUACUUAAAGUUGGUUGAGUCUUCGUUUAGAAUAGAACUUUAAUCUUCUUUUAUAAUAGAACUCCUUUUUGAGUCAUCCUUCUUUUCUAAUACUUUUUGUUAUUCUUGUUGCAAAAGUUGUAUUAUAUAUUUGUUUUCUAUUUAGUCCAACAACUGGAAUGAGAAUCAUCAUAAUUCGGUCCAACUACUUUUCUAUUUACUUUAAUAUCAACAUAUAUUUUUAAACCCGUAUCGAACCACCCAUUUUGAAUUGCAGCAGAAACAAUCAAAGUCCAAGAAAGGUUUCUUCGAGCUAUUUCACUGUAACGACCAAAAACACCACAUUUCGAGCACAUUUUGAUCAAAUUAUUUUCCAAGAAAAUGUCAUUAGUGAAUCCCAACUUGACAAUAUGGCCAUGGAAAGGCACGAGAUUUUAAAUUCUCAGAUAGUGAAAGGGCUAGCAAGGAAAAUUUGGUCUUCCCCUAAAAAGGGAUCAGAAUAAAAUGGAUUGUUGCCACAUAGUUGGUGAAUUCGUUUCGUGGUAGCAUCUUGCAUGGAAGUGGCAUAAUGCUUGUUUGCAUAAAUAAAGACACAUUUCAAAAUUCUCAUUAGUCAAGAUUAUGGCCAUACAACACACAUACACACACACACAAGUAGCUUCAACUUUGUCAUUGACCGCAACAACCAUCAUCAACGGUGGAAUGCAGUUGACUUGGACUGAUGGAGGUUAAAUUCUAUAACGCGCGCGGAAGGUCUUUCAUGAAAUGUGAAUACUUGGGGCAGGCGGGCAAAAGAACCGUUGCCUCAAAAAUAUCAAAUUGAAUCCUCAAAAAAAAUCAAACCAUUCAGUUGGAUUUUUUUUUUAAAAAAAAAAUGGUCUGUUUAUAUAAGAAAAAAAUAAAAAUAAAAAUAAAAAAUACAAAAAAAUUACAGUUUAGAAUCAAAAAAUUAAAUUGAAUCAAGAAUUGAACAAUUCAAUUUAGUUCGGUUCGAAUUAUUAUUUCUAAACAAUCCAAUGAUUUAGUUCAAUUUAAAACCGAACCGAACUAUUGCCCAUUCAGUGAACAACUCUACGUUCAUGUUACUGAGGGCCACCUUUUAAAAGCGUUACGCCCUUCUUGGGGCUUUAGUGAGUUCUAGAAGAAAAGCCUUUCUUUAAUUGUUUUUGUAUUGGGUUACUUCAACUAUGCCUCAAGUCCAUUAUUGGCGCGUUUGGGACAACGGUACUACCAUAACGCAGCCGCUUCACCCCCUAUAUUCUAAGAGAAUAAUCAAUUUGCUAUGGAGUAAUGAUACAUCCACAAACUCUUAUAUAAAUUUAUUUUGUACAAACUUACGUGGCAUUAAUUCAUUGGUUGAAUGAAAAUAUAAAUUAAUAAAAACUAAUUAUGUGGGCCAAGUGAUAUUUAAUUCAACCAAUCUUAUCAUGCCACAUCAGUUUGUACAAAAUAAAUUUGUACAAGAGUUUGUGGCUGUAUCAUUACUCUUUGCUAUGACUGACUGGCAGGUUUUCCCAUCACUUAGGGCGUGUCUGACAAAGUUAAAGUGAAUUUUGUGCCCUUUUUUUUUUCUUUCUUUCCCCCUUAGAUUCUGUUCUUUCGUAUUUGGUGAUCAAGAUUUUGCAAUACAAUAUUGAUACAAGAUUGCUUAAAUUAGAGUGCAAUAUCCCGUUUGCUUUUUCUCUUACUUUAUUGGUAGCUUUUAAAAUAAUUAUUAAUUAGUUGUGUUGUAGAAAUAAUCAACUGUGAAGAGAAUUAGAGUUUGGUAAAGUUUAUUUUUAAAAACAUUGUGAAUUUUAAAAGUACUCGUAUGUGUUUGGUCAAUCUUAUUAUUAAAUUGCUAUAAGAAUACAAAUAAUUAAAAUGCACAAUGUUUAAUAAAAUUUAUUUACUCAUUUACAAACAAGUAUAUUUAUAAUAUACAAUAAUUGAUAAAUAAAAUAAAUAUUUUAUUUUAUUAACUUUAUUUUUUAUUUUGUUAUCUCAAUAUAAUUAGUAAUAAUAAUAAUCUCUUUAAAUUUAAUAAUUUUAUUUCCUAAUUAAGGAAAAUUUUAGAUUUUUAGAAUAUAUGUGAGGAUAUAUAUAAAAUUGUAAUAAAUAUAAAAUUAAUUCUCAAAAUCAAAAUUUGAAAAACUACUCAUUUCUUACUUUUUCAAAAUAAAAAUCUGUUUUAUGAUGAGGUGAUUUUAUCAAAGUUGAGUUUUAAAAAAUUUGCUAAACACUAAAAUUAGUUUUUCACUUUUAAAAAUUAAUUUUGAGCCUCUUAAAAGUAAUCCCAAACAAGUACUUAGUUUAGUUUCAAUAAAUUUUUAAUUAUAUAUAUUAGUAGACUUAUAUUAUUAUAAAGAUAUCAGUGUUAAAAAAAACAAUGGAAAAAAGCUAUUUUUAACUUUACAUCAAACACAAAUUAUCAUUAAUUAAUCUCAUGUUAAAUAUUCAACGGUUGUCAAAGUGGUGUUUAAGUAUGUAAUGUACCAUAAAAAUCUAUUGAAGUUAAAAAUGCAUGUUGCGGAUACAUCAGUUACGGUGAAAAAUGAAAAUCUUGAGGAACUGAAUAAUGUAAAUUAUGUAAUAUCAUUGCUAUAAAUCACCAAAAUAAGGUGACAAGAGAUUCGGUAGUGCCGCAUGAAUUAACAGAAAAAAAGAAUUCAUAAUAAGAGACGAAAAGAAAAAAUAAGAAUUAUCCAUCAACUUCUUCCUCGCAUUAAUUUUAUAAUUAUUAGCACAAAUAAGUUGCGAAGAACAUUACAAACUACUUUGUAGCAGGUUUUGUGGCUCUCAGCGGGUAUAUGUUUUUUUAUCGGCUUUAUAUGCACCCUGCCUAAUUUAUUUAUUAAUUCUCAGGUCUCAUCAGCUUAUUUUCUCCAUGCUGGUUAAUGCUGGACCAAAGAAAUUAAAAUUAAUAAGAACCAUAAGGAUUUCAAUAUUUGAGUCACAAUAUCAUUUAUUACUCAUUUAUUAAAUAAUGUAUUUCAUAUCUUAUAAAAUUACUUAAUCAUCAUCUAAUCAAUGCAAUUAAAACUUAAAUAUUGGAAUAUCUAGAAUUGCUCUAAAAUUAAACAGUCAGCAUGAAUUAGUAGUUAUCGUGACAUAUAAGAGUUUUCAAUACACGUAUCUAGUAACAUGCUGUCUAUAAUAUAAUAGAACAACGGAACAAAAUUAGUGUAAAAUAAUUUGGUUUCAUCGUUAUUGGUUUUCUCUGGUUCUGACGACCGCGUACCACUGUUAGGAAAUUGGUGGGUGCAGCAGGACCGCAACUAAAAUAAAAUUGAAAAUAAAAUAAAGAACAAGCACAAUAGAGGACACAAGAAAUUACGUGGUUCGACUUUUAGCCUACAUCCACGGGCGAAGACGGAAGAAAAUAUUUUACUAGUGAAAAUGAGUUACAAGUAUUGUAGUAUUUUAGCUCACUUCCUAAAACCCGAAUACACCCAAACUCUCUAACUCACUAGACACUCAAGAGUUUAUUAAACUCUUAAAACUCUCAACACUCAAGAAAGCAAUACUUCUCUCUCGAUGGAUUUGAAUGCAAAUGAAUUAGGGAGCUCUUCCUUUUAUAGCUAAAAAAAUGCUAUUAAAUUAAUAUAUAUAUGUAUAUAUUUCAAAUGUAGUUACCAACUUCUUCUUUUUCUCCAUUUGGAUGGCACCAUUUUCUUUGGCCGGCUGCACCAUUUUCUUCUUUCAAAUGUCAAACUGUAAUACCCUAGGCGAAUCCCACAUCGGCAAAGCACGGGAGAGAUGCUGGGUUUAUAAGGGGUGAUCCACACCUUAAUUGGCAAGACGCAUUUUGGGGUGUAUGGGCNNNNNNNNNNNNNNNNNNNNNNNNNNNNNNNNNNNNNNNNNNNNNNNNNNNNNNNNNNNNNNNNNNNNNNNNNNNNNNNNNNNNNNNNNNNNNNNNNNNNNNNNNNNNNNNNNNNNNNNNNNNNNNNNNNNNNNNNNNNNNNNNNNNNNNNNNNNNNNNUCUGCUGUACCGUACAUCCGCCUUGGCCGUACAGCAGAUGACACAAACCCUUCUAGAUGCAGCCAUGCCGAACACUUCUAGAUGCAGCCAACUUUGACAUCCUCCCACUUGGAGAUUAAAUUGAAAAACAAUCAAUCUCCACACUAUCCUUUCUGCUUCGCCAUAAUCAUGUUGCCUACGUUUCUGCUAGGCCACAAGAGGAUCUACUCCAGACAAACUUAUCAGUAUUUAUCGGCUUGGUCAAAACAUUUGCUAGGUUCUCUUUGGUAUGGAUUUUCUGCAAAUCCACACUUCCAUCUUCCACUACUUCACGAACGAAGUGAUACUGGACUCCUAUGUGCUUUGUCCUGGAAUGAAAGGCUGGAUUCCUUGCAAUGUGCAAGGCACUCUGACUGUCACAAAAUACAGAAAUUUUCUCUUGUCCGUGCUUCCACUACUUCUCGAACGAAGUGAUACUGAACUCCUAUGUGCUUUGUCCUGGAAUGAAAGGCUGGAUUCCUUGCAAUGUGCAAGGCACUCUGACUGUCACAAAACACAUGAAUUUUCUGUUGUUUGUGCCCGAGCUCCUCCAAUAAACUUUGUAUCCAAAUAGCUUCCUUGCAAGCUUGUGUAGCUGCCAUGUAUUCUGCUUCUGUUGUAGAUAAUGCCAUAACGGUCUGCAAUUUCGAAACCCAGCUUAUAGCUGCUCCCGCAAGUGUAAACACAUAACCAGUAGUGGAUUUCCUUUUAUCAAGGUCUCCUGCAAAAUCUGAAUCCAUAUAGCCCCUGACAGUAAAUUCUGAUCCUCCAUAACAUAAUGCAACAUCUGAGGUUCCUCUGAUGUAUCUCAGAAUCCUCUUCACAGCUAUCCAAUGCUCUCCACUAGGAUUCGCCAUGUAUCGACUGACUGCUCCCACUGCUUGUGCAAUGUCUGGUGUUGUACAUAUUAUAGCGAACAUUAAACUUCCCACUGCUGAUGCAUAUGGUACUCGAGAUAUCUCCCUCCUCUCUGCUUCAUUGCUAGGACACAUACUUAAGGAUAAUUUGAAAUUAACAGGAACUGGGGUAGAAAGCAGCUGUUAUUUCUGUCUCGGUGAAUUUACAUCCCUAGAAUCUUGUUUGCUGGUAUCAAGUCCUUCAUUUUAAACUCCCUAGCCAACUGUGCUUUCAAUUCUUGGAUUCGAUCUUUGUUGGGACCUGCUACCAACAUGUCAUCCACAUACAACAACAAAAUGAUGAAAUCAUUAUCUUAAAACCUCUUGUAAUCUGCACAAUGGUCUGAACUGAGUCUGUUGUAUCCAAGGCUCAUAAUGAAGGAAUCAAAUCUCUUAUACCUACACCUCGGCGCCUGUUUGAGACCGUAUAGAGAUUUGUUCAACUUGCAAACCAAGUUCUCAUUUCCUAUUUCUGCAAAACCUUCUGGUUGGAGCAUAUAAAUUUCUUCUUCAAGUUCUCCAUGAAGAAAUGCAGUUUUAACAUCUAACUGCUCUAAAUGUAGGUCAAAUGUAGCACACAUUGCCAAGACUAUUCUGACUGUUGUGAGUCGAACCACCGGAGAAAAUAUCUCGUUGAAGUCAAUACCUUCUUUCUGAGCAUAUCCUUUCACCACCAAUCUUGCACGAUACCGCUCCACUUGGUCAUUGCCAUCACGUUUGAUCUUGUAGACCCAUUUGUUUCCAAUGGCUUUUCUUCCACGUGGUAGUGGUACAAGUUCCCAUGUCUUGUUCUUGUGUAGAGCUUCAAUUUCUUCCUACAUUGCUGUCAUCCACAAAGCAACAUCUGAGCUGUUUAAAGCUUCAUGGAAAGUUGAAGGCUCUCCAUCCUCUGUUAGAAGACAGUAUGCAACGUUGAUCUCUGUGACAUACUCCGAGUGCCACGCCGGCGGUCGUCUCUCACGAGUUGACCGACGAACUUCUGGAGCCUCGGACUCGACUGGUUCUUGUUCCUCGUGCUCUGGUGCUGCUUCAGAAGCUGCUGUACCGUACAUCCGCCUUGGCCGUACAGCAGCAUAAAUUGCAAUAAUUAAAAUUGAAAUAUAUUCCUUGAAGGUUUCUUCUUAGGAUGUGUGUCUGAAUCCUCAUUCUGUGGUUGAAUCGUUUGAGUAGUUUUGAUGCUAUUCAUUUCACUUUGUUAGUUUUCAGAACUCAAAAAGCACAGAGAAAAUCAUCUGACUCAUAAAGUUUUUACUUUGCUUUUGAAAACAAUGGCUUUGUUAUAAUCGAAUAUUUCUGUUCAUACUAUGGCACCUUUACCAUAUUUCAGCUGCUCUGUGUGCGCACACAUUUCGCUUCUCAGAAGACUGUGUUGCUGACAUUAGAAUUUGGUGUGAUAUAAUCUGAUUGCUUAUCAUCCUUGUGGUUUCGUUUAACUCAUAAUCAAUAGGAAUCUUAAUGUUGCUGAGGACGAUGAUCCAGGUAAGGAUGCAGAUGAGGAUGGAGGGGACAUAAUUUCUGGCCUCCACUGCAAGAUUGUUGUCCAGUUUGAGAAAUACAGGGACUUCUAUAAUACUCUCAAGGUGUUAUGUGGGCGUUCAAUGCAAAAGGUGGGAAGUAGGUUUUUCUGUUUAUAGAAAUAGUUUCUCAUUAUAUGCCUCUAACUUUGAGUCGCAUGCGGGAGUUGUCUGGUUCAUUGUUAUAUUGUUUUUUUGUGAUGAUUGACACAGCUGCUAUUUUGCAGCAAGGUUCACAAUUGAAAGCUGAUUAUGAGGUAACUUGGGACAAGGAUGGCUUUUUCUGGGACUCAAGAAACCAGGCAGAAGAAAAAAGUAACAGGAUGCCACUAAAGACAGCCAGACAAUACAGAAGUGAAACUUCCAGACAUGAAGUUUAUAGUUCACAGUUGGCUGCCGAUCAUACUCGCAGAAAGAGGUUCAAGGUAAAAGACUGAGUAAUAUCUUGGUUAGUGGCUACUAUGUUGAUCUUUUUCUAAUGAAUCAAGUCUAGAAUGCAUUUACUUCUAGCAAUAGAUCUACUGAAUUUUAAUCUAUGCUGCUUACUUGUAACACAAUGCUCGCAAAAUAGUAAACUUAUCGAUUUGAGCCCCGGAAGCAAUUUUCGCUCAGAGAGAAUCUUCAAGCCUUGUUCUGACAUGUGGCCAAGUUUGAGAUGCCACAUCAUCGUUGACUCUUCUCCAUUUGAUGUGACACACGCAUCAGCCUCCUGUAGUGUUUCUCCUUUAAGCAUGAAUAGAUUAGCACCGAUCUUUUCUUCCUUCAUCAAUACAAGCGCUCCUUUAACGAUCUUCAUAAUUCCAUUCUCCCCAUGAGUUUUGCACCCAUGAUUGUCUAUUUGUCCCAAAGACAAUAGAUUUUUCUUCAGGCCGUUGACAUGUCGUACCUCCCCAAUUGUGCGAAUUGUACCAUCAAACAUUUUUAUUUUGAUAGUACCAAUACCAGCGAUCUCCAAGGCAUGAUCGUUACCCAUAUAUACAGAUCCUCCUGAAAUAGGUUCAUAUGUAUGGAACCAUUCUCUCCUAGAGGUCAUGUGCCAGGUAGCUCCUGAGUCUAUAAGCCAGACAUCAGAAAGUCAUUUUUUGCCUUCUGAAAUAGUUGUUGCCUCACUGUAGAGAAUUUCGCCAUCAUCCGAGGUACUUGCUACACACCCCUGAGCAUUUGAUUACUCGGGUUCUUUGCCCUCUCUUCUCUUCUGGUUACUCCAACAUUCUUUCUUGACGUGCCCUUUCUUGCCACAGUUGUAGCAUUUAACAUUCUUCUUACUUCUGGAUUUUGAUCUACCCUGAUUUUGACUCCCACUGGGGCCACGUUCCGUUGAUCUCCCUCUCGUCACCGAUAACGCCUCCGCUUGCUGCGAACUUGCUUGUCUGUUUUCCUUAUUUUUCCGCCUGCUCUCCUCAUUUAAUACGGAGGCUGCAACAUCGUCGAAAACUAGACUCUCCACUGGAUUGUUGUUCGUCAGGUUGAUGAUGAGUUGAUCAUACGAAUCUGGUAGACUUUGAAGUAGAAGCUUUGCACGUUCAUUUUCCUCUAUAUUAUGACCCAACGUUGUGAGUUGUGAAAAUAGAGUCUUCAAUGUGUUGAUGUGGUCGGUCACCAUUGUAGAUUCCACCAUUCGAAGAGUAUAGAGUUUUCUCUUCAAGAAAAUUUUGUUGUGUAGUGACUUGGCCUCAUACAAUUUUGUGAGAGUAUCCCAUAUUUCCUUCGCCGUAUUUUUCUCUGCCACACUGGAUAAUACUCCAUCCACAAGUGCCAAGUGUAGAUCAGAAAUGGCGUUGCCAUCUACCUCGUUCCACUUGUCAUCAGUUAUCUCCAUGAGCCUUUCUCCAAUUGCUGUCAAGCAAUUAUUUUUCCUCAAUACAGCUUUCAUCUUCAUUUUCCACAACGAAAAAUUAUUUCCGUUAAAUUUCUCAAUUUCAUACUUUGCCGCCAUUUUGUUGAUAAAUACUGCACACAAGCUAGUAUACCACCUUGAAUCAGGCUUUACUCACACCACUAUUCCUUGCUUUGCACCGCAAAAUUCUUGGAUCGCUUCCACCGUUUCACGUGAAUAGUACCGUAUACAUGAAUAAUAUCGUAUACGUGAAUAGUACCGUAUGCCGUAUACGUGAAUAGUGUCGUAUGCCGUAUACGUGAAUAGUGUCAUAUGCCGUAUACGUGUACAGUGCCCCCUUACGUGAACAGUUCCUGACUCUAAAAAUACAACCAAUAGCUCUGAUACCACUGUUAGGAAAUUGGUGGGUGAAGCAGGACCGCAGCUAAAAUGAAAUUGGAAAUAAAAUAAAGAACAAGCACAAUAGAGGACACCAGAAAUUACGUGGUUCGGCUUUUAGCCUAUAUCCACGGGCGAAGACAGAAGGAAAUAUUUUACUAGUGAAAAGGAGUUACAAGUAUUGUAGUAUUUUAGCUCACUUCCCAAAACCCCAAUACACCCAAACUCUCAAAUCACUAUAACUCUUAAAAAUCCUCUCUAAAUAAAGAAAAGAACUGAAGAACUCGAUGAUUUACAAAUGAAGGGAGCCAGCGUUUUUAUAGCCAAAAAUUGGCUACUGUUCAUUUAAUAUUUAAUUAUUAUUUUUAUUUUAUUAAUUUUUCUUUUCUUUUCCUUCUUUGGCCCGGCAUCUCUUUUUCUAACUUCAUAUUUCUUCUUCAAACAUUUACAGCUUCUAGAUUACGACUCCUCAUCCUCCAUUCUUCUUUUGUUUUCUUUGUUUCAAAGAAUGCAGCAACAGCCGCAUUCAAAACAGGGAAAAGUGGUGCCACCUUCUAGAAAAGGUGGUGCUAUUUUCCACAUUCUCCCACUUGGAGAUUAGAGUGAAAAGCAAUCAAUCUCCACACUAUCCUUUCUGCUUCGCCAUAAUCAUGUUGCCUACGUUUCUGCUAGGCCACAAGAGGAUCUACUCCAGACAAACUUAUCAGUAUUUAUCGGUUUGGUCAAAACAUCUGCUAGGUUCUCUUUGGUAUGGAUUUUCUGCAAAUCCACACUUCCAUCUUCCACUACUUCACGAACGAAGUGAUACUGGACUCCUAUGUGCUUUGUCCUGGAAUGAAAGGCUGGAUUCCUUGCAAUGUGCAAGGCACUCUGACUGUCACAAUACACAGAAAUUUUCUGUUGUUUGUGCCCGAGCUCCUCCAAUAAUCUUUGUAUCCAAAUAGCUUCCUUGCAAGCUUGUGUAGCUGCCAUGUACUCUGCUUCUGUUGUAGAUAAAGCCACAACGGUCUGCAGUUUCGAAACCCAGCUUACAGCUGCUCCCGCAAGUGUAAACACAUAACCAGUAGUGGAUUUCCUUUUAUCAAGGUCUCCUGCAAAAUCUGAAUCCACAUAGCCCCUGACAGUAAANNNNNNNNNNNNNNNNNNNNNNNNNNNNNNNNNNNNNNNNNNNNNNNNNNNNNNNNNNNNNNNNNNNNNNNNNNNNNNNNNNNNNNNNNNNNNNNNNNNNNNNNNNNNNNNNNNNNNNNNNNNNNNNNNNNNNNNNNNNNNNNNNNNNNNNNNNNNNNNNNNNNNNNNNNNNNNNNNNNNNNNNNNNNNNNNNNNNNNNNNNNNNNNNNNNNNNNNNNNNNNNNNNNNNNNNNNNNNNNNNNNNNNNNNNNNNNNNNNNNNNNNNNNNNNNNNNNNNNNNNNNNNNNNNNNNNNUAUUAAAUAAUGUAUUUCAUAUCUUAUAAAAUUACUUAAUCAUCAUCUAAUCAAUGCAAUUAAAACUUAAAUAUUGGAAUAUCUAGAAUUGCUCUAAAAUUAAACAGUCAGCAUGAAUUAGUAGUUAUCGUGACAUAUAAGAGUUUUCAAUACACGUAUCUAGUAACAUGCUGUCUAUAAUAUAAUAGAACAACGGAACAAAAUUAGUGUAAAAUAAUUUGGUUUCAUCGUUAUUGGUUUUCUCUGGUUCUGACGACCGCGAUGUUAGGAAAUUGGUGGGUGAAGCAGGACCGCAGCUAAAAUGAAAUUGAAAAUAAAAUAAAGAACAAGCACAAUAGAGGACACAAGAAAUUACGUGGUUCGACUUUUAGCCUACAUCCACGGGCGAAGACGGAAGAAAAUAUUUUACUAGUGAAAAUGAGUUACAAGUAUUGUAGUAUUUUAGCUCACUUCCUAAAACCCGAAUACACCCAAACUCUCUAACUCACUAGACACUCAAGAGUUUAUUAAACUCUUAAAACUCUCAACACUCAAGAAAGCAAUACUUCUCUCUCGAUGGAUUUGAAUGCAAAUGAAUUAGGGAGCUCUUCCUUUUAUAGCUAAAAAAUGGCUAUUAAAUUAAUAUAUAUAUGUAUAUAUUUCAAAUGUAGUUACCAACUUCUUCUUUUUCUCCAUUUGGAUGGCACCAUUUUCUUUGGCCGGCUGCACCAUUUUCUUCUUUCAAAUGUCAAACCCUUCUAGAUGCAGCCAUGCCGAACACUUCUAGAUGCAGCCAACUUUGACACGCGAGGAUGAACUUUGAUUCCAUCGUCAAUAUUGCAGAGCCGUAGCUACUCUCCUCUGGUGCUUUGCCUUUAUUGUGCGUGAAUUAGGGCGGUCUGCACAUUAUAGCAUUCGGGAAACAAAUACGAGCAGGGAGUGAUAUCGUAUUAGAAUUCCAAUUUAAUUUCUAAUUUACGAUCAACAGUCUACAUUGUAAGCAGAAAUUACAAAUCUGACUCAGAAAAAAACGAGAUUAACACAAACCCCCCUAAAAAUAAAAUUUGAAACGGAGAGUCGGAGAGGCUGACCUUGAUCCCAUCGUUGAUAUUGUAGACCCCUUCAUGAUCCAAGAGAUUUCCUUCGCUUUGCCUUUUCCGCUUCGGGAAAGGUCUUCAAUUUGGUUUAGGAUUAGUGUUCCAAGUAAACUGAAGUUUAGUUUCCGCCUUUUAAGGUUGCCAAUUGUCGAAUAAAUACAAACAUCCAAAACUAAAACAAAUAACAAAAACAUAAGAGUAAUAAUAAUAAUAAUAAUAAUAGUAGUAGUAAAUCAAAUACGGGGAGAGAAACAGAUACAGAAGCACACAAAAACAGGUAACCAACAAACUAUCACAUAGAAUACCUUUAAUGCCAAAGGUUGCAAGAAAAUGGCAUUGGAAAACCAAUCAUUGUGUCCAAGCGUCUCUUCUUUCACAUUCAAAGCAUAACUAGGCUUCACAUGACAAAACUGAAACCUUCCCCUCUAAACAAUUGCACUAAAUCAUUAUCAAAGAGCGAACAGCCAACAAAUGCAACAUCCUUUAUGGCCAAACAGAUACUAACCUUGGACAAUGAGUACCUGACAAUGAGUACCUUAAGAACUCCAUGUCUCAAUCCAGCUAUAACCAGGGUCUUUCAAAACUUGUUUUUCUGUCAUUCCCCUCCUCACUAUAGCAGCACUUUCCCAACAGCCGUCCUCAGAAUACACCUUUGACAACAAGACAUGAGCAGCAUCAUUCUUAGGAAGCAAUAGGAGUAGCUUCUCAGAAGCCCAUUCUCCUAAUUCUUUAUUACCAUGUAUCCGACAACCACUAAGCAAGGAUCUAUAAACGGUAGGCGAAGGCUGAAAAGGCAUGAUUUCAAUUACAUGUUUGGCAUCUUCAAGGUAUCCAUUUCGUGAUAACAUAUCAACUAAGCAACCAUAACAAUCCGGAGAUGGUUGCAUUCCAUACUGUGAGUCCAUUGAUUUGAACAGUAGACAGCCUUUGUCAACAAGACCCUUAUGACUGCAGGCUGACAUUACAGAAACAAAUGUUGCUUGGCUAGGCUGUAGAUUAGCCAACUUCAUUUUGUCAAAUAUUUCCAUUGCUUCAGAAACAAGACCGUGAUGGGCAUAUGCCAUAAUGAAGGUAUUAUAUACAAUCACAUCAUUGGAAUUAAAAGACUGAUCAAAAGCCAUUCCUGCACCUUUAAUGUCCCCGCAUUUUGCAUAAGCAUCUAUAACUGCACUAGCAACGUAAACCUCUGUAUCAAAUCCCAAUUUAAUAACAAAUGGAUGUAUAGAUUUAGUUCGUUGAUAAGCUCCAAUAGCAGCACAACUGUUUAGAAUUGUGCCCAAAAUAUACUCAUCAGGCUUCUCACCAGCUUCUACCAGAGAGUAGAAAAUUGUGACAGCUUCAUGAUUAUGGCCUUGAUGCACCAAUGCAGACAUCAUAGCACCCCAAGAUGCCAUAUCUAAUCUCUCUGCUCCAUUAAAAAACUCAAAAGAAUUAUCUAAUUGUCCAAAGUUAACAUAACUUUUAAUCAAAGUACUACAAAUAUAUCCACAAGAAGAAAAACCAGUCUUAAUAAUAGCACCAUGUAUCUGCACAACCAUUUGCUGGUUUUCAGACCUACAACAAGUCUCUACAACAUAGAAGAAAGUACAUCCAUUUACCUCAACACCUGAUUCCCAUAUAUUACAAAAUGUCUUUAGAACAUCUGCGUCACAACAAUUAAAACAAUACCCUGAAAGUAGCUCAUUCCACGUGGUUAUGUUUUUGUAACUAACGUUGUCAAACACUGAAUGUGCCAUCUCCACUGCCCCACACCUACAGAACAUAUAGAUUAAUGAGCUUGUAACAUUUUCCCCAUCAAGAAAUCCACAAUGCAAUGCAAGGCACUGUAACUGAAGCCCAAGAUCCAGAUCAAGUAGUUUUCCACAUUGUCUAAGUAAUAUUGAGAAAGUUACAUGGUUAGGCCUACUGCCUGAUAGGAUAAACUUAUGGAACAAGCUUGCAGUUUGUCCUGGAUUCUUAUUUUCAGAGAAACCUCCGAAGAGAGUAUUCCACGAUAUAACAUCUUUAUCAGCCAUCCUUUCAAAAACCUUGAAAGCAUAGUCCAUUCCACUACUUUUAAUGUACAUAUCUAUAAGAGCAUUCACUAUUGAGAUACUACAUUCAACCUCACUCCGAAUGAUCAGUCCAUGAAUCUGUCUCCCAAUAUCAAAAUCAGCCACAAGGGAGCACCCCUGGAGGGCAUUUAUUAAGGUGUAUUUGUCCAUGGUUAUUCCUUCAAAUAGCAUUGAAGAUACAACAUUCAGUGCUUCAAAGCCAUACCCACAAUGUGCAUACCCUCCAAUCAUAGCAUUCCAACAGCCAACAUCAUCACUGCUUAAGCUAUAAAAGACCCGCUCUGCAGCUGCAACAUCCCCCAACUUAGCAUAAAAAUUCAACACAGAACAACCUACAAAAGGAUUCUUCUCAAUUCCAAUUUUCAAGGCAAAACAAUGAAUAGAAUAACCGAAUUCACUGGCUCCCAUACUAACACACGCUUUCAUAACACUUCCUACAGCAAACUCAUUUGGCAUAAACCCAUUGGUUGUCAUGUCCACAUACAUUUUUAAACCCAUAUCGAGCUCUCCAUUUUGAAUUGCAGCGGAAACAAUCAAAGUCCAAGAAACAAGAUUUCUCUCAGCCAUUUCAUCAAACACCCUAAGUCCACAGCCAAAAAAUCCACGUUUCGAGUACGCUGUGAUCAGAUUAUUUUGCAAGAAAAUGUCAUUGGUGAAUCCCAACUUGACAAUAUGGCCAUGGACUUGAGUUCCAAGGACACGAGAUUUUAAAUUCUCAGACAGUGAAAGGGAUUUAGCCAGGAAAGUUGGGUCUUUCCUCAAAAAGGAGUCAGAGCAAAAUUGAUUGUUACCACAGAGUCUAUGAAUUCGUUUCCUGGUUGCGUGGAAGUGGCAUGAAGGCUUGUCUGCAAAAAGAAAGGCACGUUUUAAGAUUCUCAUUUGCCAAGAUUACGGCCAUACAACACGCAACUUGCUUCAACUUUGUCAUUGACCAUAACCACCAUCAUCAACGGUGGAAUGCAAUUGACUCCAGUUGACGGGAGGAAAAAUUUUGAUAACGCGCGCACAAACCCUUUCGUGAAAUGUGAAUACGAGUCUUUGUUUACUAUUGCAGAGGGCCUUCUUUCAAAAGUUUACAUUACGCCCGCCCUCCGGCUUUCUCGGGUCUUACAAGUAAAAAGCAUCUUUUAGCGUUUAUUAUAGAUUGGUUAACUAAACAAAUAAAGUGUUGGCUCCACUGGCAAUAGAGUCCCUUUAAGUGGCUUGAUUGAGCUUGUUUUUUAGUUUGAGUCGCAAAAAAGUUAUCUUUGUUAGGAGAAUCUGUGCCUCUCGGUUCAAGCAGGAACUUCUAGUCUGAGUUGUGUUACGAGCUUAAAAGUGUCUCCCACAGUUAGGGCCUUCUCCAAAAUACCUCGUGGUCAAAAUAAAAAAAAAAUAAUAAUAAAUUAGUUAACUGAAACUUUGCCUCAGAGGAAGCGUGUUCGAGUCCUGGGAGUUGCAAUCAAUAUUUUUAUUUCCUUUCAUAAUUACGAGUAUUUAUUCUCUCUCAUAAUUACGAUUUAGUAUAAAAAUAGUCAGGCCUUCUUGAUAUCGUGGGGGAUAGAAUGUGAGUUAUGCAAUAAUAGAAUUGAUUUUAAAUUAGUCCCAAUAUAUUUAUAACUUUUUUAUUGUCUGUAUCAUUAAACUUAUUGUUGUAAGGAUCAUAGUAAUGGGUAAAGCUAUUUUAACCCAAAAAAAAAAAAAAUUAUGGAUAUACCGAUUCAUGGUGCAAAGUCUGAGGAAUUGAAUGAAUGUAUUCUCAUUGUUAUAGAUGACGAAGAUGACGGUGAUAAUGAGAAUAAUAAGAGACGCAACAUGAAUAAGAAUCAUCCAUCAACUUCUUCAUUGCAUUAAUUUUAUUAUCACAAAUAACUUGCUAAAAAACAUUACAAGCUAUGUAUGUCAGCAGGGGUCUGGCUCUCAAUGACGGCUACGCAUAUGGUUUUUUCUCGGCUUUAUACCUGCCUUUAUUUAUUCUCUAGUCUUGGUUUAUCUCCGUCUUAGUUUAUGCUGGAUCAAGAAAAUAGAUUAAACAGUUAGCACUUAGCAUGAGUUAAUAAUCAUUGUCUAUAAGAAUUUACAAUGACGAACUGUGACACAAAUGUAGUAAAACUAUUAUAUAAUACAGCAAGAAACAAAUCGGAGUAAAACUCACUUGGCACAAUUAGUGGUUUUGGAGAUGGGAAUGUCAAUUUGAACACCACACUUGGAAGGAAGUGAAGAGGCUGCAUUUUCUUUGAUGUUGGGGUUGCGAGCAGCAGCUGCCUUAACACAGUCGCACGCUGCACGUCUGUCAGCAGUGGUGGGAGUUAUGGCCUUGAGAUUCUUCAACCCAUCACAGCAGGCAGCCGCUGGAUUUCCCCCGCCCAUCAAGUAAGGAAUGCAAGACGCCAAUGAUGAGUCUUCUUGCCCACAAGUAAUAGCAGCCUCUCCUGGCUUCGCAGCCAAUAAUUGAACCAUGGCGAACACCACCAGCAUUGAGAUAACAGCACCACCCUUCUUCAUUUUCGCUGCUGCUUUUGAUUUUAUGUGAUUAAUUUCCGAGUGUGUACUCAAGUAGAUGGAUUGAAUGGCAAGCUGAAAUCGGUCGGUAUUUAUAGAGUAGUGGAACUAAAUAAAGUUGGAAGUUGUGUCAUGGCAUAACUGAAGCAGUUGCAUUAUUUUAUCUUGUUCUUUCAAAAGGGUAAUGAGGAAAGGCACCUCUGAUGGGCGAUAUAUGGCAUGUUAUAAGCAUAACCAACUCCAUCUCUUGUAUCCUUCGGGCAAUUCUUGACCUUUUUUUUAUUACUUACAAUUAGAUACCCAUUUAUACCUACAAUCGGAAAUCUAUCGUGACUUUCUUAUCUUUGUUGCGCUUUUAAGAUAACCCGAACAUUGUAUCCUUACUGAUAGAGGAAUCUUGACUUCUAGGGUUAGGAAUACCAACUCUAUUAUGGGCUUGAUAAAUUUUGUUGAAUACGUUAGAAAACACUACAAAAGUUUUAAUGCGACGCUCGUUUAAUAAUGAUCUAUCAAAUGACAGAUGGCAGAUUUAAUAAGUCUUAUAACGAGUUCUAUAAUCUUUUUAUUUUAAAUUUUUUAACUCUCAUUAAUAUUAGCUUCAUUGUUCGCAAUCGCACACUCAUCAAAUUUGACAAUCAAUAUAAUUAAAUGGAUGCACUACCUCUCUUGUCCUACAAAAAUUUUCUCGCACAACACCAAUUUAGCUCUAGCCAAUUGUCCGUAUUCUUCUCUUCUAAGACAUUAUCAAAGACAUGAUGCACCCGUGCAAUUACGACUGCGUAUGCUUUGAACUUUGCUUUAGCUCAAACAUUAGCACAUCUCUUUCAUUUUUAGGGCAAAGCUUAUGUUACAUUGGCUGUAACAAACAACCAGUAUAUUUGGGUGGUUGGAUUUUGAUAUUUUUUAAUCCAAUGGAUGAAAAUAACUUUAACCUAAAACAAGGUAUGGGUGUAAUAGCUUUUUACGAAAUUUUUUAUUUUGAAUCACAUAUUUGCUUUUUUUUUUUUCAAGUAAGUCUUCAUUAAUUUUGUAUAACCAAAUGACUUUGUUAACCAUCUCUUCUACAUUUAUUCUUAAAAUUUUUUAAAGUUUUUACUAUAUUUUUAUAAAGAUCUAAAUAAUUAUCAUAUUCAUAAAUAUUUACAAAUUUUGAAUAUAUAUUUGUAUCUGCAUUUAUAAUUUCUUAUCUCUCCUAAGAAUAAACUAGAUUAUAUGUAUGUAUGUAUAUAAAAUUUAAAUUUAGCAUCUUGAAUUAUAAGAGAUAUUAUAUGUCAUAAAUAUGUUAUGACUCUAAUAAAUUACUAGAAAUAUGUUACAAUGAAUAAAUCAUUAGAACCUCUAAUAAUUUCACAAAAUAUAUAAAUUAAUGAGUUAUCACAUUCUAACUAUAUACAAAGAGGAUUUUCUCAUGAAAGAUUUUAAUCCUUUGAUCCGAUCAAUGAUUCGGAUAUGCAGGAAAAUAAUCAAUUAAAUUGAAUUUCACUAUAUUUAUUAAAUAAAUUAGGAAACUCAAAUUUAUUUAUAAAUGAUAUAGAAAAAGUAAACGAUACCACAUUCUAGCUAUAUACAAAGUGGAUUAAUGAAGAAAACAUAAAUCAAAUUAAAAAGUUAGGAGAUCAAAUGAGUAAAAAAUUUAAUAAAGUUAAACAAUUAAUAAAAGACUUCACAUUGAAGAUCAUGAUAUAUUAAAGUAAGAAAUUGUUAAUAUAAUAAAUAAAAACUUAAUAAAUAUAAGAUUAAAUAAGUUAGAGAUUCAAUUAGAUAAAAUAAAAACUUGGUACUGAACUUGCUAUAAAUAUAAAUAAAAAACAUGGUACUGAAUUUUCUAUAAAUAUAAAUAAAAAACUUUAAAAAAAUGAAGUGCUAUUGCAGUGUAGUUUGGGGUUCAAAAUAAAACUUUAAAACUUAUUGACUUUUUCAUAAUUAUUAACUUUUUUAAGGAUUCAAAAAUUUAUAGUUGUGACGUACAGCUGAUCUGUUGAUGUAACAUGAGCUCUGCCCAUUUUUAGCUGCCCACUUGCCAAGAGUUGUAUGGACCUUUUCCAUCGAACUCCAUGUCUAAACUUCAACAUCAAAGAAGAGUUAAAGACUCAGUCAGAUUCAGUUGGGGAGUUUGGUAUAAAAAUAAAUAAAUAAAUAAAAGUAAAGGACAGGAGAGGAAAUGAAAAGAAAGAAGAGGAAUAAAUAAAUUGAGAUUGAUUUUUUUUUUCUUCUCAUUUUCUCCCAUCUAUCUUUUUUAAUUCUCUCCUUUUUGUAUUUCGUCCAACCAAACACGCGCUACAAAUGUGUAUAAAAUGAUAUGCCCUAAUUCAUACAAGAGAAUUAUAGCCAUAACUAAGGUUGGUAAUGGGAUGGGGAUGGGACGAGGUUUAUCGACCUCAGUCCUGUCCCGUAUAUGCAAGUAUGAUAAAAAAAAAAAAAUCACAUUCUCAUCCCUUUAUUUUUUUGGGAUAAAAAUUUGUCUUAAUUCUAUCUUAUUAAAUAUUAUAUUUCAUCCCAUUAUCUUGAACAAUUCCAAAUGUAAAUAAAUAAAUUUUGACUUUUUUUUAAGAAUCAUCAUAAUUCAAUUCAAUAUAGCAUAAAUCUUAAAUAAAUACAAAGUAUAAUAAUCAAAUAAUCAUUUUAUUUUGAGUACAUACAUGUUCGAAUACAAUUUUAUACUGAUAUUUUUUAUUUUUCUGUUUGCUUCCAUUCACAUUAAUAUUAAGACUUACUUUUGAAAACUAUAGUUUGGACAGUAACCAACUUUAGCCAUGUUAAAAUAUCCAAUAAUUCAAUAAUAUAAUAAUAAAUCAAAAUAACAAUGGGAUGAGACAUGAUUUGUCAAUUCCGGUACAGUCACAUAUAUGUAAAUAGGAUAAAAAAAAUCUCAAUCUUGUUCCUUUAUUUUUUUAAGAUAAAAAUAUGUCUAAUCCCAUUUUAAACGAGACGGGAUCCUGCGAUGAGAAAAUUAACAUCCCUAACCAUCGCAUUAAUUAAUUUAUUUUUUUACCAUACUUACAAUUUUCUCACACCUCUUAAGCUAACCUAAAAAUUUCAGCGUGCUAUAAAAAUUUUGAGAAUUUAAUAUAAUGUUAAAGACCAGUAAUGAAAUGAAAAUUUUGGUGAGACGUAACGCUGGAUUUGAUGUAGCAUAAACUAGAAUGAUUUUAAAGACCCAUUGAACAUAUCUCAAGGAUUGAAGCAACCCCUCGUGUUUAGAGGGUAAGAAACAUUAGUUUGACCUCGACACAUAAGUGAUUUUAUUAAAAUUUAUCCACUGAUCUUCACUUAAUGAGUUUGUACAUAUUUAUACUAAGCUUUAAAUUUAUUUAUUUAUUAUUUUUAAAUAGAGAGAUGAAUAAAGUUUAAAUCAUAUCUUAUUCUCAACCUCCUCUAAAAUUUAAACUCAAGUGGUGAGUUAAAUAAAAUAAAACAAUAAUCAGGCAGCGGCCAUAAUAUGCUUCGAUAGAAAGAGACGACUUUUAUUGUUAUUUUUUUUAAUUUCUUAGCAUGCGAAACCUAAAAGAAAGUGAGAAAUGAGGAAUUUAUAAAAAAAUUUCUUGAAUUAAACAGGCAAUAAAUGUUUUUGUUAGGUGGUAAGCAAGCAACUGGGGAAUGUAGUACCCAAUUUAAUUUUACAAUUCAAGCUUUAAAGCUAAGCUAAGCAAUGUCUAAUUAUAAAAUCUAAAAAUAAUACGAAGGCAAAAGCGGAGCCCCCCAAAAACCUCGCUGCCUAUUCAACUCUCUGCUAAAACCUCUCUUCACCUCACCUCGGCUGUACGGUACAGCAGGUUUAUUUUUAAAAACAUUGUGAAUUUUAAAAGUANNNNNNNNNNNNNNNNNNNNNNNNNNNNNNNNNNNNNNNNNNNNNNNNNNNNNNNNNNNNNNNNNNNNNNNNNNNNNNNNNNNNNNNNNNNNNNNNNNNNNNNNNNNNNNNNNNUUCAUUAAAAAAAAAAAAAAAAAAAAGAACCUUUAAGAGAUUUUUAACAUUCAAUUCAAUUUCAAUUAAUGGCAGCUUGGAAAAUUUUGAGAGAUUUUUCAUACAGAAGAGUAAUUUCAUCGACACUCGGACGCUCCAGGCAUUGCUUCUCCUCCUCCUCCUCCUCCUCUUCUGCUGCGUACGCCACCCCGAAAAUCCCUCACUUUUCCAAACGAGUAAGGGUUUCUAUUUAUUGUUAAUUUUUAUUUUUUAAGAUUACAAAUGCAUGAUUGUAUUCUGAAGUGGAGUGUAAUAUAUGCUUAUUUAUUUAUUUAUCUGUUAUUAAUUUUUUUGGGCAUUGUAGGGGAGAUUAUUGACGGGAGCCACCACCUUAGGUCUGGUUAUAGCUACUGGAGCUUAUGUGAGUACCGUGGACGAAGCAACUUUCUGGUAAUUCUUUCGCACAUUAUUACAUACAUUCUAUUUUUUUGCUUCAAUGAUACACUUAAUACUUGUGAUAAUUAUAUUAGGUUUCUUAUGUAAAGUCCAGUGCUUGUUGGAGGAUUGUAUUGGUCCUUGAAAAUGAUUGUCACUGUUAGAGUCCUAUAGGGUUUUCUAGCGUAGCAUUGGAAAUGGGAAUUCAUAAGUAUUUAUUUAAAUGUGAUACCCAAUUAUGGGAAUCGAUAAUUAGAUAUGGUUUCUUUGCCAAAAAUUGAAAAGCUAGUAUCUUGCUUUUAUGAAUAAAUAAUGCGAAUCGAGUCCAUUCCUGGGUAACCAAGUUUGAUUUAGCUGUGUUGACUUACUCAAGUUUUGUGAUCCUAGACGGUGAACUUGUUAGUGCUUCAUUUUUCACAGUGGCUGGCUAUUCUCGGCUACAAAACUUGUCAACCCAUUCUUUGCUCUUCUAGAUGCUGAAGUUGCUCACACACUAGCUGUCUCAGCCGCUGCUCGCGGAUGGGUUCCAAGGGAGAAAAGGCCUGACCCGGCGAUUUUAGGGCUGGAAGUUUGGGGAAGGAAGUUCUCCAACCCUUUAGGUCUUGCUGCUGGUUUUGAUAAAAAUGCUGAAGCUGUUGAAGGUCUACUUGGGUUGGGUUUUGGCUUCGUAGAGGUUGGUUCUGUAACCCCUGUUCCACAAGAGGGUAAUCCAAAGCCACGUAUCUUCAGAUUGCGUCAGGAAGGGUGAGUAGCCAUAUCUAACUCACUUCUUCUCUAUCUGAACUGCAGGAAGUUUCUUUUUUGUUCAAAAUACAGUUAAAAUAUAUUGUGUGGUUGAGAGAAAGUUAGGUGGACGCACAAAAACACAACUGUUGAAUCUUCAUGAAAUGCAAAUUAUUUUGGACUUUGGUCUCUGUCUGUGCGGACUUGAACCUAUGAUCUGAGCCUUAAUAACAAGUUUUAGGGCUUGGAAUUGAUUUUUCUUUUUCCCCUUUCAUCCCUCUCCUUUUUCUCAUUCUUGUACUUAUGUGACUUCAUUUUUUGUGGCCAGUGCUAUAAUCAAUCGAUGUGGCUUUAAUAGUGAAGGCAUUGUUGCUGUUGCGAAGCGUUUGGGUGCCCAGCAUGGUAAGAGGAAGUUGGAUGAAACUUCACGCACUUCAUCGUCCCCCAAUGAUGAAGUUAAAGCUGGGGGUAAAGCUGGCCCUGGCAUUCUUGGAGUCAAUAUUGGAAAAAAUAAGACUAGUGAAGACGCUGCUGCAGAUUAUGUACAAGGGGUUCAUACAUUAUCCCAGUAUGCUGAUUACUUGGUAGACAUACCGUUCAUCCUUACUGGAGUUCCUAUUCCUCUUGCAUAUGCUAUCAUCAUAAUUUUCUGAUUCAAAAGAGAUUUUGGGUAUCUAUAUGCUGGCCCUUGCGAAUUUGUUAAAUAUGCUGAUUUUCAGAGUUGCAGUAAGCUGCGAUGUAAAUAUCUUGUUUUCUUAGCUUGAAGUGCAGAUUAGGAAGAUUGAUUCUGGAUAGCUUCAAUAUUCUUUCCGUUAACACAUUGAUAGAUAUUGUGAUCUAACUUAUCUAUUGUCUCCAGUUAAGUGAACUUUUUUAAUUGAGUAUUGAUGUGAGAAUCAGCGCUGACAGAAAAAGUUCUCCCAUCAGGCCCCGCCCUCCUCUUUCCCUCCAGCAACCCAAACCAAAGGCCACAUAAAAAAAAAAAAAAAAAUGCAAGCAGCUCCUAUUACUUUACUUUUGGCACCAAUAGCCACAACCUUCCAUCAUGUCGUCGUGUUACUCACUUGGAAAAAUUUUCCCAUUAUGUGCUUCCUUUCAGCACCAUGAUGUGAAUUAAUUUCUGAACUAAAUAGGUGAUACAUCUAUUUAUUUAUUUAUUUAUUUUCAUGUUUGUUCCUUUGUAGGUCAUUAAUGUUUCAUCUCCAAAUACGCCAGGAUUGCGUAUGCUUCAGGGAAGAAAACAAUUAAAAGACCUUGUAAAGAAGGUUUAGCUCUUUGUCAUGAACUUACUGUUUUCUUCAUCUGAUUUACCUUAUUUCUGAUGCAAAGUUGAGUUUCUUAAACUUUCUAUUUUAAAACAAGGUUCAAGCUGCUCGUGAUGAAAUGCAAUGGGGUGAGGAGGGUCCGCCACCACUGCUUGUGAAAAUUGCUCCAGACUUGUCCAAGGAAGACCUUGAGGAUAUUGCUGCAGUAUGUACAUGCUCGUAUUAAUUAUGUUUUUUUCCACUCCUCACAUUCUUACAGUUGUUCUCUGUCUCAAUAGGUUGCUGUUGCACUCCGCUUAGAUGGAUUGGUAAGUUUCUUCCAUUACAUAUUAUCUUUGCUCCUUUACUCGAAAUGUUAAUACUUCUGUUUUUAAAACUCUUGAUGUCUUCAAUUACAUGUUGUUUAUUUUAUGCUCUGUAUUUUGUAAUAUAUUUAUAUCCUUCACCAGUAGUUACACAUAAUUUAACCCAUAAUUUACUGAAUUUAAAUUGUCCAUAGUUUAGUGGUUUCAGAGGGUGAAAUUUUUGUUGCGCCUUAUUUUUGUUGCCUUCGCUAGUAAUGUCCAAGAUGUUUGCCGAAUUAGAGGUCUAUCUCUCAAAGCAUGCACCAUAAGAAAGUGGAAUGUGGUUAUUCAUUUGUAUGUUUUUCUUUCAUUCAUUUUAUUUGGAUUAUUUUGCAUGGUAAGAGGAGACAUCUUUAACUGCAUAUCUAGGUGGUUAUCUUUAUCUAUUUGAUCAUGCUGAGAAUACUAGCAUUAAUGUUUGGCUAAUAGAUUUACUAGGCUGUAUUUUAUAAUAGUCUCAGGCCUCACUAAUGAGGUAUUACAAACUGAGAGAUGUUUAUUGGCUCCAUAUACAAAACUGAUCUAUGCAUAAGAGUUUUUUGGAAAAUAGAUGAAGCGACACAUUAUUAAAAGUUAAAAAUUUCCUCAAUCGGUUGGAUCAUUUUUAAGACUAUUUCUGUGACCUUUUUAAAAUGGAGAGUGGUUAUUUGCCUAGUUUCUUGUGGAUUGUCUGAUACACAGUUAAUGGUUAUUUGGUUAUGAGUGGUUUAUUUUAUACUUAUUGGUUUCUAAUCUUAAUUAAUUGGUAGGAAGUCUUGUUGAAGUAUUAUCUUCUUUAUCAAUAAUGAAUUAGCUUUUGUUCCCUCUACUCGCCUUCUAUAAAGAAUUCAUAGAGGUUAGAGUGGGAAAAAUUCACGCGCUUCUUUUAAUGAUGAGCUUCCAUUAAAUUUCUCUAUCCCAAGCUGCUAGGAAGCCUCGGUGAAACUUUCUUUUUCAUAAAAACCAUUUCUAACUUUUUAUCAUCAUAUAUAUCUGUUUAAUUCUCUGUAGCUUAGCUGAUACAACCUUUUUAUAUAUUAAACUUCCAUUUUAGUCAUUCUUCACGAGUGUUUUUUACUGCAUUAUUCAUACGUACUGUCGAAGAUGUUGUUUUCACUACCAUGACAGCCAGAACUGCUCCUGUUUAACAGCCUGUUGAAUUUUAUAUCCCAACACUUGGAUUGUAGAAUAACCAUCCUAUCAAACAAUGGUUUCCUACAUUUAUGCAUCUUUGUUUUGCUCUGUGUGAAAUAAAUUUGCUUUAUGUUUCUCUAUAAAGGGUUACCAUAAGUUAAUUAUGUUGUUUUUAGUUUUCUGUCCGUGAUGUCAGAAAUUAUGAUCAAGAGUUAUAACGGUGGUGAAAUUAAACUUAAGUUGUGCUCUCUUGAGACAAGAUUUGCUUUGUGAAAUUAACACUUUAAUUGAUAUUUUAGAAUAGAAAAUGAGAUCUAUUUAUGAUCUUCUUUAGGGUCUUUGUUCUUUCGCUUAAAUUUUAGAGAACUCACAAUAAUUUGAUUCUUCUAGAUGCAUAUUUGUAUGUCAUAAAUCAUUAACUAAAUGCCCCUCAUAUAGUUAAUUCUCUUUUAAUUUGUGUUAAAAGUUGACAUUCGUAUUAUGUUUAAUAUGUAAUUGGUAAUGCAUUUUUGGUUGAUUGACUCGUGAUGUUAAAGUUGUGCGAUUUUCUGAACUUUCAUUUUGAGAAAGCAUUUCAAUUUUUGUGUAGAUCAUAUCAAAUACAACUAUUUCAAGACCAGAUCCUGUCAGUAACAACCCAGUGGCUAAGGAAACUGGUGGUUUAAGCGGGAAACCUCUGUUGAGUUUGUCAAACAAUAUCUUAAAGGAGAUGUAUCUCUUGACAAGGGUAUACUGGCUAUUCUUAUGGUAUCUUUACUUUAUUACCCAUAAGCUGCCUUUUGUUGGAAAAUAUAGCGAAGAUUAUUUCAUGUUCAAAACCAUCCUUUUUGUAUAAAUCCAUCUGGUUGCUCUGCUGUACCGUACAUCCGCCUUGGCCGUACAGCAGCCCCAAACUAAAUAGUGGGAAAAAAAAAUUUAGAGCAAAAAGGGAUUAGAAAAAAGAAUUGAUUUUUCAGUUGUUUGUCGGCACUUAACAACUGUAGGAUGUAAGUAUUUUUGUGCCUUCUUCAUUGCAAAUUCAAAUGCCUCAAAGAAACAAUGGAAUAUGAAAAAGAAAGAUGAGGCAUCCUUCUUGUAGACAAAAAUGAACAAUAAAAGAAGUAAUCAAAACCAACAAAAGAUAACAACCUAAAUUAGAUGGGAAAGAAAAUCAUCUUCCAGAAAAGGUAUGAGUUGCUUCACCAACCGUCUAUACCUUGUAGUUUUCUUUCCUUAAGGGACUUGCCCAUUAUUGAUUAUUUCAUACUUACAAUUUCCAUAGUUUUUCUGAUAUUUUUUAUUUCAUGCUAUGAAUUUGACAGUGUCUAUUUAUCUUUGACAGGGAAAGAUUCCUCUAAUUGGCUGCGGGGGUAUUAGCAGGUAAAAUCAACAAAAACCUCGUUGUAGUAUCUGCUCUCUGAAAAUCUCUCAUUCUCUAAUCUUGGUUUGUUUAUGUUUGAUUCAGUGGAGAGGAUGCUUACAGAAAGAUACGAGCUGGAGCAACUCUUGUUCAGCUUUACACAGCAUUUGCCUAUGGGGGACCAGCUCUUAUUCCUCAAAUAAAGGUACUGCUCUACUGAGUUUCAAAAGUUGGGAGUAUGGAUCAAAAUAACAUUAUACAAUUGCUGUUAGUGUGUAGCAGAGAAUGCAUUAAACAGCUUUUUAACAAUGUUUCGAAACCUGGACCAUUGACUAAUCUCUAUAAGUCAUUAAUAGGUACUAUUAUUUUAAUGGGGUGGAGUUUAGACGUCAUGCAUAUAUUUUACAUAUUAACUAGUCAAUGCUUGAAAAAUGUGAGAAUUCAUUCAGAAAAACUGUAACAAGACGGCAGAAUUAUUUUUAUUAUUGUCUUUUUUUUUUUAACCAAAUACUUUUAACAUUGAAUUGUAACAAAACUUCUGUAAUUGCUCUCAUGUUGCACGUAUUAGACAUAGUGUAGUAAGUUCUUCUGUGUGCUCGGAAGUGCCUGAAUUAUCCUUGAUAUUUAUUAAUGUUUAUCGUCCGUUUAUUUAAUUCCUGAAAUGUGUUCUCCUUUAGGCUGAACUGGCUGAGUGCCUAGAAAGAGAUGGUUUUAAGUCUAUCAUUGAGGCAGUAGGUGCAGAUUACAGAUAAUUGCGGCGUGCGUGUUAGCUCCACAGAAUGAAUAUUGAGCCCGCCUUUUUGAUGUGCAAGAAGGACCACACAUGAACAGAUUCUGUAUCUAAUUGAUUUGCUAAGCAAUUUUUUACACAUUUAGAGUUUUACUGUAGUUUUAGUUUCCACCUGUUUCUUUUUUAUCUUCUCCCCCCUCCCCCCUCCCCCCUUUUUCUGAGGUUGAGUUGAAAUGUUAACCUGUAAAAUAUGAGAAAUUUAGAAAUGAUUUGUCAGGACUUUAAUCUCUUUUCUGGUGCUCCCGGCUAUUCAUUCAAAGUUGGAACAGAGUUUUCAUGGCAGGCAGUAGUUUUUGGAAACUAUAUACGAGGCUUUCCAUGUACUGUAUGUUAUGAUGAAUGUGGGCUUUCCAUGUGUAGUGCACCUGAGUGGUGCCAUUGUGGUUUAUUUUAUUUCUUUUAAAUUCCUUCAAAAUGAUUUUCUGUUUGUGCCAAUUUUCCAAUAGAAAUACUGGGGAUAUAAAUUUUUACACAAGUCGUUGUGACAGUGCCAAAACUAUUGUCUCAUAUCCCACAUUUUUGCAGGAAUUAUUAAAAAAAAAAGAUGGGAUAUGAGGCAAUAUUGUCACGGCAUUAAUUUUUGUAGAAAGACAGAGUUUGCUUUUGUAGCAUAAUUGAUUUACACUAAAGAUAAUGAUUAAUCUUUGUUUUCUUGAAUUUUUCGUGUGUCCAAUGACACAUGUAUGGACAAUAAAAAAUAAUAAAACAACAAUGCCACAAUGGUAAUGAUAUCCUUUAAAUAUUGGAAAUUAAUAUUUAAUCUCUUUAAUUGUAAAUAUAUGAAUAUAUUUAGGGCCCGCCUCAGUUACGUGUAACUUGCGGCUUGGCUGUAAAAUGUUGUUCAGCCCCCUAUACUCUAUGUUAUUUAUACUUUGUUCAUGAAUAUUAUAAAAUUUUUAAUUGUAAAAUUUUUAAUUGUAAAAUUUCGUCAAAUCCUUUAAACUCAAUUUUAUUUUGAGUAAUGAUACAGCCACAAACUCUUGUACAAAUUUAUUUUGUACAAACUGACGUGACAUUAAUUCAUUGGUUGAAUAAAAAUAUAAAUUAAUAAAAACAAAUCAUGUGGGCCAAGUGAUAUUUAAUUCAAUCAAUCUUAUCAUGCCACAUCAGUUUGUACAAAAUAAGUUUGUACAAGAGUUUGUGGCUGUAUCAUUACUCUUUUAUUUUAUUGAAAUCUUAGAAUACGAAUUUGUCCUCUUAUAAUUUUAAAUUCCCAAAAUAAUCUCCAUUUAAUUAAAAAUAUAAUAAUUAUUAAAUGAAUUAUAAUUAUAAUUAUUAUUUUAUUAUAAUCAUAAAUAUUAUUAUAUCUNNNNNNNNNNNNNNNNNNNNNNNNNNNNNNNNNNNNNNNNNNNNNNNNNNNNNNNNNNNNNNNNNNNNNNNNNNNNNNNNNNNNNNNNNNNNNNNNNNNNNNNNNNNNNNNNNNNNNNNNNNNNNNNNNNNNNNNNNNNNNNNNNNNNNNNNNNNNNNNNNNNNNNNNNNNNNNNNNNNNNNNNNNNNNNNNNNNNNNNNNNNNNNNNNNNNNNNNNNNNNNNNNNNNNNNNNNNNNNNNNNNNNNNNNNNNNNNNNNNNNNNNNNNNNNNNNNNNNNNNNNNNNNNNNNNNNNNNNNNNNNNNNNNNNNNNNNNNNNNNNNNNNNNNNNNNNNNNNNNNNNNNNNNNNNNNNNNNNNNNNNNNNNNNNNNNNNNNNNNNNNNNNNNNNNNNNNNNNNNNNNNNNNNNNNNNNNNNNNNNNNNNNNNNNNNNNNNNNNNNNNNNNNNNNNNNNNNNNNNNNNNNNNNNNNNNNNNNNNNNNNNNNNNNNNNNNNNNNNNNNNNNNNNNNNNNNNNNNNNNNNNNNNNNNNNNGCCGUACAGCAGAGGUUAUUUUAGAAAUUUAAAAUUAUGGAAGGUGAAUUCAUAUUUUAAGGUUUCAAUAAAAUAAAAUUAAGUGUAAAGAGUUAAACGAAAUUUUAUAAUCCAAAAAAAAUUAUAAUAUUUAUAAAUAAAUUAUAAAUAAUAUAAAAUAUUGGAGGCCGGAUAAAAUUUUAAGAUCAAACUGUAAGUUACGUUAAAAGUAGCUUUGACGGACCCAUAUAUUUAUUGCUUUAUUGCUGGGAAUUGGAAAUUUGGACCCUCGAUUCCUCGGACUAUGCAAAAUUUCCGCUCUGGUCAGCUUCCUCUGUCUCAUCUAGCCAUUAAAGCCAUUCUCCUGGGCGCAAGUGAUGACGUGGCGAUUCUUGGUUGCGUUUAUAUAAAGCUACAAAACAAAAGUACGAGCUCUUCUUUUCCCUCUUUUUUUUUAAUUAGUUUUUUAUACAGCAUUAAGCUACGAAUGUAGUACGGCAAUAAACGAUUCUUUACCUAUAAUAUUUUUUUAUAAUACCUCCACUGUUACGAGGAUGGAAAGUCCCAGCCAAAUAAAUGGUCGUGCAUCUGUUUUCCUUAAACCAUGAAGUCGGAGAAUUGAAUGUAGUCGCAUCUGCUCAUUCAUGGCUUUUGAGGUGCUUCACUUUCACUGACACCGAGUUCCUUCAAGAACAUAACAAAGUAAAAAAACUGAUCCCAUAGUCCUGCACAACAGCCAGAAGGUAGCCCUUCUUCCACUUGAUCUUCAUUUACUUUGAUGUCAACAUAGUUUAUAAUCUUUGCCUCUGCUUAAUUCGUGCAUGCUUGGUCAUAGCUUCUAGUGUUUAAUAGGGUUCAAUAUACUUUUAACAUUUCAACAACGUGCAGUCUCUUUCUUGUUCAGAUUUAUCACUUCUAAUUGUGUAACAGAGACACAGUUCUCCCAUUCAUUUAGUUUCAGGAUGAUAAUUACUUACUUUGGUGUAACUAAGUUUAUCUAUUGAUUGUUACAAACUUCGACCCUAAGAUUUCUCAUCAAAUGAACUAUAGGGAUUCAGACUAUCACACUCUGCAUCUCUCUCUAAACAUAAAUUGAUUUGCAGUUGAUUCAAUUAAUAUGCCUGAUCCUCUAAUUAUUCCUUGAUUGUUAGUUGUCUAGGCUGUGGAGUUAAUCAGAUUUUAUAGAGCUCUAGUCAGGGCAGCUGAUUAUUAUUAUAUUUUUGAUAAAACCAAAUAGAGGAAAGAUGCAAAAACGGAUGUUCUUUGGUUGCAGAACAGCAUGUCUGUAUUCGCUGAAAUUUUGAGAUGCAUUCUUUGUUGUUCGGAUGAAGAUUUUCAUGAAACUGAAACGGACUACUGGGAGACAAUCUCUCUACUUAGAACAUCGAAUCACAACUCUUCUGUCGGGAAUUAUAGUCAUCACAACUCUUCUCUCAGGAAUUCUAGUGAAACUCAAAGGGACUACUGGGAGACACUAUCAUUUGAUUCUGAACAACAUCAAUUACGUGCUAAGCCACCGGCAUCUCCACCACCCCGUAAAUCCUCGCAAUCUUUAUCUGGUUCUACUUUGACGACGAAAGACGCAGCGCCUAAAGUUUUGAAGAAGCCAUUGUCUCAGAAGGCUCCUUCAUCUUCUCAGCCUACCCUUUCACCAUUCCCUUCUGAUUCAACAAAUCAGCAGAAAAAUGAUAGCUAUUUUUUGGUUGAGAAGGGCGCAUCCAAUUACAAGAUUCCUAAGGAUGUUGAAGAUUUGGUUAAGAAAGACAUUGUGCCUGAUGUUUUGAAGAAGCCAUUGUCUCCGUCGACUUACAAAGACUACUUUGCUGCUCUGCUGUACGCUGAGGAUUUCUACAUUGAGGUGAUUAAUUAACAGUGACCUUUUUGCAUGUUGUUCUCUAUAUUAUCAUUUUGUGUGUGUUUAUUUUCAAGCUAGAACCAACAUAAAACUCAUUUUCAAAAAAAAAAUAUCAACAUAAAACUCAUAAAAUCUGAAUUUAGAUACAUACUCGGAUUAUGUGCGAAAAAUCGACAAAUCAAGGUUGUGCUACUGAAUUCUAGUUAGAGGAUGAUCACAAAGCUGGAAAAUCCCCGCAGAUCACGUUGCAAGAACCCUCUAAGCUUCUCUUGGCUCGAAUUCUCUCAAAUUGCACUCUUUAGCUCAAUGGCUUGUCCCUAGCUUGUCUCUUGUACCUUUCUCCAUGGAUUUACUCUUUAUUUAUAGCAUUCCAAGAGUAGUGAAUCAUCACUAAAUAAGGUUAAACUAUUGUUGGAGUCAUCUUCCACUCAGUGAUCACUUAAUAUCUUAGGAUAUUAUAUCAUUCCACUCAAAAUUGAUCACUUAAUUCUUGGUCUCCUCAUGGGUGACCUCAAAAUGAUAGAACCCUAAUGUACAUGUAUAUCUAUUUACAUACACAUACACAUACACAUACACAUACAUAUACAUAUACAUAUACAUAUAACUUCUUUGCUACCAAUUGUAUAUUGUGUACUGUGGCUGUUCAGUGGAAGAUGCUUUUUUUGUGUUUAGUGCAGUACUAUCCCCUUUGCAAUGUUAGUUUACCUUGUAUCCGAUAAAACAUCAUGUGGGUGAUGUAUUUAGCAAUCAUCAAACAUGUUUUGCUGGAGAUACAUAAUUUUAUAUUUUAUAUCUCUGUCUCAGUUUUUCGUUAGAUUUACCAACUAGGCUUCUCGAGACAAGCCUGUUUAGAUUUAAAAGUGAUUUAUAGGAAUCUUAUAUGUUGUAGAUGAUUGAAUGCAAGGUGCAUCUACGGACCAAAAACAUUACAGUUUCAUCCAAGUUCUUUCUUUCAUACUUCCUAAUUGUGUUUAGAUGUAAUAAUGGCUUUGAUUUGAUCAGAAGUGGAGCGGUUUUCAGUUAUUCAAUGUCACAUUGGAGGUGCAUAAAGCUGCAAUAUAUGAUAAAUCACUCAAGAACAAGAAUCUGAAGGAAAGUGAUGAGAAGAAUGAUAAACUCUUUGUAGCCUUUGAAAUUGAUUCUGUUCCUGAGAGACGACCAUUUCUAUUAUCUAGAGAUUUUGUCCACGCACGACGUUCGGGCAGCAACGCCAAGGAGUUUCAAGUAAGUGUCGUGAGCUUUCAAACUAAUAAUUUGUAGAAUCUCUUUUAGUGAUAAAUAUUCAUAUCUUCUGCCAAAUUGAGAAUCUAUUUUAUGCUUCUUUCUCCCUAUGCUUUCAAAUUUUUGGAAUAUAAUUCUAGUCGCAGCUAUCAAUAUAAUUUAUAAAUUAUGACAUUUGAAAUUCUGCAAACCUACUUAAUUCAAACCUACUUAAUGCAAACUAUUGCUCAGUUUGAACUAUAGAUGAGUGAUGAGCAUAUAAUACAUACAUAUUUUACCAUUAAUUAAAUAAUUGUUAGCUAUAUUUAUUUGUUAUUUUUAAUUAAUUGAAUUAUUUUAUUGAAUAGGGAAUUAAUUGUCCAGACAUUUUGUUUUUCUGGUUGAAUAUCUUCGGAAAAUAUCUCCUUAAUUUUCCGAAUAUUUGUUUUCUCAAAUCCUGUCCAGGGUAUUCUUUACCGGGUGGUGAAGAGCAACGUAGUGUUGGUUGAGUUUGAAGAAGAUUUUUAUUCACUGCAUCAUCCAAAGUACAGAUACGAUAUUAGCUUCUCAUUCAACCGAGUCUGUUUGAAACGAGCUCACCAAGCAAUUGCAGCUGCAUCACGUUCUUUAUUUGAGAACUACCUGUUUCCUGAUUUUACCUCUAGAAAGAACAUCAGUUCCUCAGAAAUUUGUCUUUAUGGUAAUCGUAACCUUGACUCAGAUGGCAACUCUGCAGUUCGUCGGAUCCUAAGCUUACAUGGGAGGCCACCUUAUCUUGUAGAGGGUCCACUCUGUGCAACUAGUGACAAUCUAUCCAAAACUGGAUUGGUUGUUCGAGAAGCAGUACUUGAAAUUUAUAAGAGGUCAUCUAAGUGUCGAAUUCUAGUCUGUGCUCCUAUAAAUAGAACAGGUGAUGUAUUAAUGAGAAGUUUGAAGAAGAAGAUUCCAAAGUCUGAUAUGUUUCGAGCCAACGCUGCAUUCAGAGAGGUAGAUGGGGUACCAGUUGACAUCCUCCCCUUGUGCCUUUAUGAAGGGGGGGAGUGUUUUCAAUUGCCUUCACUUCAGGAAUUGAUGCAAUUCAGGGUAAUAUUCUCAACUUUUACAAGCAGCUUUCGCCUUCACAACGAGGGCAUACCUGCUGGGCAUUUUAGUCACAUUUUUCUUCUUGAUGCCUCAUCUGCUACUGAGCCAGAGACAAUGAUAGCUCUCACAAAUUUGGCUAAUGAGCACACGACCGUGAUACUCACCGGUACUCCUAAUAACCGUACGAGUUGGGUCCGCUCUGAUAUUGCUAGGAAGAAUGGAUUAAGGGUGUCAUAUUUUGAAAGACUUCAUGCCACCAAGACCUAUAGCAAUUUCAAUCCAAUGUUCAUUACUAUGCUGUAAACUUUGAGUACUGCAGUAACAAUAACCUCUGUUAUAACUUAGUUUACUUCCAUGAAUUUGUUACUACUGUGCCUGGUUGUAAAUGUGUGAAUGUAAGAACAUUUCUUUGAUCUGUUGCUUUUGCACUUAUUGCUCUAUCUAAUUCAUGCAGUCCAAUUCCAUGAUGAUUGAUUGUUUUCAUUUUCAUAGAUUAACCAAAAUUCAAGUCUUCAUAGAUUGUAUACAGGUCACAGUACUCCAUCUCUGGAUUAUUAGUCAUCUCCACAAUCCUGCACAACAGCCAGAAGGUAGCCCUUCUUCCAUUUGAUCUUCAUUUACUUUGAUGUCAACAUCGUUUAUAAUGUUUGCCUCCGCUUACAUUCGUGUAUUGCUUGGUCAUAGCUUUUAGUAUUUAAUGGGGUGUAAAAUACUUUUAACAUUUCAACAACAUGCAGUCUCUUCUUCAGAUUUAUUAUUUUUAAUUGUCUAACAAGUACACAGAGUUCUCUCAUUCAUUUAGUUUCAGAAUGAUAAUUACUUACAUUGGUUUAAUUAAGUUUAUCUAUUGAUUGUUCCAAACUUCAACCCCAAGAUUUCUCAUCAAAUGAACUAUAGGGAUUCAAACUAUCACUCUCUGCAUCUCUCUCUAAAAAUAAAUUGAUUUGCUGUUGAUUUAACUAAUAUGCCUGAUCCUCUAAUUAUUCCUUGAUUGUUACUUGCCUAGACUGUGGAGUUAAUUAGAUUUUAUAGAGCUCUACUCAGUGCGGCUGAUUAUUGUUAUAUUUUUGAUAAAACCAAAUAAAGGAAAGAUGCAUAAAUGGAUGUUCUUUGGUUGCAGAACAGCAUGUUCGUUGAAAUUUUGAGAUGCAUUCUUUGCUGUUCCAGUAAAGAUUGUCAUGAAACUGAAAGGGCUCCUGGGAGACAAACUCUCUACUCGGAACAUCGAAUCACAACACUUCUCUCAGGAAUUCUAGUUUUACUAACCACGAUCUACUGCGUCGAGAUGAUCCAAGCAAAUUCUAUUACUACGGAUAUUACCCGCAUGUAUCAAUUAGUAAGUAAACUACACAGCAGCCUAAUGCUAUGUCACAGCAAUCCGAAUAUGGUAACAAGUCGUCACUGAAAGGGAAUAAUGAAGAGUCUCAGUUUGAAGAGCUCAAGACCACCACCACCUUCAUCCUCCUAUUACACAUGUUCAUCAUCACCUAAUAAAUCACAGUCCUUGACACAAUUGUCAUCAUUCCCCGAACCUGCAUCUGCUUUGUCUACGCCAUUUCUAUCACCAAAAGGGCCCCCACUGUCAUCUUCUAGCACUUCAUAACCUGCAUCCUUCAUCCCAAGCAUCUUUGUCGUUGUCUAACCCUGCACUGUCUGCUCUCAGUCAAUCUUUAUCAUCACCUAAACCACCUUCAUUUAAUUCUGAACAACAUCAAUUACGUGCUAAGCCACCAGCAUCUCCAUCUCCCCGUAAAUCCUCUCAAUCUCUAUCUGGUUCUACUUUGACGACGAAAGACGCAGUGCCUAAAGUUUUGAAGAAGCCGUUGUCUCAGAAGGCUCCUUCAUCUUCUCAGCCUACCCUUUCUCCAUUCCCUUCUGAUUCAACAAAUCAGCAGAAAAAUGAUAGCUAUUUAUUGGUUGAGAAGGGCGCAUCCAAUUACAAGAUUCCUAAGGAUAUUGAAGAUUUGGUUAAGAAAGACAUUGUGCCUGACGUUUUGAAGAAGCCAUUGUCUCCCUCUACCUACAAAGAUUACUUUGCUGCACGGCUAGAUGCCGAGGAUUUCUACUAUGAGGUGACUAAUUAAUUAUGCCCUUUCUUCCUGUUUUACUUUAUUGUCUGAUUUCACGCGAUACAACCUCACUUCUACUAUCAUAUGUUGUAUAUAAUUUCUUUUCAUUGAAGACAUAUUUGUUCUGAUUAAUGCCGAACCACUCACUCAUGGUUAUGCUGCAAUUAAGAUGGUUUCUGAUUAAGUAAUCUAUGUACAUCAUAGUUAUGGAAAAGAUUUCAAAAUAGCCAGUACAAUUUACAAUGAAUCAAAGUUGACGCAUGGGAGCAUUAAAAAAUCUAGGGAGCUCUGUUAGAAAGGAUAUGAUUUGGGCUGGUAGCAGGUUGUAUUAAGCCAGAUUUCCGUUAUUCUGGGACCUCUUAAAGAAUCUAUCUAACCCGUCCGUGUAAGAAAUAGAACCAAACAGCAGAGAUUAUUAGAAUGGAUUAUAUUAUUUUACAAAAAAUGGCGCUAUCCACGCCCAACUAGUUUCCUUACAGAACCCCUUGAAAAACCAAUGAGAAAUUAUUACAGUGUAUCAGAUCAUAUUAACAAGAUUGGUGCUAUUUGCUCAUCACUUAUUUUCCUUAAUUAUAUUAAUACAAGUGAACUGAAAUAGUGAAAUGUUUAGAAACAUAAUUUGGAGAGUGUUGGAUUGGGGUUUGCUUCACUCAGGUGGGAAAGCAAAUUACGGGACAUCCAUAAUCCAUAGUUGCUUUAGACUUUCUGUAUACUUUGAUAUUUUACUGCAUUUUAAUUUACAUGAGAUGACAUGAUAAAUACAAAUAAUUACAAAUUUCAGAUAUUGUGACCAGUAUUUUUUUUAAUUCUUAUAUUUUGCCUAGAUGAUUUUGUGGAGAAACAGACUAUUGAUGUGACACCCUAGGCAAAUCUCACAUUGGUAAAGUACGAGAGAGAUGCUGGGUAUAUAAGGGGUGAUCUACACAUUAAUUGGCUUUGGGGUGUAUGGGCACCCCAUGAACAAAACCGUGCGGGCCUUAUUAAGGCCCAAAGCGGACAAUAUUUUACCAAGUUUGGGUUGGGUCAUAACAACUGAAUAUAAAUUCUUUCUCAUAAGAUAUAAAAAUAAGGGUGGGACAGAUGCAUUUUCAUUUUCCCUUCUUAAAUGGGUCCAAUUGUACUUGUAUUUAUGUGUUUUUCCCAUAUCUUUAUUUGUGCUUCUCUAUAGGAACUUUACUUGUAUUUUAUGUCUUUGAUUUGAUCAGAAGUGGAGUGAUUUUCAGCUAUUGAAUGUAACGUUGGAAUUAGGUGAAGCUACUCUAUAUGCUAAGUCACUCAAGAACAAGCAUUUGAAGAAGCAUGAUAAGAAAGAUGUUAGAUUCUUUGUAACCUUCGAAAUUGAUUCUGUUCCUGGGAAACGGCCAUUUCUCUUAUCUAGGGAUUUUGUUUAUGCACAAUGUUCAGGUGGAAUAUCAAGGAAGUUUCAAGCAAGUCUCCUUAUCUCACAAACAUAUAAUUUGUAGAAUCUCUUGCCGUGCUUUAGUGUGGUUGAUUUGCAUAUAAGCCAAAUUGAAAAUUCUAUUUUAUGCCUCUUUCUCCCUAAAUUUUGAAAUUUUUGUAGUAAUAUUAUAGUUACACAUUUCAAAAUAAAAUUUUAACAAUGCCAUUCGAAUUUUGAAAGCCUGCUAAUUUCACACUUGUUGUAAGAAUGGGAGCAUGAGGUAGGACAAUAAGAAAGGAUGGAUUAGUGAUAGAGUAGAAAAAAGAGCCCGUAAGUGGAAAAAGAAAUAGAGAGAAGAAAGGGAGAUACCCAUUUUUCAUUAUUCCAAUAACUAUCAUUUAUAAAACAAAAAUUAAUGCCCUAUUAUUGUGGCCAACAGAUAACUAAUAAUGGCAGACCAUAAUCAACUUCUUAGCAAAAAACGAAAUCUACUAGUAAUACAUGAUGAAAAAAUAAAUCAACCAAGGUAACUCCUUAUUCAGCAUUUCCUAAAUCUAUAUAACUUCAUUCUACAUCAUUGUGUCAUUUUGAUGGAAGCGACUGAACCUGACAGAUUAUAAUUUAAUUGUUGUGUGUGGCAUCCUAACAAAUCAACAUAAACUUCUGCUAGAUUUUUCAUACAAGUGAGUAAGUGCAUAAAUUUUUUACAUGACCACACAUUGAAGUCUGACCUUAUAUGGCCGUUUCAUUAAAAUUUUAUCAAUCCAACCAUUAUUUUUCAGUUUGAACUUCAGUUGAGGAACAAAUGCGCUGUUUAAGAACAUAUUAUAAUUUUUGCACAAGGACAUCCAUUGAGUUUAGUGACGAGCCAAACUAAGCCUGAUUGAUAUUUCCUUGAUAGAAAUUAUUUGAUCUUUUUCCAGUCAUGCAAUUUGGAAACUAAUUUUUCUACGUUUGAGACCCAUUUCCAUCUGGUUAAUCUCGAUUGAAUUUGUACGAAGUGGUAACAUGUAAUGUAGCUUGGACUUAGUCAUUUUGUUUUAUGGUUUCAUACCUCCAUCUUUUCCAGAAUACCUGACCGGGGUAUUCUUUGUCGAGUGGUGAACAGUACUAACGUGUUGGUUGAAUUUGAAAAAGGAAUUUUAUUCUCAGCACCAACAGAACUGCAAAUAUGAUAUUAGCUUCUCAUUCAACAGAGUGUUUGAAACGGGCUCACCAGUCAACUGCAGCUGUGUCAGAUCAGUUAUUCCAGAACUGCCUUUUCCCUGUUUUUGCCUGUCAUAAACAUAUACCUUCGUCAGAACCUCACUUUUACGGCAAUUGUAAACUUGAUUUGGAUGGCAAUUCUGCAGUGCGUCAGACAUUGAGCUUACAGGGCCAGGCGGCCAGCCACCUUAUCUUGUGGAGGAUCCACUCUGUGACUAGAAAGAAAAAAGGAAUUACAAGAUGAAGAUGUAUUUGAGUACGUACUUUCAAAAAACUGGAAAUGUUGUUCGAGAAGCAGUGCUCCAAAUUUGUCAGAGGUUACCAAAUAGUCGAAUUCUCAUAUGUGCUCCUUCAAACAGAACAUGUGAUGUGCUAAUGAAAACUUUGACGAAGGUUAUUCCAGAGUCAGAUAUGUUUCAGGCCAAUGCUGUAACACCCCAAUUCGACUAACAAGAUACUACGGUGAAAUUGAGGUGGAACUGCAUUUUAUCAAUCUAACUUCUAAAACCACCAAAACAACAUCCAAUGAUAAAUGUUCUAAAUAGCAUUUAGAGAAAUGGAUGAGGUAACAGAUGACAUCUUCCAGGUGUUGAAGGGACUUGUCCUCCACUUGAGCAACUGAGACAAUACGCGGUGAUAUCUUCAACUUUUGCGAGUCGCUUUCGCCUUCACAAUAAAGGCAUUACUUUUUUUUUUUGGGUCUUAACCACGAGCAGCAGUCGCAGGGUCUCAACUGUGGGAGACACUUUUAAGUAUGUAACACAAUUUAAAUUAGAAGUCUCGCUCGAAUCGGAAGGCACAUAUUCUCCCAACAAAGGUGACUUCCCAACUAUUCGAACUGAAAAACAAAUUAAAUCAAGCUACUUAAGGGGACUCUAUUGCUAAUGGAGCCAACGCCUUGUUGGUCAAUAAAGGCAUUACUGCUGGAUAUUUUAGUCACAUUUUUCUUGUUGAUGCAUCGCCUACCAUCGAGCCAGAUGCACUGAUAGUUCUCAGUAAUUUGGCAAAUGAGAACACGACUGUAAUAGUCUCUGGUGCUUCUUAUGACCAUCCACGUUGGAUCCGAUCUCAUAUUGCUAAGAAGAAUGGAUUAGAGAUGGUAUAUUUUGAAAGACUUUGUUUUUCCGAGGCAUAUAGGAGUUGCCAUCCAAUGUUUCUAUUCGCGGCUGUCAACUUCCAUAGAAUAAAUCCGAUAGUUGUCUUCCAUUCACCCAUAUCAAUCUGCUAGUGGAGGUAACUAACGGAAACCUCUCCUGUAACUAAUUUGCUGCUGCUCGUGAUGUUGUUACUACUUGCCUCGUGUAUGUAUGUGUGGAUGCGAGAACAUUUUCUCUGUAACGAUAGUUCAAUACUCGUUACUCUUUUAUCUAUUUAAGGUUGUGACAGCUGUUUGCAAUUCUUUAUAUACAAAGAUUAGACCGUUCUUAUCCGUUGGCAAAGAAAAUUAGCCCAUUAAAUUCAAGCCGAUGAAUACACCGCCAAGCAAGAGGCGCAGUGACAAUAUCAACUAAGCGCGUUCUGGUUUUGCUUAUUUUUAUUUUUAAAUAUGAACGGAAUUCACUAAUAUCCGUUAAAAGAAUAAGUCACGUGGGAAGGGGAACCUCGUACGCUCGUACUAAAAGCCCAAAAAUGAAAAAUCUCUCAAAAUAUGAACGCUCGCUUAUUUUUAAUCUUUUUUAUUGUAAAUAUAAUAAUACAUUUAUUGCUUUAUUGGUGGGAAUUGGAAAUUUGGAACCCCGGACUCCGCAAAAUUUCCGCUUUGGUCAGCUUUCACUGUCUCAUCUCAUCUAGUCAUUAAAGCCCUUGCCGCGGGCGCAAGUGAUGACGUGGCGAUACUUGGUUGGGUUUGUAUAAUACUAGAAACGUCCGAGCUCUUCUUUUUCCUGCCUACUCAUUCAUGGCUUUUGAAGUGCUUCACUUUCACUGUCACCGAGUUAUUUGAAGAACAUAAAGUCAGAAAAGCUGAUCCGACAAUCAUCCCCAUAAUCCCACAUCUGCACAACAGCCAGAAGGUAAUCCUUCUUCCAUUUGAUCUUCAUUUACUUUGAUGUCAACAUAGUUUAUUAUCUUUGCCUAUGGUUACAGUCGUGCAUAGAUUAGUCAUAGCUUCUAGUGUUUAAUGGGGUUCAAUUUACUUUUAACAUUUCAACAACAUGCAGUCUCUUUCUUGUUCAGACUUAUCAUUUUUAAUUGUGUAACAAAGACGAAGACUUCUCUCAUUCAUUUAGUUUCAGAAUGAUAAUUACUUUCUUUGGUGUAAUUAAGUUUAUCUAUUCAUUGUUACAAACUUCAACCCUAAGAUUUCUCAUCAAAUGAACUAUAGGGAUUCAAAUUAUCACUCUCUGCAUCUCUCUCUAAACAUAAAUUGAUUUGCAUGUUUGAUUUAAUUUAUAUGCCUGAUCCUCUAAUUAUUCCUUGAUUUUUAGUUGUCUUGGUUAAAAACAGACUGUAGAGUUAAUUAGAUUUCAUAGAGAUGUACUCAGUGCAGCUGAUUAUUAUUAUUGUUUAUUUGUAUUCUUGAUAAAACCAAAUAGAGGAAAGAUGUAUAAAUGCAUGUUCUUUGGUUGCAGAGCAACAUGUCUGUGCUCGUUAAAAUUUUGAGAUGCAUUUUUUGCUGUUACGAUGAAGAUUAUCAUGAUACUGAAAGGGACUAUCGGGCGAGAUUACUUGGAACAUAUAAUCACAACUCUUCUGUCGGGAAUUCUAGUUAUCACAACUCUUCUGUCAGGAAUUCUAGCUUUACUAAUCACGAUCUUCUGCGUCAACAUGAUUCAAACAAAAUCUAUUACUAUGAAUAUUAUCCGAAUGUGUCAAUUAGUGAGCCAACUACAAAGCAGCCUAAUGCUAUGUCACAGCAAACAGAAUAUGGUAACAAAUCGUCACUGAAAGGGAAUAAUGAAGUGUCUCAGAGUUUAAAGAGCUCAAGACCAUCACCACCUUCAUCCUCCUGUUACACAUGUUCAUCAUCACCUAAUAAAUCACAGUCCUUAACACAAUUGUCAUCAUUCCCUAACCCUGCAUCUGCUUCAUCUAAGCCAUUUCUAUCACCAAAAGGACCCGCUCCAUCAUCUUCCAGCAAUUCAUCUUCAUCAUUCCCUAAACCUGCAAUUCCUUCUUCAAAAGCAUCUUCAUCAUUGUCUAGCCCUGCAUCGUCUGCUCUUAGUCAGUCUUUAUCAUCACUCAAACCACAUUCAUUUAAUUCUGAUCAACAUCAAUUAACUGCUAAGCCACCUGAAUCUCUUUCUCCCUUUAAAUCAUCUCAAUCUUCAUCUGGUUCUACUUCGACAAAGAAUGACACUGCACCUAAAGUUUUGAAUAAGCCAUUGUUGCAGAAGGCUCCUCCAUCUUCUCAGCCUACCCUUGCUCCCCUCCCCCCUGAUUCAACAAAUCAGCAGGAAAAGGAUAGCUGUUUAUUGGUCGAGAAGGGCUCAUCCAAUUACAAGAUUCCUAAGGAUAUUGAAGAUUUGAGUAAGAAAGACGUUGUGCCUAACGUUUUGAAGAAGCCGUUGUCUCCAUCUACCUACAAAGAUUACUUUGCUGCACUGCCAUAUGCCGAGGAUUUCUACCAUGUGGUGAUUAAUUACUUAUGUCCUUUCUUCCUGAUUUACUUUAUUGUUUGAUUUCAUGCAAUACAUAUUCAUUUCUACCAUCAUCUGUUGUAUAUUCUUGUUGUUGGAUAUAUGGGUUCAGGAGGGCUCAUCAUCUGUUUACAUGCCUCCCAAGAAUAGUGAAAAUUUGAUGAAGAAAGAAGCUGCCCCUGAAGUUUUGAAGAAGCCAUCUUCUCCAUUGUCCCGGAAGACCCCUUCAUCUUUGAAGCCUGCUCUUUCUCCACUGCCUAAUGAUUGUACUAAUCAACAAACAAAAGGAAACCGUGUAUGGGUUCAGAAGGGCACAUCGCCUGUUUACUUGACUCAUAAGAAUAAUGAAAAUUUGAUGAAGAAAGAAGCUAUGCCUGAAGUUUUGACGAAGCCAUCUUAUCGAUCAUCCCAUAAGUCCCCUUCAUCUUCUAAUCCUACUCCUUCUCCCCUCCCCAGUGAUUCAACAAAUCAACAAACAAAAGGAAAUGACACAUGGGUUCAGAAGGGCACAUUACCUGUUUACAUGACUCCCAAGAAUAAUGAAAAUUUCAUGAAGAAAGAAGUUGUGCAUGAAGUUCUGAAGAAGCCAUCUUCUCCAUUGUUCCAUAAGGCUUCCUCAUCUUCUAAGCCCACGCUUUCUCCACUCCCCACUGAUUCAACAAAUCAGCAGAAAAAGGCUAGCUUUAUAUGGGUUCAGAAAGGCGCAACUAAUUACAAGAUUCCCAAGGAUAUUGAAGAUUUGAUCAAGAAAGACAUUGUGCCAAAAGUUUUGAAGAAGCCAUUGCUUCCAUCUACCUACAAGGAUUACUUUGCUGCGUUGCUAUAUGCUGAGGAUUUCUACGAAGAGGUGAUUAAUAAAUGAUGCCUUUGAUCCCCAUUUUUCUUUAUUGCAUGAUUUCAUGUGAGAUAAUCUCAUUUCUACCAUCAUAUCAUGUAUAUACUUGCUUUUCAUUGAAGACAUAUCUAUUGUGAUUAAUGCAAUACCACUCGCUCAUGGUUAUGCUGCAAUUAAAAUGGUCUCGGAAGAAGUCAUCUAUGUGCAAUUGUACAUCAUGUUAAUGGAAUAGAUUUUCAAAAUAAAUAGUACAUACAAAUACAAUAAAUCAAAGUUGAGUCAUGGGUUAGAUUGUUGAGAAUUCUAAGGAGCUCUGUUGAAAGGGAUAUGUUUUGAACUGGCAACAGGUUGGAUUGAAUCAAAUUUAUGUGUUGUGGGACCUCUUGAAGAAUCUAUCUAACCUGUUCGUAUAAGAAAUUUAGAACCAAACGGCAUAAAUUAUUAAAGAGUUCUUUAGGUUAUAUCAUAGUGAAUGGUGCCAUCCAUACCCAAUUAAUGUUACUUGCAGAACCCCUAGUAAAACCACUGAGAAAUUAUUAGUUUGCAUCAGAUUAUAACAAGAUUGGUGCAAUUUGUACAUCACUAAUUUCCUAAAACUGAAAUGUUUAGGAACACGAUUUUCAGAGUGUUGGCUUGAGGUAUAUUUCAGUCAGGUUCGAAAACAAACUGAAGGAAAUCCAAAAUCUAUUUACCGUCUUUUGCUUAACAUAAGAUAGCAUGAUGAAUAAAAAGAUUGGAAACUCUGAUAUUUUGAAUAGUAAGUUGUUUCUUUAUUGUUAUUUUUUGGUUAGAUUAUUCCCCAUGGGCGCAAAUUAUUGGGACAGAUGCUUUUAUUCAGUGAAUGCAGUUCAGUUGUAUUUGUAUUUAUGUAUUCUGUCAUAUCUUUAUUCUUGUAGGUAUUCUUCCAAGCUUCUCUAUCCAAAGCUUACAUUUUUAUAAUAAGAUGAUUAGAUGUUGCUGUGGACUGAAAACUUUCAUCAAAGAUUUUUCAUGCUUUUCUAACAUUUUAGAUAAUUUUUUUGGCUUUCAUUGUGAUCAGAAGUGGAGCGGUUUUCAGUUAUUCAAUGUCACAUUGGAGUUGCAUAAAGCUGCAAUAUAAACUCUUUGUAGCCUUUGAAAUUGGAGUGAUGAGACGGAUGAUAAACUCUUUGUAGCCUUUGAAAUUGAUUCUGUUCCUGAGAGGCGACCCUUUCUUUUAUCUAGAGAUUUUGUUUAUGCACAACGUUCAGGUGGCAAAUCCAAGAAGUUUCAAGUAAGUAUCCUGAUCUUUCAAACUUUUGAUUUAUAAAAUCUCUCGCCGUGCUUUGGUGACAAAUGUGCAUAUCAGCCAAAUUGAAAAGAAAGAUAGAGAAUGAAAAAAUAAAAAAUGUAGAGAAUAGUGAAAGUGAUGCAGAGCAAGAAAUUGAAGAAAUCCUAAUUAUAUUUAAAUGUAUAAUAUUUAGGAAUAUUUUAAUUAAUUUGUAUUCUAGUUUAAUUUGGUUUCCUAUUUAGAGUCUUAUUGUUUAGGUAUUGCUUAUUUGGGUAAUAUUCCUAAUUUAGGCAUAAGUAUUAUUAAAAUAGGUUUUCUAAUCAUAUUAGGAUAAGUCUUACUUAGUAUAAAUAAGUGUCUUUUGUAGCUUUUACAAGCAGAGAAUUUUGAGUUUAAUAAUAUUUCAAUUUUCAAAUCUCUUUGUGAGUAUUUGAACAGUUAAUUCUCGGUAUUCUGCGGAAUCAACGAGUCUUAAUCCCUAAAUUCGCGGUAUUCUUUUGAAUCAACGUGGGUUUAGUUGUUCUAAUGAUAGAACCCUCUGCUGUACGGCCAAGGCGGAUGUACGGUACAGCAGAACGGAAUAUUUUGAACAUUAAACUUCCGCUGCAUCAGUUUGUUAUGAAGUUGAUUUGGAUCAAUCGCCGAAAUUUGAUGAGUAUCUUGAUAUUGUGGGACGAGAAGAGGUAAUUGUUCAUCCAUCUUUUGAUCUUGUGGAGGAGAGAGAGAUAGUCGUUGAUACAAUCUCUUAUUGUUCUCUUGAUUUGCCGAAAGAAGACAAAAAGAGUUGUGAUAUUUUUCAACAAUUAGUGGAUUAUGAAAAGAAAUUGUUUUUCUUCAACUAUGUUGAAGUUCGACACGAACAAUAUGAGAAGACAUUAUUAGAGAAGUUGUUGAUAGAAGAAUUUAUUUUACGCUAUUGGAGUGAUUGGAUGGACGUUAUUACAAAAGUUGGAAAAUUUAAAGUUCGUUGUCUAUGUCGAAGCUCUAUUUUAAAAAUUAAUCCUUAUGCACAUGAAGAUGUUCUUGAAGACUACAACAUACAAAAUUCGAGGACGAAUUCUCUCAAGCCUGGCGGGAAUGAUGCAGAGCAAGAAAUUGAAGAAAUUCUAAUUAUAUUUAAAUGUAUAAUAUUUAGAAAUAUUUCAAUUAAUUUGUAUUCUAGUUUAAUUUGGUUUCCUAUAUAGAGUCUUAUUGUUUAGGUAUUGCUUAUUUAGAGUCUUAUUAUACUAGGAUUAGUUUCCUUAUUAACUAAAGUUUAAGACUUUUAAAUUCCUUUCUAAUUUAGAAUUUUGUUUCCCUUUCAAUUUAGGAUUUUGUUUUACUUCAUGAAUUAGGAUAAUUACUACUACUAUAAAUAGCUCCCUCUUGUAGCCUUUGAAAGCAGAGAAUUUUGAGUUCAAUAACAUUUCAAUUUUCAAAUCUCUUUGUGAGUAUUUGAACAGUUAAUUCUCGGUAUUCUGCGGAAUCAACGAGCCUUAACCCCUAAAUUCGCGGUAUUCUUUUGAAUCAACGUGAAUUUAGUUGUUCUUUUAUUCCGGUAUUCUCUAGAAUCAACGGAAUAUUUUGAACAUUAAACUUCCGCUGCAUCAGAAAGUGAGUAGAGAGAAAAGUCCAAGUGUGGAAAAAGAGAUGGAUAGAAGUGAGGGAGAUACCCAUUUUUUGUUAUCUCAAUAAAAAUCAUAAUAAAAUACAUAGUUUUAGUCCUAUUUAUUUUAGCCAACAAAGAACCAAAAAUACAACUUCUAACCGAAGAGAGAUCUGCUACUAAUAAGUGAUGAAAACUAAAUCAAUUAGCCAAAAUAAAUAAGGAGAAAUAAAAAUUCAAAAUUAAACUUAUUCCUAACUCAACAACUGGACCUGACAGAUUCAUGUUCUGUAGUCCCUGAUAAGUUAACAAGACUAUCUCUUGAAUUUCAUACAAGUGAUCAAGUGCAUAAACUUUUUACGUAUAAGUGGCAUCUAAUUUGGCCAUUCCUUUCGAUUUUUAUGUAACCAACCAUUUUUUUGGUUUGAACUUCAGAUUAAAGAACAAAUGCUCUGUUUUAAGAUAGAUUAUAAUUUCGCACAAGGACACCCAGUAAGCUUAGCAUUUUGCUGGUCAUGUAACUUUGAAACUAUUUUUUGUACAUAUCUGGAUCAUUUUCCAUCUGGUUAAUCUUGAAAGGAUUGGUACAAAUUGAUAACAUCAAAACUAGCUAGGUCAUCGUCAUUCAAUCAUUUUGUUUGUUGUUUAUUGUUUGUUCAUAUUUCCAUCUUUUCCAGAAUAUUUAUGUUCGCAAAUCCUGACCAGGGUUUCCUUUAUCGAGUGGUUAAGUGGACUACUGUUUUAGUUGAAUUUGAAGAAGAUUUUCAUUCUCAGCAUCAACCCAACCACAAAUAUGAUGUUAGCUUCUCAUUCAACAGAGUCUGUUUGAAACGGGCUCACGAAGCAGUUGCAGAUGCAUCAGAUUCUUUAUUCAGGAACUACCUUUUUCCUGAUUGUGCCUCCAGAAAGAGCAUCCCUUACCCAUCACUUUGUCCUUAUAGCAAUUAUAAACUUGAUUCGGAUAGCAAUUCUGCAGUGCAUCAGAUAUUAAGCUUUGAGGGCCAGUCACCUUAUCUUCUAGAGGGUCCACUCUGUAAUAAUUUUGUACUUUCAAAAACUGGAAAUGUUGUUCGAGAAGCAGUGCUCCAAAUUCGUCGGCGCUCGCCUAAGAGUCGAAUUCUUAUAUGUGCUCCUUGGAACAGAACUUGUGAUAAGCUAAUGGAAUGUUUGAUGAAGGAUAUUCCGGCAUCAGAAAUGUUUCGAGCCAAUGCUGCAUUCAGAGAAGCGGAUGGGGUAUCAGAUGAAAUCUUUCAGGUAUCACUUGUUGAACGGGAGUGUUUUUCUUGUCCUCCACUUGAGGAACUGAGGCAAUAUAAGGUGAUAUCUUCAACUUUUGUGAGUAGCUUUCGCCUUCAUAAUCAAGGAAUAACUGCUGGGCAUUUUAGUCACAUUUUUCUCAUAGACGCGUCGUCUGCCACCGAGCCAGAGACAAUGAUAGUUCUUGGUAAUUUGGCUAACGAGAACACAAGAGUAAUAGUCACUGGUGCUCCCCAUAACAGUCCAAGUAGGGUUCGAUCGGAUAUUGCUAGGAAGAAUGGAUUAAAGAUGUCGUAUUUUGAAAGACUUUGUCUGACCGAGGCAUAUAGGAGUUGCAACUCAAUGUUCUUCUCUCAACUUUUCACAGAAGAAGUCGGAUAGCUUUCUUCCAUUCCCCCAUAUCAGUCUGGUAGCGGAGUAACUAACAGAAACCUCUCCUGUAACUAAUUUGCUGCUCAUGAUGUUGUUACUACUUGCGUUGUGUAUGUGUAGAUGCGAGAACGUUUCCUCUGAGAGUUCAAUACUUGUUAGUGUUUAUAUACAAAGAUUAGACUGUUCUCAUUCAUUGACCGAGAAAAUUAGCCCAUAAAACUCAAGCUGAUUAAUACACCACUAAGCAAGAGGCCCUGUGACAAUAAACUAAGCGCGUUCUGGUUUUACUUAUUUUUAUUUUUUAAUAUGAUCGGAAUUCAUUGAUGAUCCAUUCAAAGAAUAAGUUGCACUUUGUAAUGAAGUCUUUGAAAUGAGAAAAACAAGUCAUGUGGAUCUACAUGAAGAUGUACGCGGCCCCACUUGCACUUUUUGUUAAAAUUACGUGGUCUCGGUCCUCUCUUUGGCUGGGUUUAUUUCACUCAAAGCCAGAAAUAUUAUGCUCGUGUGGGUGUCUAUAAAUAUGGAUGAGGCUAAGUUGCGGCUUCUGCAAGUAACAGCUUUGGCAGGGUAAGCUUGCAUGACCUUGCAUCAGCAGCUUUUUCUCUCUCAUCCAACACGCGUGCAAGCUUUCCAUUUGCUAUAUUACAAACAGAAUCUGUGACAUAGUCCAUACUAUAUGGAUUUAUAUACACACGCACACAAGUUUUUCCUCAUCUUCUCCUGCAGUAAAGUGCUUUGCCUUUGGACUCUUCUUUAGUGCUUUCACAAAAAUUGUCUUUAGUACAAAUAAAAAUAAAAAACGGAUCCUUGACUACUAGCAUUCUUGAUCUGCUCAAGAACCAAAUGGUAAUUAUAUUGCAUUUGAUCUUCAUUAAUUUUUAUUUCAAGAAUUAAAAUCUUUUCAUCUUAUGGAAGAAUAGUUUGAGUUUCAUCUUACUUGAACAUAGAGUCAUGCAUGCUUUAUUUGAUUGCUAGUUCUUCUGUUUUUAGGGGAGCUUAAUCUUCUGUCCACAUACUUUUAACAUUCAAUUAACUUGUACUAAUAUAAUACGAUUUUACAUUUUCUCAUGCACUUUGGUUCAGUAUGAUUGCUUAAAUUUUAUCAAAUGAUGUUUAAAAUUCUCUUACAUUACUAAUCAACAAUUUUUUUAUGGGUUCAUUUAUCCUCUAAUUGGCCCCCCUGAUUUCCACUAUAAGUAAUCUUGGUUACAGAGAAACUUCAGUUUCUGAUUUUCAUCAUUUGGAUAAUGUCAAUUUGAUUAAAUGCAUUACACAGUAACUUCAUUGUUUCUUCUUCCUCACCAAGACGUAUAAAGUUGAUGUUGUCCGGCAGUGUGUGUGCAUUAGGCGAAAUUUUGCUAUACAUUUUCGAGGACCAAGAUCAUGGAACUAGUAAUGAGACUUCAGAGAUAGACCCUUCACUCGGAUCACCUUCCUACAACACUUCUGUUAGGAAUUCUAGUCUUGAGAAUAAUGAAGCAUCUUCAUCGUUCUCUAGACCUGCAGAAUCUUCAUCAUUCUCUAGACCUGUAGCAUCUCCACUUAGUUCUGAUCAACCUCGAUCAUCAGCUUCUUCACCAUUCUCUAGGCCUGCAGCAUCUCCACUUACUUCUGAUCGACCUCGAACAUCGGCAUCUUCAUCAUUCUGUAGACCCGCAGCAUCUCCACUUAGUUCUGAUUAACCUCGAUCCUCAGCGUCUUCACCAUUCUAUAGACCUGCAGCAUCUCGACUUCUGGUCAACCUCGAUCACCAGCAUCUUCACCAUUCUAUAGACCUGUAGCAUCUUCAUCGACUUCUGAUCAACCUUGAUCAUCAGCUAAGUCAACUGCAUCUUUAUGUGGUUUAUCUCAAUCUCCUUCCAUGCCAACUUCAUCAUCCCAAAAAGCUCCUCAGUCCUGUAAGCCCACUCUAUCUUCACUCAGCUUUAAUCUAACAAAUCAAUAGAAGAAAGCUAAAUAUACAUGGAUUCAAAAAGGGACAUCACCUAUUUACAUGAUCCCUAAGGAUAUUGAAAGUCUAAUCAAGAAAGAUAUUGUCCACUUUCUCAUUUCAUACAAAACUUAAUGCAUAUUCAUUCUUGUGCGAAUGAACUCUCGCAUAUACUUUCUGCUGUCCACAUAAUUUAGCUAAACACAUAAUAACACAUCACGUAAAUACAUAGGCAAAAUCAUAUAAAUUCAUAUCCGUACAUAUCAAAUAUAGGUUUUUUAAACUUGUCAAACAUGUACAUAUUGUUUAUUAUGAUUCAUUUAGAAGUUUAGUUUACUUAUGUCUUGGCAUCCACGUAUAAAAAAUGCAUAUUGAUAUAAUCGACCUAAAAAUCAUUAACAAAACUCUGAUUAGAUAUAAUCACAUUAUAAUCAUAAACUCUAAUAGCAUCAAAUUUUACAAGGCAUAUGCUGACAUAUUAGAAAUUCAAUGCUUAAACCUUCAUAGCUUAAUUCCUUCAAAAACUUUUGAAAAUAAUUACGUUUCAAACAUCAUCAAUUUUGUCAAAUAGUUUUCUGUUUCGAACAUAUUUGUUUUAAAAGUACAAAACAAUUUUUUGUUUUAUCAUAAAAUCAUGAAAUUUUCCUAAAUCACUCUAGACAUACAUAAAAAUCACUAGUCCAAAUUUCAUCAUUUUUGAAUAAAUCUAGCUUCGGUAAAAUAGUUUCGUAAUUCAUGUUCUUCACUGAAAUUAGAAAUUUUCAGGUUUUUAGACUUGAGUUAAAAAAAUCGUAAUAAAUUGAAUUCUUAUAUGAUUAGUCGAAACAAACUUCAAAAUAUUCUUGAAGAUGUCUAAUUUAACAUAUCCAAAAUCCAGAAUCAAAAUCAAUAUGUACAAAUUACUAUGAUUUUCGAAAUAACUCAUUGUCAGCAUAUUUUCUGCAAAAUUUUAAAUUUCUAUUUCUACUACAAUUAUCUAAUCAUACUUCUUCAUAAUAAAUUAACAAAAACCAAGAAUUGAAAUUUACCUCUAAUCUUCUCCCAACAUAAUAUCAAAUUCAAAUUACACAACUUUGAUCUCAUGUGUUGCUUAGGGCCAUUUGACGAAGAAGACUUCUUCUCUUUUUCUCUUCUUCUCUCUCUUUGCUCUCUUCUUCUUUCUUUCUUUUUUUUAGCCGAUCUCUUUCUCUCUCUUCAAUGAUAAAGGCAAAGCAUCUUAUUCUUUUUAUACUAAAAUACAAAGACCACUAACAAAUUGAAAAGACUAAAAUACCAUUAAGAGAAUUGAGAUAUUACAGUACAAGUUGGUUCUGCACUGAUAUUGCUCGGAAUAAUUGGUUAAGGAUGUCAUAUUUUGAGAGACUUCGUGUGACCGAGGCCUAUAGCAGUUCUGACCCAAUGUUCAUUACAAUGGUGUAAACUUUGAGAUGAACUCUUUUAUCCUUCUGUUGUCGUAAAUCUUAUCUGCUAUUGCAGCAACAGCAACCUCUAUUAUAACUUAGUUUUCCUCUCGUGAAUUUGGUACAAUGCCUUGUUGUAAUUGUCUGACUGCAAGAUUAAUUGAUUUGUUAUUUUCGUACUAGUUGCUCUAUCUAGUUCAUGCAUUCCAUGAUGAUUGAAUGUUUUCUUUCUCAUGAAUCAACAAAAAUUGAAAUCUUCAUAAAUUGUGUGCAGGUCGUUGCAUUUUCUGUCUCCAUUUUAGUUCUGUUCUGACUAUCAUAAUAGAACUCAUGCGCUUGAGCGGGCUGACUACUUCGAUUUUGCCGGUAGAAGUAUCAUAACCACCAAUAUUGGUUUGGAGGCAUCUUUUGCCAGUAGAUUCAUCUUGUCGAUCAAGAUUGGAUUUGGAUUUUGGAGGCGUCUUUUAAUGGGUGAAACGAUAUGUUGAUGUUAGAAUCUUUUAGUUCGUUUGUUAAGGAAUAAGGAUUAUGAUACAACCCCAAUAUUACAGUUAGACAAGCCCAACUCAGCUAGCUCUAUCAAUAGCGAGGAAAAGGCCCAGGCAAACUCAAGUGAGGCUAUCCAAAACCGACCCCAAGAUAACAUCAAGCCAAGUCGCGUAAGGAAGCCUCCCAAAUGGUUCAAGGAUUACACACACUGAGCAUAUAUGAGCAGAGGAUUCGGUUUCUAACGGCUUUAGCUAUUUAGAGAAUAAUUCUUUGUUAUAGAGAGAGGUUGUUAUUUAGUUUUGACAGCUGUGAGCAUAUUCUUGCUGCUAUAAGUAUUUCCAUGGUUGUAUUUGAUGAUAUAUAUAAAAUUCUGGACUCAGUUUCUUCUUCUUCUCUGAAAUUUUCUCUCUAUUCUCUCUUGCCAUUCACUCGUUUCUUUAAAAUUCUGGGAGCUUGCACUUGCUUGAAAAGUGUGGAAACCUUGCUGUUCGGUGUGCUCACCAGCGGCAUAACAGAUUAAGAACCGCAAGAGGGUUAAUCAGAAUAAGCAUAUUAUGGGAUGAGAGAAUAUCAUGCCACAAAAUUAGCUUUUUGCUUGGACUUAAUUUAAAAGUUGGCAUCUAAUUAAUUAACCCGGAGAAGAAUAAGAGACGUGCGUGGCAGUAUAGAAGUGGAACCUCCUACAGUUAAGAGUCUUGUUCAAUUAAAAAAAAAAACUUUUUCAGCUUACUGACAACUCUCAUCCACUCUAUUUAUAUGCCGCACAUGGGUCCACAUGAUGACGUGGCCUCACUUGGUUGAGUUUUCUAUGCAAGAAACAAUAUGCUUUCAUCUCCCAUGCAAAGCUUUUAACUUCUGGAUUCUUGAGUUGUGUUGGAGUGCCUUUUAUACUGUGUGUAAGUCGUUCUUUGGAAAGGAAGAUUAAACUGAAAAACCACUUGUGUAAUUGUGUUCCAGUAUUCUCAUCUGUAACAAAAGAACCAGGAGGUAAUCAAUCGUGCUUUUGAUCUUCACUUAUUUUGAUUUCAGGAUAGUUUCAUCUUACUAGCACUUACAGAGUCAUGCAUGAGUUUAUUGAUUUCUUUAAUGGUGUUCAAUCUUCUUUAUUUUGCUUUCGCCGCAGGAUGUUUAAGUGGAUGUUCAUAGGCUGCGCAGUGUAUGUGUUAGGUAAAAUUUUGCGAUACAUUUCAAGCGACCAAGAUCAUGGAACUGAAAGUAAGAUUUCGAAGGGAGACCCUUCACACGGAUCAGCUUCACUUAACACUUCUGUUAGGAAUUCUAGUUAUGAGAAUAACGAUCGGCAAGACCAAUCUGAUCGAACCCAAAUCAAGUACUACGAUAAUUACCCGAAUUUACCAACUAGUAGCUCAACUACAAAAAGGAGUGGAGCUGUGUCUAUUGAAUCAGAAUAUGUUAACAAGUUUAUGGAAGGAACUGAUGAAGCGUCCUCGAGAUUGAAAUAUAGAACAUCACAACCUCCAUUUUCCUCUAAGCCAUCACUCCCUAAACCCGCAUCAGUUUCUUCUAAGCCAUCCGUAUCUCCAACUGAACCUCCACCAUCAUCUUCUAGUCCUAAACCUUCAAUUCCUUCUUUUAAAGCAUGCUCCUCGUUCUCUACACCCGUGGCACCUCCCCUUACUUCUGAUCAACCUCGAUCAUCUGCUAAGCAAUCUCCAUCUUCAUGUGGUCCAUCUCAAUCUCCCUCCGUGCCAACUUCAUCAUCCCCGAGCACCCCUGAGUCCUCUAAGCCCACUCAGUGUCCACUCUGCUUUAAUCCAACAAAUGAGCAGAUGAAAUCUAAUAAUACACGGGUUCCGAAGGGCGCAUCAUUCCCAAAAGCCCCUCAGUCCUCUAAGCCCACUCGGUGCCCAUUCUGCUUUAAUCCAACGGAGGACCAGAUGAAAGCUAACUAUCCCAAGGAUAUUGAAAGUCCGAUCGAGAAAGAUAUUGAGCCUGAAGAUUUGAAGAAUCCAUUGUCUCAGAAGGCGCCUUCAUCUUCUCAGCUUACCCUUUCUCCGCUUCCUCCUGAUUCAAAAUAUCAGCAGGAAAAUGAUCGCUAUAUAUUGGUCGAGAAGGGUGCCUCUAAUUACAAGAUUCCUGAGGAUAUUGAAGAUUUGAUCAAGAAAGACAUCGUGCCUGACGUUUUGCAGAAGCCAAUGUCUCCAUCGACUUACAAAGACUACUUUGCUGCUCUGCUGUACGCUGAGGAUUUCUACAUUGAGGUGAUUAAUUAACAGUGACCUUUUUGCAUGUUAUUCUUUCUAGUAUCAUUUCGUGCAAGCAAGAAUGAACAUAAAACUCAUAAAAUUCGAUUUUAGAUACAUACUCAGAUUAUGUGCGGUAAAUCGACAAGCUAAGGUUGUGCUACUGACUUCUAGUUGGAAGAUGAUCACAAAGCCAGAAAAUUCCCUGCGAUCACGUUGCAAGAACCCUCUAAGCUUGAAAUCUUGGCUCAAAUUCUCUCAAAUUGCACUCUUUAGCUCAAUGGCCUGUCUCUAGCUUGUCUCUUCUACCUUUCUCCGUGAUCAUCAUUAAAUAAGGUUAAAUUAUUGUUGGGGUGAUCUUCUACUAAAUGAUCACUUAAUAUCUUAGGAUAUUUAUAUCAUUCCCUUCAAAAUUGAUCCCUUGAUUCUUGGUCAUGCAUACCUCAUGAGUGACCUCAAAAUGAUAGAACCCUAAUAUAUAUGUAUAUCUAUUUAUAUACAUAUACAUAUACAUUAUACAUAACUUCAUUGCUACCAAACGUAUAUUGUGUGCUGUGGCUGUUCGGUGGAAGACACCUUUGUUGUGGUUCGUGCAUUACUACCCCCUUUGGAAUGUUUGAGCUUACCUUGUAUACGAUAAAACAUCAUAUGGGUGCUGUAAUUAGCAACCAUCAAACAUGUUUUACUGGAGAUACAUGAUUUUAUAUUUUAUAUCUGUGUCUCAGUUUGUCGUUAGAUUUACCAAUUAGGCUUCUCGAGACAAGCCUGUUUAGAUUUGCGAGUAAGUGAAAACAUCAAAGCACCAAAUUAGUAACAUUCUGAUGUUAUUGAUAAUCUUGGUGCAUUUUGUGUUGGUAGGCAAUUUAACAGAGAUAGGCAACCCUAGUGGACUGCUUUAGCUGCAACUUACUCUGUACAUACAGCCCAUAUCGACUGUUCAUAGAAGAUAACAAUAUUUGGUACAAAAGUGACUUUUAGGAAUCUUACAUGUUUUAAAUGAUUGAAUGCAAGAUGCGUCUAUGGACCAAAAACAUUACAGUUUCAUCCAAGUGCUUUCUAUCAUACUUCCUAAUUGUGUUUAGAUAUAAUAAUGGCUUUGAUUUGAUCAGAAGUGGAGCGGUUUUCAGUUAUUCAAUGUCACAUUGGAGUUGCAUAAAGCUGCAAUAUAUGAUAAGUCACUCAAGAACAAGAAUCUGGAGGAGAGUGAUGAGAAGGAUGAUAAACUCUUUGUAGCCUUUGAAAUUGAUUCUGUUCCUGAGAGACGACCAUUUCUAUUAUCUAGAGAUUUUGUCCACGCUCGACGUUCAGGCAGCAACGCCAAGGAGUUUCAAGUAAGUCUCAUGAGCUUUCAAACUAAGAAUUUGUAGAAUCUCUUUUAGUGAUAAAUAUUCAUAUCUUCUGCCAAAUUGAGAAUCUAUUUUAUGCUUCUUUCUCCCUAUGCUUUCAAAUUUUUGGAAUAUAUUUUUUUAAAUGAUGUUUGUGGGUAUCAUCACUGAAGCCCUCACGAGACUAUAACUCGUCCACUAGGGCCGCCUAGGGGUUUAAAGGCUUGUUGCAUACGCUAAAUGCAAUCGCGAUUACCUGCGAAAGUGGUUUAGUUAGGAUUUACUUUUUGUUUUGUUAUUUUUAUUUUUGUUUUAAGUUUUAGUUUUGCUCGAGGACUAGCAAAAUCUAAGUUUGGGGGUAUUUGAUGAGCAUAUAAUACAUACAUAUUUUACCAUUAAUUAAAUAAUUGUUAGCUAUAUUUAUUUGUUAUUUUUAAUUAAUUGAAUUAUUUUAUUGAAUAGGGAAUUAAUUGGAGAUUAUGAAUAAAAAGAACAUAAAGGAGUUCAAUUUGUAAGCAUUAAAGAUUAAUUGAUUUUUGGAAGAAAUUAGACGUACAUGCAUGUGGAAAUCAAGCCAAGAAACCGAAUUCAACAAAUUCAUUUACCCGUGCACAUGCGGACAAAGAAGAUAAAUGGAUGGAAAGCAACUUAAAAGGGCCCACACUUGGCUUUUACAAUUGGAAAAAGGAAUCCUAGUGCAAGCCUAAUUGGUGAGCACGUGAGUGAGAGUAAAGAAAAUUAAAAGGCCAAGCCUUUUGGCUUAAGGAAAUAACAAGGUCGGUGGGGCCUAUUUAAAGAGUAAUAUAAAAGCAAGCUUUUGGCUUUUGGAGAGGAGGAGCAGAGGACGGAAAAAAAAGAGGAGAAUUCGGCUUUGAACAAAGAGCAGCGACAGCAGAAAUAUUUCGGUGAAACUUUGACUCUUUGUUAUUCAAUAUGUUUACAUGGGAUACUUAGAUAUCGUAUUAUUAAGCAGAAAAGAACCUACACAAGAUUAAUUACUCGGACUUAAUUGUUAUAUUCAUGAGAUGACAUAGAUUGAUUUCGAGUUGUCACUCUAAAAUUGGGGAUUAAUUUGUUUGUGGGAAAUACAUCGAGGAGACCAUACGAGAUGAGCAAGUGUUUGGUGGCGGAGUUCUGCGAGCAGGAAUAUUCUCCUCGUCCACGAAUAUGCCAUUCGCGAAACCGAAUUCCUGUUAGAGGCAUAAGGUCAUUCCUGCUAAGGGUCGAGGCGAGGAGACCCGGUCAACGGCAGUUGGCAAGACGUGCCUUCCUAUCCGAGAAUCAAGGCACGAGGUCCAUCUCCAUUUGCCCACAAUGACGACGAUGGGGCAUCCACAUCUGAGGGUGGGGAGAAUAAUGGGCGUAAAAUGCGGAAGAUCGGGACUCAGAGGAAGCUUAUAAAAAGGUAGCCAACAAAGGUAAAAGGGUUAGAUUUUUUGCUAUUUUGAACUAAGAAAAGAGAGAACUGGAAGGUCUGAGAUUAAUAAACAGCCAUAAGAUUCGUGGCAAGCGUUCCCAGAACCUUGAUAUCUGACUUGAGCGUCGGAGGGUUUACGCCGGGAAAACAACCGGCGUGCUCUGACUUGUUUCUGUGGACGCAGGGAUACUUAGAGAAGAAAGCAUACGAGGAGAGAUCCUGAUCGAGGUAAGGUUGGUCGAGCAGACAUCCUGGUCGUUGGAAGGCAUAACCAGAAUCUCGCAUCAACAUAAUUAAUAAUUAGAUAAUUACUAGUUGAAUAGUGGUAGAUUCUGAAACCUUGGUAAUUUGUCUAAUUGAUUUCUCAUUUGCUUUAAUUGUUUUCUUAGUUUAAUUAGUUUAAUUUCUCUUAAAACUCAAUUUGCUCAACUAGGUUAGAAUUAAUAUUAAUUUUAGAUUUAAAUUAGACUUUUCAAUUUAUAACAAUCCCUGUGGGAUCGACCUCGUUACCACUAUUCAAUUUCUAGAUUCGUGCGCUUGCGAGUAUAUUAAAAUUUUCACAACAAGUUUUUGGCGCCGUUGCCGGGGAUUGUGCUAGAAAGUCAGUUUAAUCUAGGUUGAUUUGAUUCUUCCACUAGUUAUAAUUUAGGUUGUCUUUUAUUUUUUAAUUAAAAAAAACACAAAAAAAAAUUAUUUGUCUUUAAAUUCAUUGUUUGGUUGUUUGAUUUCUUUUAUUUUUAAAUUUCGUUUAUUCUCAUUUUUGUUGGUUUAUUUUAUUUUAUUUUUCUUUCUUUCCUUGUCUAGUUAGUUUACCUAGUCCUUGGAUAUCCAGACAUUUUGUUUUUCUGGUUGAAUAUCUUCGGAAAAUAUCUUCUUAAUUUUCCGAAUAUUUGUUUUCUCAAAUCCUGUCCAGGGUAUUCUAUACCGGGUGGUGAAGAGCAACGUAGUGUUGGUUGAGUUUGAAGAAGAUUUUUAUUCACUGCAUCAUCCAAAGUACAUUUACGAUAUUAGCUUCUCAUUCAACCGAGUCUGUUUGAAACGAGCUCACCAAGCAAUUGCAGCUGCAUCACGUUCUUUAUUUGAGAACUACCUUUUCCCUGAUUUUACCUCUCGAAAGAACAUCAGUUCCUCAGAAGCUUGUCUUUAUGGUAAUCGUAUCCUUGACUCAGAUGGCAACUCUGCAGUUCGUCGGAUCUUAAGCUUACAGGGGAGGCCACCUUAUCUUGUAGAGGGUCCACCCUGUGUAAUUAGUGACAGUCUAUCCAAAACUGGAUUGGUUGUUCGAGAAGCAGUACUUGAAAUUUAUAAGAGGUCAUCUAAGUGUCGAAUUCUAGUCUGUGCUCCUAUAAAUAGAACAGGUGAUAUACUAAUGAGAAGUUUGAAGAAGCAGAUUCCAAAGUCUGAUAUGUUUCGAGCCAACGCUGCAUUCAGAGAGGUAGAUGGGGUACUAGUUGACAUCCUCCCCUUGUGCCUUUAUGAAGGGGGGGAAUGUUUUCAAUUGCCUUCACUUCAGGAAUUGAUACAAUUCAGGGUAAUAUUCUCAACUUUUACAAGCAGCUUUCGCCUCCACAACGAGGGCAUACCUGCUGGACAUUUUAGUCACAUUUUUCUUCUUGAUGCCUCAUCUGCUACUGAGCCAGAGACAAUGAUAGCUCUCACAAAUUUGGCUAAUGAGAACACGACCGUGAUACUCACCGGUGCUCCCAAUAACCGCACGAGUUGGGUCCGCUCCGAUAUUGCUAGGAAGACGGGAUUAAGGGUGUCGUAUUUUGAAAGACUUCAUGCCACCCAGACCUAUAGCAAUUUCGAUCCGACGUUCAUUACUAUGCUGUAAACUUUUGAGUACUGCGGUAACAAUAGCCUCUAUUAGAACUUAGUUUACUUCUCAUGAGUUUGUUACUACUGUGCCUUGUUGUAAAUGCGUGAAUGUCAGAACAUUUCUUCGAUCCGUUACUUUUGCACUUGUUGCUCUAUCUAAUUCAUGCAGUCCAAUUCCGCGAUGAUUGAUUGCUUUCAUUCCCCUAGAUUAACAAAAAUUAAAAUCUUCAUAAAUUGUAUGCAGGUCACAGUACUCCAUCUCUGGAUUAUUAAUUAUGUUCUUAUGCUACGACAAAGAUUAGUUCUGUUGUAAUUAUCAGAAUAGAACUUGUGUACUUCAAUUUUUGCCAGUAGAAUUAUCUUGACGACUGAGAUUGGAUUUGGAGGCAUGUUUCUGAUGGGUGCAAUGAUGUUUUGAUGUUAGAAUCUUUUAUAUCUUUAAUUACGGAUUAGGGACCCGCAAGAGGGUGAAUCAGAAUAAGAAUCGUGCCCCAAAAUAAGCUUUCCGGUUGGACUUAUCUUAAAAGUCGGCAUCUUAUUCAUUUUUUCUUAAUCCCCGAGAAGGAUAACAUUUGGCAGUAUGGAAGUGGGAGUUAAUAAGAGCCUUGCAGUCUUUCUAUAUUUUCCACAUGUCGUGUCUGCCAUGGCAUCUGGAACCACAUGAUGACGUGGCCUCACUUGUUUGGGUUUACUUCAUUUGCAUGAAUCAAAUAUGCUCUCAUCUCUCAAGCAAAGCUUUAACUUUUGGUUGGAUUAUCGAGAUUGACUUGGGUUCUUUACUUUUACAUAAAACGUUCUUUGGAAAGGGGGGAAAAAUUAAAAAAGAAAAAAUAGCUCUUGUAGUCUUGUUCGGGCAUUCCCAUCUGUAAAAGAACCAGAAGGUAAUCAUUCUUGCUUUUGAUCUUCAUUUAUUGUAAUGUCAAGAUAGUUUCAUCUUGGACUUGACAACAUUAACCCCUCCAGUGCUAAGUCUAUUCAAUCAGAAUAUGUUAACAAGUCUACGGAAGGAACUGAUGAAGCUUCCACAAGAUUGAACUCUACAACAUUAACCCCUUCAGUUUUCUCCAAGCCAUCUCCAUCUUCACCAAAAUCACAUCAAUCUAAGCCACCAUUCCCUAAACCUGCAUUAGCUUCUUCUUAGCUACUUCUAUCUCCAGCUGAAGCUCCCCCAUCAUCUUCUGGUCCCAAAACUUCAAUUCCUUCUUACGAAACAUCCUCAUCACUCUCUACGCCUGCAUCUUCUUCUUUUUGUCAAUCUGUGCCUUCACUUGCAGCACCUCCAUUUUCUUCUCAUCAUCCUCGAUUGUCAGCUAAGCCAUCUCCAUCUUCACGUCGUCCAUCUCAAUCUCCCACCAUGCCAACUUCAUCAUCCUUAAAAGUCUGGUCAAGAAAGAUAUUGAGCCUGAAGUUUUGAAAAAGUAAUUGUUUCUUGAUCUACCUACAAAGAUUACUUUGCUGCUCGACUAUGUGCUGAGGAUUUCUACAUUGAGGUGAUUUAUUAACUUUGAGACGAAAUUUUAUCUCUAUGUUAUUAUCCUAAAUUCUAAUUCGUAUAAUUGUGUGAAUGCAAGAACAUUGCUUCCGAUCUGUUGCUUUUGUACUUGUAUUUGAUUGGUCUCUCCAUCCUUGAGAUUGCUUGAACGACAUGACGCAGCAGCUUAGAGCCGAUGUACCAUGACAUACAAUGUUUCAAAUUUGGAAGCUCUAACCUUCUAAUUUGUUUUACUUAGUCUCCAAAUGAUACUACCAGCAGUUGGCAUGAAUAUAAAUGAUAUAGCAAAGCAAAACAAGGGAUAGAUAAACGAAAUGAUGUAACCAUAUUCAACUUGAAAAACCAGAAGAAACAAGGUGGGGCAAGAGGUAGAAUGUGAAAAACAUGAUUACCGCAACUAAUUUGUAAAGGUAAUAAAAGUAUCGUCCCACUGUGUAUUACAUGUCAGCAUUGAUAUAUCUGAAUGCCUACAUCCAAGUCUGAUUUGAUUUCAGCUGAGAAGACCAUCCCCGAUUCUGAAUGAAACAAAGAACAAAAAAACAAGCACUCGACUUAUGAUGCAGAUAAAAGACCUGAAGUUUCACACUGACAGUUUUACGAAGCAGUUCUUUCCCGAAGCCAUAAAUUGAAUAAUUAAAUAAAAUAUUACAGCAAUCAGGAGGAACUAGCAGGUGCUAACUGCUUCAGUUUUGCCUGCAAGAUUACAGUAGCUUCGUCUGAAAUAGUUUUCUUUUUUGUUGCAACCUGCAUUAUGAAUUUUUAUACUCCUGUUAUUGUCAAAGACGAUAAUACAACAGAGGUGAUAGAAAUGUGAAUUGCUAACAUAAACAUUCAAGUCCUUUAAAAUAAGCAGAAGGAAUUAACUCAAAACUCUUUAAUCUUCAUAGUCACUUAAUAAGCUUUCUCUUAACAAUCCCAAACUAAGUGUGAAUGGGGGAUAUACUAGAAAGAAAGCCCUCAACACCAAGAAAGGGUUGAUUAAGAUUGGAGGCACAUUGUAGUAGGUGAGAUGACGUAUUGUUUUGCAACAUUUUAAAUCCGUUGUAUCUAAUAAAAAUGGACAACAAAUCCUAUAAAAAGUUGCAAGCUUUGAGUUCAGUAUUGAUGAAGUGCUCAUGGAGGAUGGAAAGAGUCAAUACUGGUUUUAAAUGUAGGUUGAAGUGGCAUUGAGAAGAAAAUAAUGGAAAAACUAUUUGAGAUUGAUUGGACUUGAACAAGAUGUACAAGGAAUGGGUUGCUACAAAGUAUUAACCCAGUAUGGAAAGCACCAAAAGAACAUGAAUAAGAACCGAGAAAGGAAAAUUCAAUACUCAAAGAACAUCAUGUUAGAAGAUAAACGAGGAUUCUGCACUGGAGUAUAGUGGAAUGGCACGAAAAGAUUCAUGCAAAUGACCCAUUUGGUCUUAAAGAACUGUGAGAUCUGUCCGGACAAACAGAGAGAGAAUUCUGGUUCAGAUUGCUAGACCAAUCUCCAGAACAUAUAUCAACAGAAGCAAAAACAAAAACCAAAAGAAGACUGCAUUCUUGAGCGUGCUUUUUUUGUUUUGGUUAAAUCUAUUUAUGGCAAAGAAGAAAAAUGCUAGACCAAAGUAAAGUCUAGUAUCUUCUAGAGCUACUCAAAGACAAUUUACAUGCGGAAGGAUCAAUCCAGCAUAUUUAAUUCGAGAAACCAAAAGUAUUAUUAUCAAAGGGAUUUGUUAAUAAUCUCCUAAUCAAGUUACUUACUAGUUAAGCAUGUAUUCAAAACAAUAAAAACAUAAGUAAUAAAGACUCACCAAAUCGAGAAGCUUCCAAAUUAACUAAGAUUUCUAACUCUAUUGAAGAUUUGGAGAAUGUUGCUAUGAGAGAUCUAGAAUUUAGAUUUUGGUGUUGGGAGAGCAGGAAGAUGAUUAAUGAAAGAAGUGGAAUAAUUCUAUGUUUCCUUCUUUCAAGUCCAUAUUUUCGAGAAUUAACAAACACAAAGCAAUAAAGUAAACUUUAAUAAAGUAAUUUUAAUAAAACAACAAUAAAGAUAAAGCAACCUUAAUAAGUAUAAUAAUAAAUUAAAAUAAAUUUUAUUAAAGAAACUACUUUAUUAAAAUAAUAAAUAUAUAGUAAAUCUUUAAUAAGUGUAAUCAUAAAUAUACAAAGUAAACUUUAAUAAAUUAAAGUAAAUUUUAAUAAAGAAGCUUUAACAAAGCAAUAAUAAAUAUGUAAAAAACUUAAAUAAAUGUACUUCCCUCUUUUUUUCCUUUUUAUAUGCUACACAGGCACACAGGCACAGGCCUACAAUGGCACCUGGGUCCACAUGAUGACGUGGCCUCACUUGGUUGAGUUUUCUUUCUAUGUAAGAAACAAUAUGCUUUCAUCUCCCAUGCAAAGCUUUUAACUUUUUUGAUUCUUGAGUUGUGUUGGAGUGCUCUUUACUUCAUGUGUAAUUCGUUCUUUGGAAAGGAAGAUCAAAUUGACAAAAACCACUUGCGUAGUUGUGUUCCAGUGUUCUCAUCUGUAACCAAAAAAGCAGAAGGUAAUCAAUCGUGCUUUUGAUCUUCACUUAUUUUGAUUUCAGGAUAGUUUCAUCUUACUAGCACUUACAGAGUCAUGCAUGAGUUUAUUGAUUUCUUUAAUGGUGUUCAAUCUUCUUUAUUUUGCUUUCGCCGCAGGAUGUUUAAGUGGAUGUUCAUAGGCUGCGCAGUGUAUGUGUUAGGUAAAAUUUUGCGAUACAUUUCAAGCGACCAAGAUCAUGGAACUGAAAGUAAGAUUUCGAAGGGAGACCCUUCACACGGAUCAGCUUCACUUAACACUUCUGUUAGGAAUUCUAGUUAUGAGAAUAACGAUCGGCAAGACCAAUCUGAUCGAACCCAAAUCAAGUACUACGAUAAUUACCCGAAUUUACCAACUAGUAGCUCAACUACAAAAAGGAGUGGAGCUGUGUCUAUUGAAUCAGAAUAUGUUAACAAGUUUAUGGAAGGAACUGAUGAAGCGUCCUCGAGAUUGAAAUAUAGAACAUCACAACCUCCAUUUUCCUCUAAGCCAUCACUCCCUAAACCUGCAUCAGUUUCUUCUAAGCCAUCCGUAUCUCCAACUGAACCUCCACCAUCAUCUUCUAGUCCUAAACCUUCAAUUCCUUCUUUUAAAGCAUGCUCCUCGUUCUCUACACCCGUGGCACCUCCCCUUACUUCUGAUCAACCUCGAUCAUCUGCUAAGCAAUCUCCAUCUUCAUGUGGUCCAUCUCAAUCUCCCUCCGUGCCAACUUCAUCAUCCCCGAGCACCCCUGAGUCCUCUAAGCCCACUCAGUGUCCACUCUGCUUUAAUCCAACAAAUGAGCAGAUGAAAUCUAAUAAUACACGGGUUCCGAAGGGCGCAUCAUUCCCAAAAGCCCCUCAGUCCUCUAAGCCCACUCGGUGCCCAUUCUGCUUUAAUCCAACGGAGGACCAGAUGAAAGCUAACUAUCCCAAGGAUAUUGAAAGUCCGAUCGAGAAAGAUAUUGAGCCUGAAGAUUUGAAGAAUCCAUUGUCUCAGAAGGCGCCUUCAUCUUCUCAGCUUACCCUUUCUCCGCUUCCUCCUGAUUCAAAAUAUCAGCAGGAAAAUGAUCGCUAUAUAUUGGUCGAGAAGGGUGCCUCUAAUUACAAGAUUCCUGAGGAUAUUGAAGAUUUGAUCAAGAAAGACAUCGUGCCUCACGUUUUGGAGAAGCCAUUGUCUCCAUCGACUUACAAAGACUACUUUGCUGCUCUGCUGUACGCUGAGGAUUUCUACAUUGAGGUGAUUGAUUAACAGUGACCUUUUUGCAUGUUAUUCUUUAGAGUAUCAUUUCGUGUGUGUUAUUUGCAAGCGAGAAUACACAUAAAACUCAUAAAAUCCGAAUUUAGAUACAUACUCGGAUUAUGUGCGGUAAAUCGACAAACUAAGGUUGUGCUACUGACUUCUGGUCGGAAGAUGAUCACAAAACCGGACAAUCCCCUCAGAUCACGUUGCAAGAACCCUCUAAGUUUGAAAUUUUGGCUCAAAUUCUCUCAAAUUGCACUCUUUAGCUCAAUGGCUUGUCUCUAGCUUGUCUCUUCUACCUUUCUCCGUGGAUUAGCUCUCAUUUAUAGCAUUACAAGAGUAGUGAAUCAUCACUAAAUAAGGUUAAACUAUUGUUGGAGUGAUUUUCUACUCAAUGACCACUUAAUGUCUUAUGAUAUUAUAUCAUUCCACUCAAAUUUGAUCCCUUGAUUCUUGGUCAUGCAUACCUCAUGAUUGACCUCAAAAUGAUAGAAUCCUAAUAUACAUGUAUAUCUAUUUAUAUGCAUAUACAUAUACAUUAUACAUAACUUCAUUGCUACCAAUCGUAUAUUGUGUACUGUGGCUGUUCGGUGGAAGACACAUUUGUUGUGUUUAGUGCAUUACUACCCCCUUUGGAAUGUUUGAGUUUACCUUGUAUACGAUAAAACAUCAUAUGGGUGCUGUAUUUAGCAACCAUCAAACAUGUUUUACUGGAGAUACAUGAUUUUAUAUUUUAUAUCUGUGUCUCAGUUUGUCGUUAGAUUUACCAAUUAGGCUUCACGAGACAAGCCUGUUUAGAUUUGCGAGUAAGCAAAAACAUCAAAGCACCGAAUUAGUAACAUUCCAAUGUUAUUGAUAAUCUUGGUGCAUUUUGUGUUGGUAGGCAAUUUAACAGAGAUAGGCAGCCCUAGUGGACUGCUUUAGCUGCAACUUACUCUGUAAAUACAGCCCAUAUCGACUCUUCAUAGAAGAUAACAAUAUUUGGUACAAAAGUGAUUUUUAGGAAUCUUACAUGUUUUAGAUGAUUGAAUGCAAGAUGCGUCUACGGACCAAAAACAUUACAGUUUCAUCCAAGUGCUUUCUAUCAUACUUCCUAAUUGUGUUUAGAUAUAAUAAUGGCUUUGAUUUGAUCAGAAGUGGAGCGAUUUUCAGUUAUUCAAUGUCACAUUGGAGUUGCAUAAAGCAGCAAUAUAUGAUAAGUCACUCAAGAACAAGAAUCUGGAGGAGAGUGAUGAGACGGAUGAUAAACUCUUUGUAGCCUUUGAAAUUAAUUCUGUUCCUGAGAGGCGACCCUUUCUUUUAUCUAGAGAUUUUGUUUAUGCACAACGUUCAGGUGGCAAAUCCAAGAAGUUUCAAGUAAGUAUCCUGAUCUUUCAAACUAAUAAUUUGUAGAAUCUCUUUUAGUGAUAAAUAUUCAUAUCUUCUGCCAAAUUGAGAAUCUAUUUUAUGCUUCUUUCUCCUUAUGCUUUCAAUUUUUUGGAAUAUAAUUCUAGUCGCAGCUAUCAAUAUAAUUUAUAAAUUAUGCCAUUUGAAAUUCUGCAAACCUACUUAAUGCAAACUAUUGCUCAGUUUGAACUAUAGAUGAGUGAUGAGCAUAUAAUACAUACAUAUUUUACCAUUAAUUAAAUAAUUGUUAGCUAUAUUUAUUUGUUAUUUUUAAUUAAUUGAAUUAUUUUAUUGAAUAGGGAAUUAAUUGGAGAUUCCAGACAUUUUGUUUUUCUGGUUGAAUAUCUUCGGAAAAUAUCUCCUUAAUUUCCCGAAUAUUUGUUUUCUCAAAUCCUGUCCAGGGUAUUCUAUACCGGGUGGUGAAGAGCAACGUAGUGUUGGUUGAGUUUGAAGAAGAUUUUUAUUCACUGCAUCAUCCAAAGUACAUAUACGAUAUUAGCUUCUCAUUCAACCGAGUCUGUUUGAAACGAGCUCACCAAGCAAUUGCAGCUGCAUCACGUUCUUUAUUUAAGAACUACCUUUUUCCCGAUUUUGUCUCUCGAAAGAACAUCAGUUCCUCAGAAACUUGUCUUUAUGGUAAUCGUAACCUUGACUCAAAUGGCAACUCUGUAGUUCGUCGGAUCCUAAGCUUACAUGGGAGCCCACCUUAUCUUGUAGAGGGUCCACUCUGUGCAACUAGUGACAAUCUAUCCAAAACUGGAUUGGUUGUUCAAGAAGCAGUACUUGAAAUUUAUAAGAGGUCAUCUCAGUGUCGAAUUCUAGUCUGUGCUCCUAUAAAUAGAACAGGUGAUGUACUAAUGAGAAGUUUGAAGAAGAAGAUUCCAAAGUCUGAUAUGUUUCGAGCCAACGCUGCAUUCAGAGAGGUAGAUGGGGUACCAGUUGACAUCCUCCCCUCGUGCCUUUAUGAAGAGGGGAAGGGUUUUCAAUUGCCUUCACUUCAGGAAUUGAUGCAAUUCAGGGUAAUAUUCUCAACUUUUACAAGCAGCUUUCGCCUCCACAACGAGGGCAUACCUGCUGGACAUUUUAGUCACAUUUUUCUUCUUGAUGCCUCAUCUGCUACUGAGCCAGAGACAAUGAUAGCUCUCACAAAUUUGGCUAAUGAGAACACGACCGUGAUACUCACCGGUGCUCCCAAUAACCGCACGAGUUGGGUCCGCUCCGAUAUUGCUAGGAAGACGGGAUUAAGGGUGUCGUAUUUUGAAAGACUUCAUGCCACCCAGACCUAUAGCAAUUUCGAUCCGACGUUCAUUACUAUGCUGUAAACUUUUGAGUACUGCGGUAACAAUAGCCUCUAUUAGAACUUAGUUUACUUCUCAUGAGUUUGUUACUACUGUGCCUUGUUGUAAAUGCGUGAAUGUAAGAACAUUUCUUCGAUCCGUUGCUUUUGCACUUGUUGCUCUAUCAAAUUCAUGCAGUCCAAUUCCGCGAUUAUUGAUUGCUUUCAUUCUCGUAGAUUAACAAAAAUUAAAAUCGCGAUUAUUAAUUAUGUUCUUAUGCUACGAAAAAGAUUAGUUCUGUUCUAAUUAUCCGAAUAGAACUUGUGUACUUCAAUUGUUGCCAGUAGAAUUAUCUUGACGACUAAGAUUGGAUUUGGAGGCAUGUUUCUGAUGGGUGCAAUGAUGUUUUGACGUUAGAAUCUUUUAUAUCUUUAAUUACGGAUUAGAAACCCGCAAAAGCGUGAAAAAAAAAAAAAAUUAGCUCUUGUUCGCUAAACCUACAUUAGCUUCUUCUAGCCGCUUCUAUCUCCAACUGAAACUUCAAUUCCUUCUCACAACACAUCCUCAUCAUUCUCGACGACGGCAUCGUCAAUCUGUAGCUUCACUUGCAGCGCCUCCAUUUACUUCUGAUCAUCCUCGAUUGUCAGCUAAGCCAUCUCCAUCUUCACGUCGUCCAUCUCAAUCUCCCACCAUGCCAACUUCAUCAUCCUUAAGAGGCUGGUCAAGAAAGAUAUUGAGCCUGAAGUUUUGAAAAAGUCAUUGUCUUUGAUCUACCUACAAAGAUUACUUUGCUGCUCUGCUACGUGCUGAGGAUUUCUACAUUGUGGUGAUUUAUUAACUUUGAGAUGAACUUUUAUCUCUAUGUUAUUGUCCUAAAUUCUAAUUCGUGUAAUUGUGUGGAUGCAAGAACAUUCCUUUCGAUCUGUUGCUUUUGUAGUUGUAUUUGAUUGGUCUCUCCAUCCUUGAGAUUGCUUGAACAUGACGCAGCUGCUUAGAGCCGAUAUACCAUGACAUGCAAGUUUCAAAUUUGGAAGUUCCAACCUUCUAAUUUGUUUUAAUUAGGCUCCAAAUGAUACUACCAGCAGUUGGUAUGAAUAUAAAUGAUAUAGCAACGCAAAACAAGGCAUAGAUAAACAAAAUGAUGUAACCAUAUUCAACUUGAAAAACCAGAAGAAACAAGGUGGGGCAAGAGGUAGAAUGUGAAAAACAUGAUUACCGCAACUAACUUGUAAAGGUAAUAAAAGUAUCGUCCCACUGUGUAUUACAUGUCAACAUUGAUAUAUCUGAAUACCUACAUCCAAGUCUGAUUUGAUUUCAGCUGAGAAGACCAUCCCUGGUUCUGAAUGAAACAAAGCACAGAAAAACAAGCACUCGACUUGUUA
This 101186-nucleotide long non-coding RNA is filed under the name Citrus sinensis (sweet orange). RNAcentral describes it as "long non-coding RNA (CSIN_LNC002934)". The record is from RNAcentral. Lineage: Eukaryota; Viridiplantae; Streptophyta; Magnoliopsida; Sapindales; Rutaceae.